AGGCAAUGAAAGGUUGAGUACUUCAACUCAAUCUGCGAAUGAUCGCAUAACUACACAAGAGGUUGGAGGCCUAGAGAAAAAUUAGGAGAUCCCAAAAGGAUCUCUUACAUGCUCAAAAAGCAUUUGCAAGGAACAAAGGUGUGUAGGGUAUUCAAUAGCUUGAUUGCAAAACCAUAUGGGUUUAUUAAUUGAUCAAAAGUUGUUUGCUGGUGGUACAUAGUGAUAUUUAUAAAAGUGGCAAUCUUUCUAGCUGGAUAUGAACAUAAAUCACCAUGUUGGAUGGUCAACUGGUUCAAGCAUUUUUUUGUUGUAUUGAAAAGUAGACUUGAUAAACUUUCCAACCAUAUAUACUAUACACCUCAAAAUGUUACAGGUCGGUACAAACUUCACAAGAAGUGAAAGCACUUAUCAUGUAACUUUAAUUUGAGUCUUAUGCGCAUAACCCUACUUAACUUAGGAAGCAUUCAUGGUGUCCUUUGUGUAAUCCUAUAUUCUCCGAUCCAUAUAAUCCAUAAGAGGAGACUGAUGCAUAGACCUGAGUAAGAGUAGCAUACAAGACUUACAUAACAUAUAAUUUCCAUCAAUAUUAAAAUGUACCUCAUAGAGGAAAGCAUGCACAUAUUGUUGUAGUUUUUUUGCAUGACCGCCCAUAACCAGUCCUUCAUACACAUGUGCAUGCUUAUUCGAUACUUGGUUUUGUGUAAUCGAUCUGGCUAUUAAUUCUUCACAUGUAACCACCUAACCAGCGAUGCUAAUGUAACUGAUUUUGAUAUUGUGUUGGUUGGGAUGUCCUCGUCAUAAGUCGUGCACAUACUUUCUAAUAUUAAAACUUGUAUCCCAAUUGGAGUUUCACUCUCAUUGGAUAAGGUGCCAUGUCAACUUUUCUUCGUGUUUUGGCAAGGAAUUAAUAAAGAGAGAGAUGAGUGGUUUCAUCUAGGAAAAAUCAUGUGUGUGAUGUUUCCAAUAUAGUUUAUCUCUACAUGUAUUGCAUGAAACUGAAAAAAACACACAUUAUAUGAGCUAAGGGCCCGUUUAGCACAGCUCAGACUCGUGAAAAAAUGGAUUUGGCUCUGGCUCCUUUGGUGAAGCAGCUUUUUCGAACUCUGGCUUGUCUUGUUGGGAAAACAUUUAGCAAAACAGCUUCUCCUGAUGUAUAGAAGAUGUAAAAUGUCCACAAUACGCUUAUAUUUUUUUCUUUCAUUUUCCCUCUUUUCUUCCUAUUUCUCUUCCUUUCCUAUUUCUCUUUCCUUUCUCUUCAUUUCCUAUUUCUCAUUCUUCUCCAACAUUAUAUUCUUCGUGGUCCUCCUCCUGCCCCUCACCCGCGCCCCCACCUCCGGUCCACUUGCCCCCUUCCACGCGCCUCCACCUCCGGCUGGCCUCCGCCGCCGGUGCUGCGCCCUGUGGAAUCACCAGCACAUCAGGCGCAUCCGCCGCCGCUAGUGCUCCUUGCGUCAUCUCGCCGGAGCUCCACCCGCCGUUGGUCCGCCUCAAGCCGGCACUCGUGCAUGUGGCUCAGCCUCGCCAUCGACCAGCACUGCGCCCCGCCGUUGGACCGGUGCUCCACCCCGCCACCAGGUUAGCCCUGCAUCCUGCGCCGCUCGGUCCUGAGGACAGUGAUGGAAUUGGACACGUUCGGAUGGGAAGGAGCCGCAAUAAGCCACUAUUUUUGGCUUCUCACGAGGGGAGGAAUGCACUCAGUGCGUUUUGUGGGGCUUCUGCCCGGCUUCUUGUCGCGAGCCAUUUCGAGGUGCACCGUUUAACACAGCUUCAUCAAAAGCCGCUCGAGAAGCUGGCCGAUGAGCCAUGCCAAAGGGGGCUAAAUGUCUUGUUGCUUAUGUAGCAUUCUUGGAAACAUAAAAUGAAAAAUAAUAGUCUAAUAUUUGACCAAUAAUUAUUAGUCUAACAUAUGAAAAGUUUAUGCUACAAAAGUGGUUAUUACAUUUGAUUUGUAUUUGGAAAUACUCUGGAAUGAUGAAAAUUUUGUUGCCACAAACGAUACAGUAUGAAAGAAUCAACAAUCAAAGUGUGAUCUUGGAAACGACAAGUGAAACCACAUCUUAUAUUUUGGCACAAGAGAGUCAUCAAAUAAAUAAAACAUUAAUUUGUAAGGUUGUUUUGGAUAAUUGAAUUGCUAGCAUGCAAGCUAAGCUAUAUGUAAUGUACACAUGGUGCGAACUUCUAUCUUUUUAAUUUAUUGACAUUAUUUUACAGCAAAAACAUCAACUAUAUGCUUGUUUCAAUUGGGUUUUCAGAUGAAAUCUAAUUAGAAAAUAUAUGUAAUAGCUAUUGUUUUUGUAUUGACUACCCAACAUACAUUCAUUUACUCCCUCUAUCUUUUAUAUGGCAUAUUAGAAUUGAAAAAGGUUAAUCUUUAUAAAAUUUAGCUAAUAUAAUUUGUUAAUGUUUAUGCAUGCUUAGUGUACUAAUGUGCACGAGUUGAUUUUUUGCAAUGGGUAAUAUAUUGUAAGAAAGGUUUAUGGUCAAUGCUUUUAAGUUAUAAAGACUUCUCUAAAUCCUAAUACACCCUAUAAAAAGAAAUGGAGGGAGAAUUUGAUGAAGUAGAUACAAAUAAAGGAAACAUAUUUGCAAAAUGAAUGCAAUGAUCUCUUAAUGACUACUGUUGUAAAUGCUUUUAAAUGAACAUGGAAAGUAAGACACACUGAAAUAGUACAUUCGAAAAUUUCCAUUGGCUAUAUUAUGGUCUUGCCGCACACAUCCUUAAGUUGUAUCAAAUACUACCUCUGGUCACAUAUAUAAGAGAUUCUAAAUUUGUCCCAUGUCAAAUUAUCCUAAAUUUGAUCAAGCUUAUAAAGAAGAAUAUUAAUGUCUACCUCAUCAAAUACUCCCUCCAUCCCAAGUACUAUUCGUUUUGGCUUUUCUAGAUACAUCACUUUUGUUACAUAUCAAGAUAUAAGUAUCACUACCAUAAGUAUCACUACCAUAGAAUAAGCCAUCACCGCCGGCCUAUCACCAUCGAUUUUAUGUAAACCAGUGGUGAUAUCCUUUCACUGCCGGUUUAGAAGCAAAUACGGGCAAUAACACUUAAAACCGGCGGUGAUGCUCCAUUUCACCCUUGACUGGUGUUAAAAACCGGUAGUGAUAGCAGCACCGCCAUAUUUUAACACCAACCGACGGUGAAACAAGAUGUGGACAUGAAAAAACUCUUCAAUCCACUUAACUCCCUUCUUACGUUCACCACCCCCAACGCCUCAACCCCCCCCCCCCCGCCACACUCCCCAUCCGUGCCCCCCUCGCUCUCACUCGGCCUCUCCUCCCUCCUCUCUAGAUCUCUCUCCAUCCACCAUCCCUCCCUUCUCUCCCUCCGCUGCCCCCGCCCCCUCCCUCUCUCCCGCAGGCCCUCGCUCUCUCCGCCGGCCCCCUCCCUUCCUCCCUCCGUCUCUCUCUGCACCAGGACCUCCCUCGGCUGCCCCUCCUCUCCCCCCUUCGCUUGCCCCUCACUCGCGGCAGCAAGAGCGACGAAGGGGUGAGAAGUGGUGGCAACACACGGGGCUGUGACAGUGGCGGAUGCGACAGCGCGCGGAUCUGCGACGGGGGAGCGGGUGCGAUGGCGACAGUGACGGGAUCUGGUGGCGGCGGCCCGUUACGCCUCUCUGUGUGUGCGCGCGCGCGCAGGCGUGUGUCCCCGGUUUUGCAGCGGGCGGCGGUUGGUCGGCUGGAGCCAGCAGUGCCGCGGCUGCCGGCGGGUGGUGACCGGCCGGCCGGAUCCAGCGGGGCUGUAGCGGUGGCGGGCAGCGGCGGCCGGUGGGUGGUGGGGUGCAGAUUUUUAUUUUAUUUUUUGUUUUUUUCAAUGGGCAUCACGCCGGUUGUUGGUUUGGUGGUGAUGCCCAUUCCUAUCACCGUCGACCCCAAAAACCGGCGGUGAUGUAGGUUUGGGGGAUGGCGGUGACAAGGCAUUCUCUAGUAGUGUAUAUAUGUAGGUGUAUAUCAAAAGUUAUGUAUCUAGAAAUCCAAAAUGAAUAGUAAUUUGAAACCGUCAAAGUAUAUUUUUAUAAUGGAUCUAACAGUGCUCAUUUGAUAUUGUAAAUAUUAUUCUUUGUAGACUUGAUCAAAUCUAGGAUAGUUUCACUUAGGAUAAACUCAUAUUCCUUAUAUUUCUAAACAGAUGAAGUACUUCACAAGGAAGAAAUUUAUAAUAUGUCUUUUUUGUAAUCUUAAAAGUAAUUGUUUAUUACACACAUGCACGUGCAGCAUUUGCGUGCCAUUUUACGAGGACAUCGCAAGAUGCUGUACUAUUAGGGAGCUGAACUCAUCAUCAAGAUUUUAACAGGUUGCAGCCUUUUUUAUUAUUCCUCAUGUGGAGGACUGGAAGUUUAUAUUUAAGUCUUCCUUUUUCAAGAGCUGUCAAUGUGUUCUAUUCUAUACAUGCAGAGAAGCCCAACUAAAGCUAAGUGCAAAUCGAGGACAGAAGCUAUCAAAUGCUCACGUUUUAUGAUUAAAUACCACCAAAUCCCAAUUCAUUAUCUGAGCAAUUGUAGGCAGAGUAGCUCCUGAUACUUCCAUGCCCAUGCGUAGUAUUCGAGAUUCUGUUGAGCUAGCGUACCUUUGUUCAGAAGACAAAUUCGUUUGCCCAAGAUGUCGGAGGACGCCUCUCAGCCCUGUGGGCUGUGGUAGUGGUGUAGAGUGUAGACACUCCACAGACCGUAUACACACAUGCAUGUGCAAUGACCAAACUACAACAAACUAUGAAAGAGGGAACAAUUCACUUCGAAUAGCAACAACAAUAAAUGGAGCAACAAACUACAAAAGUGUGGCAGGGUAGUAGUAAAAAGUAGGUGCCUGAAGUACACACAUUAAGGGAAAAAAAACUAGUUUCAGUUUAUUGCACCAUCAGAUCAGUACAGACCUAACUCGUUUUAUUCCUUACAUAGGUUAGCCUGCAUGAACUCUAGCUUAGUCCUCGGACAAAAACACCACGUACUGAACUGCCUCAUAAGCUACACGAGAAUACAGCAUGAUAUAUGAAGCCUACCUAAAACCGAUCGAAUUAUUACCAUGCAGUGGCGGCGGCGGAAAUCUACUCCGGAGUAAUACCAGUAAGUAGUAAAGCUACAGGCUCUUCGCCACUUCGCCUAUGUAUAUAUAGUGACAAGUGAGCCACCACCCGCAGCAGAUCGCAUAACACACACCAGUUUCAUCAGAAGGUGGCUCCUCAGGCAGCAGGAGCGCAGUCAUAGUCGUCGUCAUCGUCGUCACUGUCUGUCUCCGCCAUCCUUCGUCGCGCGCUCAGACACCCAUCGCAAAGGGCGCCCGAGGAGGACGCAAUGCUGCCGCCUUGGACGAGGUAGCUGGCGGCCUCCGCUGACACUGGUGCCAUGGCAGUUUAAAGUGUGUGCGCGCGCGAAUUACAAGCUACUACCAAAUUAAUUGACGCCGAGCAGCAAGCUCUUGCUUCCUCAAGCCUCGGGGUAGAAGAAGAAGCUUCUACUGUGGAUGUGUUGUGCUAGUGCUAUCUUAGCAGUGAUGUGAGUACUGGGUAGUGUCUGUGAUUUUGCACGGAGAGGGAGUGGCCGCGUGUGGCGGUGGCUUUAUAGCGCGCGGCCGGCGGAGGGAAGCGUGGUGGCAUGCGGUGCGGCGAGGCCGGGAGCGUGCACCGGUGCGGCGCUGCGUGCAUGGCGCCCCCGGGGCACGGGCUCAGGGCGGGCACAGUCAGCACUCAGCAGCCGCGCGUCGCCCCGCUUCCCCGGCCGCGGCCGCUGAAGGGUGGUGCCGGGUGCGUGCCGGGACCCCAAGCCAGAGAGGCCGCAGGCCGCAGCGUCCUCGCGCUCCGGUGGCGCCGAGCGUGCGCGCGCGACGUGGAGGUGCGGGAAUCGUAGCCGUUGGGCGCGUGCGCAGUGGGGACUAUCAAUUUCCGCGCAAUCUAGCCGACGAUCUCGCGACUUUCUUGGGAAUUAUUCGAUUUCCGUCGUGCUCGUGCGCCCCGGCGGCAAAGUAGAUUCGGGGACGCCGCGAUUAUCUGGGCCAAUCAGAAGCACAUGCGCCACAGCACUGCAGUGGCAUGGGUUAACAACGGUAAUUGGGUAGAGGGUCCUGUACGUAGAUACAAACGGUUCUUUACCUAUAGCUUCAAUGCCAAGUUCAGAGUCAGUUUAGAUUCUUUUUUACGCGCAAGUCAUUUUAUAAUCAGCUGUAGUCAAUGAUUAUAAAAUAACUUGCACAUAAAAAAAUUAUGACGAUGGAAAAUAAGCCUUACUCCAUAGAUGUAUAUAGGAGCUGUAGGGGCGCCGUCGUGCUAGGAUACGUUAGUUUGCACCUACCUACCAUGCACAAGUGUUUUCAUCGGUCACGUGGUGGAAAAACGUGAUGCCUAAGUUCCUCUCAGUUGUUAACGUAGAAGAUCACAAAAUAUCCAACAUGAACAACUAAAGCUUCACACACACACACACACACACACACACACACACACACACACACACACACACACACACACACACACACACACACACACACACACACACACACACACACACAGAUAGACACAAUGGGAGUGUAUCUUUUGUGCCAAGGGCAACUACCAACCUUUAGAUAUAAUAAGAUCAAAGUUUUUCUAGCAGAGCAUAUGCAAGAAAAUAAAAUAUCAUGGGGUGCCCUAAAUAGACCAAAAGCUUUUUGAGCGAAUCGGCGGGGAGUCCCCAACCCUUUUUUUUAUAUAAAUAAUGGUGCAUGUACAAAAAAGUUUCAAAACUCACAGGCUCAAAGAGAAAAAGUGGGGUGAAGACAAAAGUUACAGAAUGCUUAUCCAAUUAUCCAAGGAAAGCCUCACUAUCGUUUUGGCUUGCAGUAUAACUAGAGCCGUUUCUUCUCUGAAAUCCAAUUUCCACUUAGCCAUAGACCGAAUACCAUUAUCAAAGAUAAUACUGUUGCGAUGACACCAAAUGCACCAACUAGCAAUAAUGAUAAUCUCCCUGAAAACUGUUCUCCCAAAAUUACCUCGAGCCUGAAUGACCAUGUCCAAAGGGGCAGCCAAAGAUCCCAUGCAAUUCCCAGAAAUGACCAGCACAUUUGAUUGAAGGGACACUCAAAGAAUAAGUGCACAAAAUAUUCUUCAAAACCUGCAGAGCUACAUGCAUGUUCUUUCUUCUCAGGAGGUCUCUUAUAUUGAGGCGAUCUCUUAGCAAGAGCCAAAAGAAUAACUUGUGCUUGCUCCGAGUACAAAUUUCCACAUGAGUAUGGUGGGCGAGAUUUAUGGAUAUUGGAGUUAUGAGUAUUCACCUCCUUUCCAAAUGGAUUGAUUGAUUAGAAAGAGGGGAUGGCAUUGUGUGAUGAGAGUUGCUCAUUAUCUUGGCCAAAAAAAAGUAUACGCCUCCCCUUGCAUGACCUUCUCGCCCUUACCGGAGUCCGAUGGCAACAAGACAAAUUGUGCUAAAAUGCUAUAUAUCCAAGUCACUUGACAUAAUCAUAAUAAAGGAGGUUCAAGAUUACAAAAAGGAGAAAAUUUCAAGAAAUAGAAGGUAGUGGACCACUUAUAACACAAAGCCACAUGUUUUGUAUUUCUUUGCAAAACCAGACAUUUUACAAGAACCCUCACAUCUGACAUCCUGGUCCCACUCCUGCUUAGAUGGCUAUCCAAGGCAGAUGAUUUGCAUACACUGCCAAAGCCAAACUAUACUCCACAUCUACCUCGGUAGCUCCUAGCUAGUUUCUCCAUGUGAAACUCAUGGGAGUUGCCAAUCCCUCAGGCUUCAAAGUUAAUGAUCAUAUGAGAUCCAUAUUUUCUUAGUGGUUUUGCGCACACUAUCAGGACUCCGGCCAUUCAAUUAACCAGCAUCAUCCUGCAUAUAAAAUCUGACGACCUUCCUCAUACUGCACACAUUUGGACACUAAAUCACAAAAAUGAAAUGCCAAACAUUACUAAGUUGGUUGAAAAACUAAAUUCUUAACACGUAUAAUAACCUACCAAGAGACACGUACACUACUGGUAUUUAAAACUUCAAAGGCCCUACUACAUUUUCCAUGACAGGAUAUACCCCCAAAUAAAUCGUGAACUCAAAUUAGAAUACCCAAAUACAUCAUGUUCUGAAACUGAAUAAGUAAUUAGGCAUGUAGCUGGCUGUGUCAUACAGAGAGUGUCUUGUAGAGACGUAACUGACUUGUGUCCUAAUCAAGCUGAAGAAAUUUGGAACAGAUAAUUCAGUGCAAAAAAAUAUAUAUAUUGGAUAAAAAAGAGGUACAAUCAAUCAGUCAUCAUUUGCCUUUGUUUCUGCAUAAUACCACCACGCAGCAACAUCUAAACUGUUGUUCAAAUUGUGUCAUGCAUCAAGAAAAAAUAUUGCAUUGUUCCAUGGAGGAAUAAAAAAAGAAAAAAAUCGUGCAUCUACACACACAAAAGGACUGCACAUACAGUAAAGAAACAUAUGGACACUAGAGGGUGUAGGAGACACGGCCGUCGCGGUGGACCGGCGGUCUCUGAUGCUUACCAGGACAGAGGAAUGCGCCGGGAUCCUCCGCCCAUUAGAUAAACGGGCAUACUACUUAUUCAUUUACCUUAUUUUAGUAAUGAAUAUGCAACAUAUAUUCAAUUACUCUUGAGAAAAUUUCUUAUUUGACACUAGAAGAUGACUAAAUUCCUUUUUUGACACUGAAAAUUUUUUCGUCCCUUAUAUGACAUCAAGUUCUAUCUUAUAUUCUUCAUCACUUUUGUCACAUGAGCCGAACAAACAACCAUCAAAUCACCUCCAAAAUUAAUGAAACUUUUUUGAUAAUACAACAAAUGAAGAUGAGUCCAUAUUGACUAAAACUGCACAUGUACCUUUGCCAUUUUAAAAUAAAAUUCACCAAAUCUGACUACUUUGAAGCAUAUUUUUGAAUUUUUAUGGUAUCAAAAUACUUUCCAAAAAUUAUGAAAAAAUAGUUAAUAUUCCUUACAUGAGAUGUAGUCAUUAUUAAAUUAUUUUCUAUCAUAAUUUACAUAGAGAAUUACAAGGUUCUUUAAAAAUUUUCCAAAUUUACGUUUCUUCAUAAUUCUCUAUGUAAGUUUUGCUAAGAAAUAAUUUAAUAAGUUCCAGCAUCCAAUGUGACAAAUAUUAGUUAUUUUAUUAUAAAUUUUAAAAGUUUUUUAGUGACAUAAAAAUUCAGAUAACUUAUAAAGAUAGCCUAAGUUGGUGAAUUUUAAUUUUAAAAUCAUAAAGGUAUAUGUUUCCUUUUAAUAAAUAUGGGUUCAUAUUCAUUUGUUGUAUCUCUACAAAAAGUUUCAUGAUUUUUGGAGGUGAUUUGGAAAUCAUUUCACCUGACUUAACUAACAUAAGUGACGGAAAUGUCAAAUAAGGAAUGAAAGUUAGAAGUAGGUGUCAUAUUAGGAAGGAAAAACUUUUCAGGGUCAAGAAAGGAAUGAACUCAUCUUCCAGUGCCAAAUAAGGAAUUUCCUCCUCAUUUUUAGGGGUCCAUGUUUAUAAAUUUUAACUAAUAAUUAGUCAAUGUUUAUGCAUAUGUUUAGUGUAUAAAAGUUGUAUCAAUAGAUUCAUAUUUCAAAUAUCUUGGGAUGUGACAUUGAUUUUUAGUGUUGGGUAAAAAUAUGUAAGAGAAGUUAUAGUCAUUGAAGACUUCUCCAAAUCCGGGUGCACCCUAUAAAAAGAAACGGGGUUUCAUUUGGCAAAGUAGAAUAAAAAAAGAACAUAUUUACAACAUGAAUGCAAUAUUUUCUUAAUAACUUGUGCUUUUAAAUUAACCGGAAAAGUAAGACACUCAACCAAGAACUUUCAUUGGCUACAAUUAUGGUUUUGCUAAACUUAUGAGAACCUUAAGUACUGUCCAAUACUCCCUUUGUCCGCAAAUAUAAGGGAUCUUGAGUUUGUCCUAAGUUAAAUUAUCCUAAGUUUAGUUUUCAAAAAUUAUCCUAAGUUUGAUCUAGACUAUAGAGAACAUAUUAACUUGUGCUGCAUCAAAUAAGUAAACAAUGAAAAUAUAUUUCAUAAUGUACUUAUUUGAACUCACCACCAAGAUUAUAACGGACAGUAGUCUGUUUUCUUAAUUAUUUCUCAUGUGGAGCACUUGAAGUUUAUGUUUAAGUCUUCCCCUUUUCAAAGAGGGCUGUCAAUUAAUGUGUUCUACAUGCAGAAGCAUACCUGUGUGUGGGAUGUGGCAUGUCCAAUAAAGUGCAAACCAAAGACAGAAACCAUCAAAUGAUCAUGUUAUAUGUAAAAUACACAUAAAUUACAAUGCACUACCCAAGCAAUUGUAAUCCCAGAUACUUCCAUGUCCAUAUGCGUGUAGUAUAAUAAUAAAAUGUCCGUUGUCAGUAUUAUACAAAUUGACAAAGUCUGGACAUAGUAUCUCGUGAUGUGAGGAAAACAAACACUAGCUCUAACUAAUAGAGAUACAGUUGUGUACCUUUGUUAAGAGAAGAAAUUGGUUUGCCCAAGAGAGGUCUAAGGAUGCUCUCAGCCGUCUGGUAGCCGUGUAGCGACAGUGGACAAUCCACAGUCCGUACACGCAUGCGUGCAAUGACCAAACUACAACAAGCUACGACAGUGAGGCGACAACUCCCUUCGAAUUGUACGAGCAUGAUCGAUCAGCAAAUAAAAGUGUACCUGGGUGAGCAGUAAAAAGUAGUUGUCCGAAGUACACACAUUGAGGAAAAACUAGUUUCAGUUUAUUGCAUCAUGAGAUCCGAAGUACAGACCUAACUCGAUGUCUUUUAAUGCUUCCAUAUAUAGGCUAGCCUGCAUGAAUUCUAGCUUAGUCCUGGGACUAAAACCACACUCAGCUGCCUAGCUACCUAAAACCGAUCGAAUUAGUAGUACUGCUACAAGCUCUUCGCCACCUACUGAGCCACCACGAGCAGCAGAUAGCAUAACACACACCAGUUUCAUCAGAACGGUGAGCGCAGUCAUAGUCGUCGUCGUCGUCGUCGUCUGUCUCCGCCAUCAUUCCUCGCGCGCUGCGCCACCGGCAAGGCGCGGCGUAAACGGCGCCCGAGGAGGAUGCAAUGCUGCCGCCCUGAACGAGGUAGCUGGCCGCCGAGACUGGUGCUAUGGCAAUUUGCAAGUGUGUGUGGGCAAGUGAACUACUACCAAAUUAAUUGACGCCGCGCAGAAAGCUCUUGCUUGCUCGAGGUAGAAGAAGAUGCUCCUGCACUAGUAGAGAAUUGAGCUUUAUGUUGGAUAUAUAAGCACUUUUAGUUUUAACUUAAUCCAGAAAUAAAUCAUGAAUAUGAUGAACAAGCAGCAAGUUAAACUAGACAUGUCUACGCAAGAUCUAGACAAGUCUAUCAUUGCAAAUAGAAUCAGACAUUCUACCAUACUAUCCAGUGCUAUCAGACUGCAACAGAUCAUAAUAGCUAGUAUGGAAGACAUAAUGUGAGUUAAGAGAACGUACGUUUCUUUCUUGAUGAAAACCGGCUCCUGGACGACUACCGGAUACAGCAGGCGACGACGAUCAGCAGCCUGACGUUGUUCGCGACGACGAGUGAGGCCCGAGCGACGAAGAGGUAGACGAGCCGUGGUGAAGGAGUCGACGAAGAACUUGACGAAGCGGAGGAAGCGAUCGAGCAGUCGCGCAGAGUGCUUCCCAAAAACCUUAUUCGCCCUCUCCCGGUGCAGGAUCGCUGAAGACGACGGUUCCGGAGACCUGCUCUCCCAAUCGCCGGUGCACGCCGACAAUCGGGAUGGAGUAGACUACGGUGGCGGCGCAGCAGCGAGAGGAGGUAAAAACCCUAGCUCGAAUAGAUCUGUUUUUGGUAGAGGCCGGUAGGUCGCAUAUAUAGGAGAGCCCACGACUUAACGACCAAGUAACCAAAAAAUAAAACGGCAAAAGGAAGCCGCGCCCCCGCAAGGCGAGGGGCUGGAUUUCGGCGGACCAUUCACGUAGGUGCCGCACGCCCGCGCCCUUCGCCCGGCCCGGCCCGGCGUGGUGAGGUGAGGUGAGGCGAGGCGAGGCGAGGCGAGGCGAGGCGAGGCGAGGCGAGGCGAGGCGAGGCGAGGCGAGCGAGCGCGCGCGUGUGGAGCUCUCCUUCCCUCCCCACACACAUAGCUUGGAGGAGUGGAGACAACUUCUAUAUUUAAGUUGGUCAUCCCUCCCCUCCACUAGCAAUGUGGGAUUAAAGACUUGCACCACUCCACCUCUUGCCCACAUGGGCCUUUGAGAUUUAUUUGAAAUUCUGAAAUUACUUAUGGGCUAGGCCCAUUAUUUCAACAAUCCCCCACCAGAUCUCAAAUGCCCAUCAGAGAUUUUGCCUGUUUCUCACUGUUGUUUAUAUACUAGUGUUUCGGCGAGGACUGUUAAGUUGAACUCUCACCUAGAGCUUCAAGCUACAUUCAUCCACAACUUGAACAAUGGACAAAGCCUUGAAUUGCAAGUUUUGUGCGGACAAGUUUCACUCAAAGUCGGGACUAGUACCUGGCUGCCUGUAGCCUACCCCGCGGGUGGGGCAUAUAGGUCGUACCCCCCUGGUCUCUUCAUGACCUUAAUAGAGAUCACCCAAGUCUCACAGACUGCGAUCUUACAACAGUCGGGCUCAUAUAGGUAUAUUUUUCCAAGAUGUUCUGCAGGGCAACAUCUUUGCUAAUUAAAGCCAACAAAAUAUAUUAAGGCAGUAGCCAGCCUGCCAUGCAGUGGUUUGAGAGUGUUGCAUCAUUUCUCGAGUGGGUUAGUAGGAUACUCUCAUGCUAUCCCAUGGCUUGUUCUUCCUAGAUCCUACUUCACGGGAUCUCCGAUCACAUAGGUUGGGUUACCACCAUGGUGUAGCUCAUAUGGGUCUCAUACCCAUCUCCUUUGAUGCAUUGUCUAUCACAUUACGUGACAGCCCUUAGUGAACUGAUCUGCCAAGUUCUUAUCAGUUGAGAUGUAAUCCACUGAUAUUACUCCGGAGUUUCUCAUUUUCCUGACAGAUUUCAGACGUCUCUUAACGUGUCUUGAUAACUUCAUAUUGUCCUUAGAAUUGUUCACUUUGACAAUCACCGUUUGAUUGUCACAAUUCAUAAGUAUUGCCGGCAUAGGUUUCUCGACAAUAGGCAAGUCCAUCAAGAGUUCACGUAGCCAAUCAGCCUCAACUGUGGCUGUAUCUAAUGCUGCAAGUUCUGCUUCCAUGGUAGACCUCGUUAAGAUAGUCUGUUUGGAUGACCUCCAUGAAACAGCACCACCACCAAGAGUGAAGACGUAUCCACUUGUGGCAUACAGUUCAUCAGCACCAGAUAUCCAAUUUGAAUCACUAUAGCCUUCCAGCACCACAGGAUACCUGGAGUAGUGAAUUCCGUAAUCCAUAGUACCAACUAAAUAGCGCAUGACUCCCUCAAGCGCACGCCAAUGAUCAUCUCCCAGAUUAGAGGUAAACCGGCUCAGUUUGCAAACAGCAUAUGAGAUGUCAGGCCUAGUAGCACUGGCUAAAUACAUAAAUGAUCCAAUAAUCUGAGAGUAUCUUAAUUGGUCUCUACCAAUUCUCUUGUUUUUCCGAAGUAUCAAGCUCGGAUCAUAAGGUGUGGGAGAAGGCUUACUGUCCUUAAAGCCAAACCGGCUCAAGACCUUUUCCACAUAAUGAGAUUGCGUGAGAGUAAUCCCAUUCUCUCCUUUGAUCAACUUGAUAUUCAGAAUUACAUCAGCCUCUCCCAGAUCUUUCAUGUCGAAAUUUUGGCACAGAAAUAACUUGACCUCUUUGAUCACGUCAAGAUUUGUACCAAAGAUUAGUAUGUCAUCGACAUACAAGCACAAUAUAACUCCCUCACCCCCACCAUGGCGGUAGUACACACAUCUAUCAGCCUCAUUGACAGAAAAGCCUGCUGAUAUGAGUGUAGUAUCAAAUUUCUCAUGCCACUGCUUAGGUGCUUGUUUCAGGCCAUACAAAGAUUUCAGCAAUUUACACACCUUGUUCUCUUGACCCUUUAUUACAAAUCCAUCAGGCUGAUUCAUAUAAAUUUCCUCAUCCAACUCUCCAUUAAGGAAAGUUGUCUUAACAUCCAUCUGAUGGACGAGAAGACCAUGUGAGGCAGCAAGGGAAAGUAAUACUCGAAUACUGGUCAAUCUCGCAACAGGUGAGUAAGUGUCGAAGAAAUCUUCGCCUUCUUUCUAGGUAUAACCCUUAGCCACAAGUCGAGCCUUGUACUUAUCAAUAGUACCAUCAGGCCUAAGCUUCUUCUUGAACACCCACUUGCAACCCACAGGUUUACAACCAUACGGUCGAUCAACAACCUCCCAAGUUCCAUUAGAAAGAAUAGAGUCCAUCUCACUAUGGAUAGCUUCUUUCCAAUCAUUUGCAUCUUGCCUCUGAAAUGGUCUUAGGAGUAUCAUCUACGAGAUAGACAGUGAAAUCAUCACCAAAGGACUUUGUAGUUCUUUGUCUCUUGCUCCUCUUAGGAGCUUCACUGUUAACCUCCUCAUGAACUGGCUCAAGUGUUUGUUCAGCAUGAUCAGGAAGCACAAUAGGUUCAGGAGUUGUCUCAGCAAUCAUAUCAGAAGAUAGUCUAGACAUACUAUGCAAUUGUUUCAUAGGAAAUAUAUUCUCAAAGAAAGUAACAUCACGAGACUCCAUCAAGGUAUUAACAUGAACAUCAGGCACCUCUGAUUUAACCACUAAAAAUCUAUAGGCUAUGCUAUGAUGAGCAUAUCCCAAAAAGACACAAUCCACAGUUUUAGGUCCCAACUUACGUUUCUUGUUGAUUGGCACACUAACUUUGGCCAAGCAACCCCAAGUGCGUAAGUAUGAAAGUGAUGGUUUUCUUCCAAUCCAUUCUUCAUAGGGAGUUUUCUCCUUAUUCUUCAUGGGUACUUUAUUCAGGACAUGACAUGAAGUCAAUACAGCCUCCCCCCACCAUGCCUUAGAUAAACCACUGGUGUCUAACAUGGCGUUCACCAAGUCAGUCAAAGUGUGAUUCUUUCUUUCGGCAACCCCGUUUGAUUGGGGCGAAUAGGGAGGCGUCCUCUCAUGUACAAUACCAUGUUCUUCACAGAACAAGUCGAAAUCAUUAGAGAAAUACUCGCCACCACGAUCAGACCUAAUUCUCUUGAUCUUUUUCUCAAGCUGAUUCUCAACUUCAGCCUUAUAGAUUUUAAAGUAGUUAAGAGCCUCAUCUUUCAUUUUCAAUAAAUAUACAUAGCAAUAUCUAGACGCAUCAUCUAUCAAAGUCAUGAAAUAUCUUUUCCCACCUUUGGUCAACACACCAUUCAUCAGAAUGAAUGAGUUCAAGUGGUGCCAAGUGUCUCUCCUCAGCUACCUUGUGAGGUUUUCGAGGUUGUUUAGAUUGCACACAACUAUGGCACUUAGAACCUUUGACGAUGGAAAAAUUCGGAAUUAAACACAGGCUGGAAAGUCGAGACAUAGAACCAAAAUUCAGAUGACAUAAACGUGAAUGCCAAACACUAGCAUCACUCUCAUUAAUACCAUCACAAAUAUAGUUCACUGACUUAUUGCAAUAAUCUGUAAGGGAAAAGCAGAACAAGCCUCCGCACUCAUAGCCUUUACCAAUAAAUUAUCCACUCUUAGACACGACAAUUUUAUUAGACUCAAGCACUAGCUUAAAGCCAUCCCUACACAAAAGGGAGCCACUAACUAGAUUCUUCCUGAUAGAAGGGACAUGCUGCACGUUCUUCAGUUGCACGAUCUUUCCCGAAGUAAACUUCAGAUCUACCGUACCAACACCAUGAACAGAAGCAUGUGACCCAUUCCCCAUUAGGACGGAGGAAUCCCGAGCGACCUGGUAAGAUGAAAACAAGGAGGCAUCAGCACACACAUGAACAUUAGCACCAGUAUCAAGCCACCAAGUAUUGGUAGAAUGAAACACUGAAAAAACAGAAGGUAAAUUACCAUACCCACUAUUUCCAUCUCCAGCGCUGGUCACCAUGCUUACAGACUUCUGCUGUGGAGGUUUUCUUCCUUUGCGGUUUGGGCACUUCUUUGCCCAAUGGUCAGUAGAACCGCACACGAAGCAUCCCUCGUUCUCCUUGUUCUUCUUCUUCUUGAAGGUAGUGGACUGCUUAGGCUUAUUGUUCUUGCCCUUGCCCUUACCACCAUUGCCAUGGUGAUGUGAUUGGUGCACCAUAUUGGCACUGGUCUGACCCUCAACAGCUUUAGAUCGUCCAUCUUUAGCCCGAGCUUUCUCCUCAACAUCAAGAGACGCAAUCAAGUCUGAAACAGAAAUUUCUAUCCUCUUGUGUUUGAGAGAAGUGGCGAAAUCCCUCCAGGAUGGAGGUAACUUGGCAAUAAUGCCCCCAGCCACAAACUUGUCGGACACGACAAUCUUUAGCAGAUCGAGUUCCAUCACCAUGCACUGUAAUUCAUGAGCCUGAGCGACUACAGAUUUUCCGUCAACCAUCUUGUAGUCAUGAUACUGCUCAAUGAUGUACAGUUCAGUGCCAGUAUCUGAGCCACCGUAGUUGGCAGUCAGAUCAUCCCACAACUCCUUUGCGACCGUGUGAUGAAGGUACACAUCCUGCAGAUGUUCUGCAAGUGCACCAAUCACAGCGCCCAAGAAGAUUGUGUUGGCUUCCGAAUAUUCUUUCUCCUUUUCAGGAGAGAGAACCCCUUCCGGUUUGCCAUUGGAAACCCAGAACACCUUCAUGGCAGUAAGCCACAGCGUGGCUUUCACCUGCCACCUCUUGAAGUGCACGCCAGCAAACGGUGCUGGCCUCAGUGCAUCAAGAAAUCCAGCCAUAAAACUAAAGUGCCUACAAUAAGGUUUUUGGAUUGUUGGAUAUAUAAGCACUUUUAGUUUUAACUUAAUCCAGAAAUAAAUCAUGAAUAUGAUGAACAAGCAGCAGAUUAAACUAGACAUGUCUACGCAAGAUCUAGACAAGUCUAUCAUUGCAAAUAGAAUCAGACAUUCUACCAUACUAUCCAGUGCUAUCAGACUGCAACAGAUCAUAAUAGCUAGUAUGGAAGACAUAAUGUGAGUUAAGAGAACGUACGUUUCUUUCUUGAUGAAAACCGGCUCCUGGACGACUACCGGAUACAGCAGGCGACGACGAUCAGCAGCCUGACGUUGUUCGCGACGACGAGUGAGGCCCGAGCGACGAAGAGGUAGACGAGCCAUGGUGAAGGAGUCGACGAAGAACUUGACGAAGCGGAGGAAGCGAUCGAGCAGUCGCGCAGAGCGCUUCCCAAAAACCUUAUUCGCCCUCUCCCGGUGCAGGAUCGCUGAAGACGACGGUUCCGGAGACCUGCUCUCCCAAUCGCCGGUGCACGCCGACAAUCGGGAUGGAGUAGACUACGGUGGCGGCGCAGCAGCGAGAGGAGGCAAAAACCCUAGCUCGAGUAGAUCUGUUUUUGGUAGAGGCCGGUAGGUCGCAUAUAUAGGAGAGCCCACGAUUCUCACGUCGCGAUCGUGAUCUAAACCGGUUAGGAUUCCAUAUAUCAAGGCGAGGGGCUGGAUUUCGGUGGACCAUUCACGCAGGUGCCGCACGCCCGCGCCCUUCGCCCCGCCCCGCCCGCCCGGCCCGGCCCGGCCCGACGAGGCGAGGCGUGGCGUGGCGAGGCGAGGCGUGGCGAGGCGAGCGAGCGCGCGCGUGUGGAGCUCUCCUUCCCUCCCCACACACAUAGCUUGGAGGAGUGGAGACAACUUCCAUAUUUAAGUUGGUCAUCCCUCCCCUCCACUAGCAAUGUGGGACUAAAGACUUGCACCACUCCACCUCUUGCCCACAUGGGCCUUUGAGAUUUAUUUGAAAUUCUGAAAUUACUUAUGGGCUAGGCCCAUUAUUUCAACACUUUAGUCCCGGUUGGUAGAGUGCAAAUAUCCCGAAAAUCCAUCCGGGACAAAAGGUGGGGUCUUUUAUCCCGGGUCACUCAACCGGGACAAAAGAUCUCGGUUGGUAAUACCAACCGGGAUAAAACGGGUCACCACGACCGGAGCUGCAAAGAAAAAAUUCCGAGCUCCCAGGAGGCCCCCACACACGCACGUCGUAAGUCGCAAGUCACGCGAUUUUUCACGCGAAAUAUGCGCGUGCGCGCUGCGUGGGAUUCGAACCCACAACCUCUAGCCUCGCGCGUACCUUCCUUGCCAUCCCACCAACACACCACAUCUGACUGUGUAGGGGAUGCUAUCCUUUUGUAUUAACUCGUGGGGGAACCGGGAUAAAAGGGGGGUCUUUUAUCCCGGUUGGUGUUUCAAACCGGGAUAAAAUGCCUCUCAGGAUCUUUUUUUCACACUAGCCUUUGCAACCGGGAUAAAAGGUCCCGGUUGGUGAACCCCCCACAGUGACAGAGCUUUAAUCCGGGUUGGUAAACCUUUUAUCCCGGGCCAACUUUAAACCGGGACAAAAGGGGACGCAUCAAAAGCCAAUUCUCUACUAGUGGUUGAGCUGCAGGUGCUAAUGGCUAGGACUGCAAAAGGGUUGGACAACUUUGAGACACUUGAGAAGGCUUCCAAGGACCUUCUGUAUGAGGAAUCCAAUGGAUGUGAUAAGGAGUUCACAGUGUUACGUGCGGUCCUUGAGCUGAUGAAACUGAAGGCCAUCCACGGGUGGUCGGACGCGUUUUGGGUGAUGAGCAAGCUGCGGCUCACAUGCCAAAGGAGUCUUGACCGAGUGGUCAAGACGUCCGAGCGGCACCUCCUAGGUCCAGGUUCAAUCCCGGGUGGGAGCGAAUUUACGACUAAUUAUUCAUUCAGUGGGAGGUGACGUCCCCGUCGACAGCGAGGUGACUUCGUGAAUCUCAAGAUCAAGCAGGUCCAGCCUUUCGAAGGCGCUCAUGAGGGUAGAGUGUGUGUGCGUGUGUUCAUAGGGGUCAUGACUCGUACGUGUUUGUGAGUGUCUGCACUUACUUUGAAAAAAAAAAGCUGCUAGCCAGAGACAGCCGUUCUCCAUCAGAAACAAUCAAGCAUGAUUUGUUGCUAACUACUACUAACUCAUCAGACAACAGUCUAAAAACUCAUCAGACAACCUCUGUCGCUCAAUGAUAUUUCAUCACGAACAAGUAUCUUCAAAAGUCACAGAAUGUGACACAACAGCAUACCAGAAGGGCAUCAGUAUCGUGUCAGUAACCGCUACCAGCGCAAGCGAACACGGUAAGCGCUAUCAUGAACCAAAAGUAAUAUGACUCCUAAAAGUAAAACUAUUCGCUCUUCCAGUUUUCCACGUUCCAUUAUAAACGACUACUCUGGAAUUGGCAGUAGUGGUAGGACUGCUAGUCAACUUGAUGACUGACAAAACACUUCAGCAAAUCAGCCAUACGUCUCCACACGACUACAACCGCUUUGUCUUUCAGUACAUUCAAACCUCUCCACGACCACACCAUCAGUACUCAAAGCUAGUUCUGGCCCUUCUUUCCUGGAUUUGUCGGCGAGGAAGCUACGAGCAGUAAAACAACUCAGAGUCAGUUUUAGAACCGUUCCAGAAGUAAAGAAAACUAGUAGAUCCCCCUAAACAGCAUUCAGAAGAAUUUCAAAUAGAUAUGAUAGAACAAUCAAAGAAGCCUCUGUACUGUAUGCACCAACAAAAUUUAGUGGACUGCUCCUAGAAUGCAUAUGUGCACAUAAGUGACACCAGGAUUUCAUUGGUUUGUACCCAUGAAAAUAAACGACCCAUGCUCUGAUCCUACUACCAUCACCCAUAUAUGUUAAGGAAAUGAGAAAUUAAUGAUACAUAUUCACACGUGAAAAGAAUAAUUCACAACAUACAACAUGAAAAAGAAGUUAAUAGAAAAAACAUUAAUAUUAAAGUGGAAAAUAUGGUCACAACAGCUUAUGAAGGCAUCUCGAUUCUCCUAUACUCCUAACAGAGAAAGCCUAUUACCAGGUAAAGCUUUCCUGGUGCAUUGGAGAUGAAAGCUGGCACCAUGGAAUAAAACCUUAUAGGAAUGCUAUAGUAGAUGGAGUUUGUAUGACUUUAGUAGCACAACAAGCAAAAACAAUAAAAAAUAAAUAUCAUCCAUAGAAGCUAAAUUGGCAGCGGGUCUUUCAUAUGAGAUCAAGCACAGCAAAUAAUCCUCAUUAUCAAUUUUAAAUCAACAGGAAAGUCAAAGAACGGGCGUUACUUACGUCCAUGAAAAAAGAUGUAUGAGGACGCACUCAGCUCCCUAACACCCAUUCUGGCAAGAAUUCCUCUGUCUGCGGCUGUUGAUAGCAUUACAGUGAGAUCAACAUGAGGGAGUGGAGUCUCAGGACAGAUUCCAUCAAACACUAUAAGCAAAGAUCCACUUUUAUCAUCUCCAGGUUCUUCAAUGUCCAAUAGAGACCAGCCCUUCAACCUUCGUGUCACAGAGGUACCCAACAGUUCAAGUAUCUCUUUCUGCAUCAGAUCUGAUUUUCUUUGGAGUUCCUUAAUAGCAACAUAUAGCUUCUUUGGUUUGAGGACCUGAUAAAUGACCCCCUUUUAUCCCGGUUGGUAUUACAAACCGGGAUAAAAGGCUCUCGACCCUUUUAUCCCGGUUGGGUCUUUUAUCCCGGGCCUUGUUUAGUUCGCAAAAUUGGGAGGUGCCAAAUUACUGUUACAGCACUGUAGCACACUGUAGCGUUUUGUUUGUAUUUGUGAAUUAUUAUCCAAAUAUUGACUAAUUAGGCUCAAAAGAUUCGUCUCGCAAAGUACAACAAAACUGUGUAAUUAGUUUUUAAUUUCAUCUACAUUUAGUACUCCAUGCAUGUAUCGCAAGUUUGAUGUGAUGGGGAAUCUUCUUUUUGCAUAGUGUCAAAGUUGGGAGUUGGGGGUGAAGUAAACAAGGGGCCGGUUGGUGUUUCAAACCGGGAUAAAAUGGCUCUCAGAAUCUUUUUUUCACACUAGCCUUUGCAACCGGGAUAAAAGGUCCCAGUUGGUGAGCCCCCCACAGUGACAGAGCUUUAGUCCCGGUUGGUAAAUAUUUUAUCCCGGGUCAACUUUAAACCGGGACAAAAGAAAACGCAUCGAAAGCCAAUUCUCUACUUAGUGCUGUGGCUGAUGGGAGCUGUGGAUGCGGUGUGCUAGUGCUAGCUUUAGCCGUGGUGUUGCUGGUGUCUCGGAUUUUGCACGGAGAGGGAGUGGCCGUGUAUGGCGCGGGCUUUAUAGCGCGCGGCCAGCAGAGGGCGGUGUGGCGGCACGCCACGCGGCGAGGCCGGGAGCGUGCACCGGCUGCGGCGCUGCGUGCAUGACGCCCCCGCGGCACGGGCUCCGGGCGGGCACAGUCAGCACUCGGCAGCCGCGCGGCGCCCCACUCCACCGGCCGCGCGCCGCUGACGGGUGCCGUGGCCCCGUGGCAGUGGCCGCAACGGCCUCGCGCCCCGGUGGCGCCAAGCGUGCGCGCGCGACGUGGAGGUGAGGGCCACACAACCUCGGGCAGUCGGGCGCGCGCAGUGGGGACUGGGGACGAGGGAGGGGAGGGCCACAGCCGGGCGCGAGCGACGCUGAUGCAAUGCAGCAAGAAAGCAGGAAGAUGAUAUCUCAGCGAUUUUCUUGGGAUUGAUUCGAUUUCAAUCGUGCGUCCGGGCGGCAAAGUGGGAUUCGGGGACGCGACGAUUGUCUGGGCCAAGCAAAAAGCACAUGCACCACAGCAGUGGCAUGAGUUACAGCAAAGGCAAUUGGGUGGAGAAAUCCACGAUACCUAGAUGCAAACGGUCCUUUUCGCCAUUGCAAGUUCAGAGUCAGUUUAUUUUUUUAAUGCGCAAGCCAUUUUAUAAUCUGAUAUGCCUUUUAGGGUUGGGCUAGGAUUUGUUCCGUAAAAGAUGUGUUAGGUCUUUCUUAUGCCUCAGUCACUUUUCAUGAAUUUGCAAUUUUGCAUACUCAUCUGAAAGUUUCCGAGGUAAAAGUAGAAAAUGUUUCUGCUUCACGGUAAAAAUAAUAAAUUUUAAAUAGAAAAUUCUUAUGGUUCGUUCUAUAUAAUAUAGCUUACGCAAAACAACACUAUAAGAAAUCUGUUAAUCUAUAAUAAUUUUUUCUCGUGACGUUUUCACUCCCUAACGUAUCAAGGAUCGACUGCAUCACCUCCUAACGUAUCAAGGAUCAACUACGUCACCCCCUCAAUUAUAAAAUCGGGUUUUUAAUCUCCCUCACUUUUUCAAAACCGUUUAAAAGACCCUAAAGUGGUUUUGCCACUCUAGCACGUUGAUGUACUGUGGACUGAGAUGCUGAUGUGGAUCGCUGACAUCUGAGUUCCCACUAACUUCCAUGGAUCACGCGCCCGUGUGUGCUGGUCCUGUGCAAGCCGCGCCUCCAGCCCUACGACUCCCCACACGGUGCCAUCCUCCCCACGCGGCUCCCCAGGUUCUCCGGCGACCGCCACCUCUACGACGCGCAGGACGAGUCCAUCCAGGUAGAGGCUACGCAGCCUGGCCUCCGAUUCGUCGUCCAACGCUUGCCGCAACUCUAGCAUUACCAGCUGCGGCCGACGAGGCUGCCGGACUUGGGCAGUAUGAUGAACCGCGGCAGGACACCCUCCAACAUAAGCAGCCCCUCGUCCUUUUGCAGUGCUUCAAGAAGCUUGUCCACGGCCGGGUUCUUCACCUUGGUGUGCCCGGCACAACCAUCAUGCCAGUGAAAGUCCUUUGAAGCUGGAGUCAUAAGACCACAGAUAUGUUGGUCCAUCAUCAUACAAGAACACGAGAUGCUCGCAAAAAGUCCCAGGCACUCGAUUUUGAAAAUGUGAUCGAAUCAUGAUCCUCACAUCUCCUGGAAUGGAAGUGUGGAAUCGAGCAACUCUCCGAUGCGCGUAAACGACUAAACACAACACAAACAUUAUUACAAAAAGGAAACUGAAUAAGAAAACACCAACACAGAUGUCGAAUCAAUUGAGUCCAGCUGCCGGCAAGCCGGUCAAAGUGGCAUUGCCUAAACCAUCCCUCGCCAUGAAGAAGGCUUACACAGACAGGAUCAUUAGAAGGUGGGCAACUUGAUCCUGUUCGUGCACUUGCUCUUCAUCGGCAGCGUCCAGUCGAUGAACUCCUUACCCGCACGAUCGAGUGCCCGGCAGGGGCGGAGCUUAGUGUAGUGUAAAGGGGGUCAUGGCCACCCCUGGCUAUUGGAAAUAUCCACUAUAUGAAUAGUAAAUCAGCUAGUGUUCAUUGAUUUUCAGAGCAAAUUAGCAUAGCUGGCCCCCCGGAUUUGUUGCUGAAGCUCCGUCACUGGUGCCCGGGAAAGAUGAAAUGACAAACAUUACUAAGUUAGUCAAAACAAAAUUCUUAAUGCAUAUGAGAAUCUGCCAAGAAAGAUGACUCGUGUUUAAACCUUCAAAGGCCCCUACUACAUUUUUCAUAACAGGGUAUAUCUCCAAAUAAAUCAUUAACCAAAUUUGGAAUACGCAAAUAAAUCAUGUUCGUAAAUGGAAUAAGUAAUCAGAUAUCUGGCUGGCUUCCUCAUGCGGAUAGUAUCUUGUAGAGAUGUAACUGACUUGCGUCAUAAUUAACCAGAAGCUGUUUGGAACAGAUUCAAGAAUCUUUAUAAACUAGCCAUCCCCUAAUAAAAUGUCUGCAUAAUAACAAAAUGAAUAAGCCAUCAUAUUCGAGGAUGAGCAUUGCUGUGAAUCCAAUAUAGGAGAGCAUUGUUGUGAAUCCAAUAUAGGAUAUUAGAAAUCAUGGUUACUUUCCUCUAUAGAUGUAUCCCUAUUUUUAAAAAAAAUACUAAUAAUUCGGGAAAAUGGUAGAAUGGCAUGGAAUGAUAAAUCACUAUGCCAAAAAGGUUGAUACCAACGAGAUGUUCCAAACCAUGUAAUAUUUAAAUUUUUUUACUAUCCCCUCUCCAGAAAAAUUGUGAUAUGAUUGUGUCCAUUUGGCAGUGUGUUCCUUCAUAGAACUAAGAACAUGCCCAUUAGAUAAAUGGGCAUCCUACUUAUUUAUUUACCUUAUUUUAGGAAUGAAUAAUAUUCAACAUAUAUUCACUUACUCUCAUAUUUUAUAGGGCAUGCUAGAAUCUGAAAAGGUCAAUCUUUAUGAACUUUAGCUAAUAAUUAGUCAAUGUUUAUACAUCUUUAGUGUACAAAAGUUAUAUCAAUAAAUUCAUAUUUUAAAUAUCUUGUGAUAUGACAUUGAUUUUUAUUAUCAGGUAAUAUAUGUAAGAGAAGUUAUAUUCAAUAAUGAAGACAUCUCCAAAUCCUAGUACGCUCUACAAAAAGAAACGCAGAGUGCAUUUGGUGAAGUAGAAUAAAAAAAGACCAUAGUGGCAACAUGAAUGCAAUGUUAUAACUUAAGUUUGUUUAUCCUAAGUUUGAUCAAGUCUAUAGAGUUUUUCGAACUAAACAAGUCUAUCGGGUAUAUUAACUUAUGCUACAUCAAAUAAGUAAACUAUAAAAAUAUAUUUCAAAAUUUCAUAAUGGAUCUAAUAUAUAUGGUGCUCAUUUGAACUCAUAACAAAAAUUAUAUCGGGCAGUAGUCUGUUUUUUUUAAUCAGUUCUCCUGUGGAGCACUUUAAGUUUAUGUUUAAGUUUUCCCCUUUUCAAAGAGAUGGCAAUGUGUUCAGAAGCAUACAUGUUCUUGGGGUGUGGCACGCCUAAUUAAGUACAAUUCAAAGACAGAAACCAUUAAAUGAUCACGUUUUAUGAUAAAAUAAAAAUUACACACAUAAAUUCGAAAGCACUACCUCAGCAAUUGUAACCCCUGAUACUUUCAUGUCCAUGCGUGUAGUACAAAUUGACACAGUCUGGACAUAGUAUCUUCGUAAUAUGAGGAAAACAAACACUCUAAUUAAUAGAGAUACAAUUGAGCGUACCUUUGUCCAGAGAAGAAAUCGGUGUGCCCAAGAGCUUGGAGGACGCUCUCAACCCUCUGUUGGCCGCGUAGACACUCCACAUACCACGGUCCGUACACGGAUGCAUGCGAUGACCAAACUACAAGGAGCUAUGAGAGAGAGGCGACAAUUCACUUCCAAUAAAUAAGAGUAUAUAAGUAGUAAAAAGUAGGUGCCGACGUACAAACACUGAAGAAAAAUUAGUUUCAGUUUAUUGCAUCAUGAGAUCCGAAGUACAGACCUAACUCGAUGUCUUUUACUGCUUGCAUAGGCUAGCCUGCAUGAACUCUAGCUUAGUCCUGGGACAAAAACCAUACUUAACUGCCUCAUAAGCUACACGAGAAUACAUCAUAAUAUAGGAAGCCUAGCUACCUAAAACCGAUCGAAUUAUUAGCAAGCAGCAGCGGCGGCACUCCAAUUCCGGUGUGAUAUCAGUAAUAGUGAGCCACCACGCGCACCAGAUCGCAUAACAUACACCAGUUUCAUCAGACGGUGUCUCUUUAUCAGGCAGCAGGAGCGCAGUCAUAGUCGUCAUCGUCGUCGUCGUCUGUCUCCGGCAUCCUUCCUCGCGUGCUGCGCCACCCAUCGCAAGGCGCGGCGUAAACGGCGCCCGAGGAGGACGCAAUGCUGCCGCCUUGGACGAGGAAGCUUACCGCCUCCGCCGACACUGGUACCAUGGCAGUUUUUAAGUGUGCGUGCAAGCGAGCUGCAAGUUACUACCAAAUUAAUUGAUGCCGCGCGCAGCAAGCUCUUGCUUGCUCGAGGUAGAAGAAGCUGCUACUGUGGCUGAUGGGAGCUGUGGAUGCGGUGGGUCUGCUAGUGCUUGCUUAGCUGUGGUGUUGCUGGUGUCUGUGAUUUUGCACGGAGAGGGAGUGGCCGCGUGUGGCGCGGGCUUUAUAGCGCGCGGCCGUCGGACGGCAGUGUGGCGGCACGCGGCGCGCGAGGCCAGGAGCGUGCACCGGCUGCGGCGCUGCGUGCAUGGCACCCCUGCGGCACGGGUUCCGGGCGGGCACAGUCAGCACUCGGCAGCCGCGCGGCGCCCCGCUCCCCCGGCCGAGCGCCGCUGACGGGUGGGUGCCGGACCCUAUGGCAGUGGCCGCAGCCGCUCGCUCUCCGGUGGCGCCGAGCGUGCGCGCGCGACGUGGAGGUGCGGGAAUCGCAGCCCUCGGGCGAGCGCGCGCGCGCGGUGGGGACGGCGCGGGAGGGGAGGGCCACAUCCGGCGAGCGACGCUGAUGCAGCGGGAAAGCAGGGUAGGGUCGGUCCGUGCGCUCGUGGCCCAGCCGCCCCAGCGGGGCCGAUCACUUUCCGCGGCAUCUAGCCGAGGAAGAUGACAAUCAGCGAUUUUCUUGGGAUUUAUUUAUUUUUUACGCGAUCUUGGGAUUUAUUCGAGUGCGCCGACUGCGCCCGCCCGGCAAAGUGGGAUUCGUGGACGCGGCGAUUAUCUGGGCAAGUAGAAGGCACAUGCGCCACACACUACAGCACUGAAGUGGCAUAUGGGUAAAGAAAGGCAAUCGGGUGGAGAAAUAUAUUGUGCGUAGAUCCAAAAGGCUUUGUACACCUCGCUGUUCACCAUCUCCCUCUCCUCUCUCAAUGCAUUCACUGCAGGCAUCAAAACGAAUAGCUUUGAUACAUUUGCUAAAAUCAAUGUCCAACUUUCUCGGUUGUAAAAUCGAUUUUUCGAUAAUCUUUGUCCCGUUAAAUUGUUAGUGACACUACGUUACAAAAUAGUACUACUUAUUACAAAUUUGAUUAAAACUAGACAUGACGAUUUACAAUUUAAAAACAGAUGGAGUAACUAUAUGGAUGGUUUGGUUUUGUUUAAGAAGCAAAGGGCGAUUAGCAGCUGCCGGCAUGGUCAUCAUCAUAAGACUCAAAUCCAUAGGCCAAGAUCCAAAUUCUGAAGAUUCAUGCGAGAAGAUGUCAACAGCUAGCUUUAGGUUAGCUGGCAGUAACGCCAUUCAGCUUUUUUUUUUCUUUUUUGAUGAGGUGCGUAACGCCAUUCAGCUGCACCAACUCGUUUAAGCGAUCAGAGUUGGUGACAUUACGCACCAGCUCUUACACUUACCAACAUUAUUACUCAAUAAUUUUUUUACACGCACCAACUUUUUUUCAUUCAUCAACAUUUUUUGUUUAACAUUUUUUAACAUUCACCAAUUUUUUUACGUAAAAAAUGUUGAGGUACUUCGUUAGAUGUCGGUGUUUAGACCCGGCAACCUACCAAAGGGGGUGCCCAAGGUAGUGUUUUGGUUGAUGGGGCUCGUCGAGAUCAGGAACUCGAAGGUAAACGCAAACACACGAUUUAGACAGGUUCGGACCGCUAGAUUGCGUAAUACACUACGUUAUAUGUGUUGGUUGGAUUGAAUUGCUUGGGAGAGAAUCUCCGCCUCGCUUUAUAUAGUCGGGGGCAGGGUUACAGGUCAGUUGGUUACAAGAAUACUAGUUGGAUACGACUAGAAAGAGACUACCCUAUUACAACGAGUGCUUUCUUAGUCCUCGACCAGUUCAUAUCUUUCCAUGUAGACUACGCCAUCAUGCGUUAUGGUCUCCAUAUCAGAUGCGUCUCGUUGUCCAGCCUCAUAUUUGGAACUAUCCAAACUUUCUGGUGGGUUCAUAAAUAGUAUUUAUGUACGACACCGUUGUGGGUCUAUUAUUAGGCUACUGCUGGGUUACAUACGUACGUACGUAUGUAUAUGUUCCGAUGGAUAUGAUUUCCGGGCAUUAUGGGCGUGUGAUACGGCAUAUACGAGAUACAAUGGGCCGAGCCUAAUUGAGACAACGGGGCCUGAAAACGCACUCCUAGGCCUCUUCAGAUUUGGGCUAGUCUGGGCUAUUUUUAUCCCACUCCAUGUUGUCAUGGGCCUGAACUUCACACAACAGCGAGCAAUUCGGCCGUGCUACAUACAGCCACCAACAACCAUCUCCUCCUCCCUCCCCGUCCCUACGAGGCCCCGUUUACAGCCUACAAUCACAAACCCACCGCACGCUCGUCAACGUUUUCGCACGUGUCCGCUCGCGCUUUACUCGAUCCUAUUGCACCAUCACCGCGCGGUAGCUUUGCUUAGCAUCCAGCCAUCCAUCAAUAGCCGGGCCAAGUAGGCCACCCGGCGCAGCGGCACUGCACGGCGCCGCACAGCAGUACACGCGCCGGCCCACCCGAACGUACCUAGUUGUCGUCACCCCACCGGUGGCUGCCUCCAGCGCGCCCAUGCCCUGACCGCUUGACGCCCAUGUGCAGUCUGGUCUGGCUCCCGCGGCGGGGAGCUGCCGAGCUAGCGGCAACCCCCAAGAAUGGAAUGCGCGAUCGCCACGGCCCACGGUUGGUUGCCGCACCCCGGGCCUCGGAGGUACGUGCGAUUCGUGGUCGGACGCUGCCUGCCUCCAUCCGCCGUGGAACCGACGGGGAUACGAUACAUGAUACGCGCCGUAACUCGCGAGCUUGGCGUCUUCUUCUUGGCUGCUCGUGUCGUGCUUGACGGUGUGGUUCUGUUCGCUGGGGGCAGAACACGGGUAGGUAUGCUUAGCUAGCGAGGGAGGAGGUUCAGAGAAUCAGAGAGGUCGCAAGCUUCAAGACUUCGUCCCGUGGGGAUUCUGAUCCUCUGAGAUUGCAGAGUCGUCGCGUAGAGCGGGAGAGCUAACCUGCCCGUGAUCUAUCGUGACUUCGUCAGCGCGGGAGCUAAGCGUGCGAGUGCGCUACUGUAGCUGUGACUGAAAGUAUGGGGUGAGCCCGGAGACGGAGGUUCAGUCGACCGACAGUCGACACACGAGUCCAAAUUUUUGCCGAGGCGAAGACUGAAAAUGCGCCUCGCGGUGGGCUUAGGCCUUAGGCCCAUCACGGUAUCCUGAAUGCUGGAAACAGAGCCCACCUCUGUUCAGUGCAGCCCAUGAUCACUGAUACAGUCUUUUUUAAAAAAAAAAUCAUCACUGAUAAACUGUCGUGUCGACUACUCGACUGAGGUUGUUAACUUGCUGUUUACCGACAUAGGACACACAAAGUUCAUCUGCUUGCGCCCUUGAUCAAAUCAAGUUAUCAAGUAAUAGUAGUAAUCCGCAAGAACCAAUUCCUCAACACACGAGCGCGCGCGCACAAAAUAAGCACAAAAAGUUUUGAAAAACAGAGGGGAUGAACAAACCUACAUCCUGUUCUUGCUCAGCACUGGGCCCUUGCCUGAAGAGUUGCGGUUGUGAUGAGCAGGCAGGCAAUACGGCCCCUCAAACUGACCCCCCAAUCAUCCAUCCGUCCAUCUGCACGGCACUAUGAUACGAUUGGAAUGCUCGACUGUUUGCGGACAAGAUUGCAGAAAUCUUGGCCAGCUGCCCAGUGGCCACCGUACCUUCUCUAUCUAUCUCCCUAACGGACAUAAAAGACGUCAAUAACAGCAUAAGUUGUUGGGGUAUUUAUUUCUUUUUAAAAACAUCGACUCUUGUACUGAUUCUCCUUGCCUCUUAUCAUUUGCAGUGAGUUGCAGUUGCAUAGAGAAGAUUCCUCUUCUGCUCCUGCUGUCUGGCUUGUUGGUAUGCAAUACUAGGGGCCAAGAGUGGAUUCAGAGAUAGAGAUACCGGUGACAGGAAUCCCCUAUUUUUGUGCGUCUCAGUGUCUGAAUGAUUGAGUCCAUUUGAUUGCCGUUGGAGCUUUUGCUAGACUGCCGUAUUGGCUGCAUCCACCAAAACUUUUGAAUUAGCAUUGCCAGCUUAAAUGCUUCUGGCGCGGACCCGCUAAGUUUGAAAUAUAUACUUGCAUGAUCUGCAUACUGGAUGUUUCGCUGGAUCAUUUGACAUUUGAUGCUGCAUCGUAUCAGUUGACAGUUUAAUUAACAUUCAACAUUAGUAAAAAAGAACCAUCACUUGCAAGAGUCUCUUAACAAAUCAUUGCAGUUGUUGGUCAAACCCUGAUAGCACACAACACAGUAGUGUACUACUGGUCCGGGUUCAAAGCACAUGCAUAUGGCCCAUGAGGGGGGAAAAAAACACCUCUCAUUUGCAGGCAAAUAAACAACCAUCUCCCCUCUUUUCCAGCGUCAAGACCAUCAUGGGCUUGGAACUAAACAAACACCCCCCGGCGCUUUCCUGGGAAAUCUCCCACGGUGCAUUCGCAUGUGCCGCGGUGGACGAUCAAAACCCGAUCGGCAAAAAGCUUGUGCCGCUUUGCUCUCCCACGCGAGGAUAACGGGAUGUUCGGAUGCAUGGAGUAAUUUUUAAUUCGGGUCAUAUCGAAUAUUUAACACUGAUUAGAAGGACUAAACGUGAACUAAUUAUAAAACUAAUUGCAUAAAUCAUGGCUAAUUCGCAAGACGAAUCUAUUAAGCCUAAUUAAUCCAUGAUUAGUACAUAUUUAUUGUAGCAACAUAUGUCAAAUCAUAGACUAAUUAGGCUUGAUAGAUUCGUCUCGCGAAUUAGCCUUCAUUUAUGCAAUUGGUUUUAUAAUUAAUCUAUAUUUAAUACUUCUAAUUAGUAUCUAAAUAUUUCGAUGUGCCAGGAGUAAAAAUUUUAGUCCUAUGUAACCAAAUUAUCCCCCAACACCAUGGAUGGCCAUGUGGAAGGUGGUAGCAUCCCUAUCGUAAUAACAAAAUCUUAACCUACCAAGCGACUCGGUUACGCGUUUCAUGCUCUUGGAGCCGGGCCUUGCACUGUUACACGACAAGGGAAUUCGAAGUAUGUUUUGGAGAUACCCUGGCUGGACGCAUUCAGUUGGUGAACCUGAAGCAACUAAUAACCUGGGAGUAUUAACUAUGCCGCCUAGCGCCUAUGCGAUGAGACGUGAUUCGUGGCAAGUCGGAGAGCUUGAUUCGCCUGUUCGAUCAGCGCGGACACCUGGAGAUUCAUGUACGCGACACGGCGCCGUAAGCACAUGCGAGAUAUAGUUUAGCCGCGGCGGUGGUUAAACAGGAUGUGCUGCAUGUGUGUGUGAGAGAGAGAGACGUGUCUUAGGAUCGGGAUAAACUUGGAGUGAUAUUUGUAACGGGCCUUAGCUCUACACACGCUAUUUAGCUAGCAACACGUAGCAGUCUAGCUAGCAGAUGCCAUGAGCCAAGAAACAGCAUAACGUUAUGAUAUGAUCUACGGGGGAUGGGGGCAUAAAAACAAAACUAUGUGAUGAUCGAUGUCGCGCCACUGUAAGCUUUUAAGCUGCAGAUGCCUGGACGACAUGUGCCGUAGGCCGUCGCUAGCGGUUGAUGUCACUGAGCUGUAGCCGUGUUGUGAUUUUUCCAGCGUCUGCAACACCAUCUCUCGCUAGCAGUAGUACAUACGUGUUCCAUCGGAUCACGACCGUGCCUGUGAUCCGUUCUCUGAACCCAUGAUUAUGCUGGGAAACACAAUCAGAUGGAAACCCAAUUGGCCAGUUGCUAGUGUUUUUUGCUUGUGAAACAUGCAUCUAGCUAGCUGGGUCAGUGUAGUCAUUAUUAUUCUGUCGAUGAUAAACUGGUCCAUAGGGAUGGCUCUUGUAUAUGAUCCUAUAACGUGUUUAAAAAAAAAUGAGAUGUGGUAAAUGGCUCUCAUCAGUUGCUAGUACUGCUGCGGUACUGCUAGGGUUUACGGGCCGGGGCUUGCAUUCAAAAUGAUACGUCAACAUCAUUUUGUACCAAUUCAUGGUUUUGAAUCCGUGUACCCUAUUGCAUGGUACCAGAUUGUGCGGACUCAAAAGGACCCCCCAAAACUUAACUACCUGCCCUAGUCAUACAUCCACUCGGUCACCGAUCGAUGAAUCCUUUUUGUUGUUUUCUUCCAACACAAAUUGCGUUGCCGGACUAUAAUCCGACCCGAUCUAUCGGUGAUCUCCCUGCAGUGGAGCUGGCCUUAAACGAGCCACUAGCCAUAGACGACCAGUAAGAUGAAACCAAAAGAUCGCUAGUUGCCCACUGAUUAAUAAACAAUUCGAUUGCAACUUCACUGUCACUAUAAAGAUGAAGGAUCGGUGAUGUGGUCUCCCGGCCCCUCGCUCACGCACCACCAACCGGUUCGAUCUAGUGGGCAUGACAGGGCGAUGAUUCAGACGCGAUCUUUCUCUAGCUGUCACCCUAUCCAAUUCGUGUGUAUGACACCGAAUCCUAGAUUAGAUAAAAGGGAACUUUUUCUUUGAAACAGAUAAAGGGAACUUUAGUUUGGGCGGGCAGGUUUAUGCUGUCUGCCCGCCCACACCUAGUGCUCGAUCAUCUGGCGAAGCACCUAACCCGAGUUUAUUAGGCGCCAAAUAAUUUGACACGACGACCUAAAAUGCAUCACUCAUCGGAUGCUGGACGCAUAGAAGUAGUACUAUAAAUGCAUAAUACAAUAGUAGCAAUUAAUCCAGCUGCAUAUGAAUGGUGCACUAAUUGGACAUCUGGGCCGAGUUCCUUUGUUUUUUUUCCUUCUUGAAAUGAAUUUGGACCGAGUUCUACGGGAUACCGAGGGAGCUGGAGCUACGAGGCUGGCCGCGCUGAUUGUUGAAUUGAGGUCCUGUUUGUAUACGCUUUUCCUAGUCACGCUUGGAUUAUAAUCUAAGCGAAGAUUUUCUCGCUUCUCGCUUUUCGCUUCUCGUAGUUCAAAUCGUUGAAGCGGCUUACCACAUAAGCGAGAAUCGGUGGAAUGCUUAUUUCCACCGAUAAGCCGCUUAUAAGCGGAUACAAACGGGACCUGAAACACGCACCAGUAGGUAGCAGCCGUGGUCCGUCCCGAAGCUAACUAGGGUGGUACCUGUACGAUACGAUCAAUGACCUGACAUGGUACGAGUUUGAGUAGUUUCAUGACAGUACACCUCGGGAUCUUUGUGGUGGUACGAAACACUUAACCAGCUGAUGACUAAUUUCUCAGUUCGAUCGUUUGGAUUAUGAUUAUGAUUUUUAUGAAUUGUACGCGCCAGGAGCCCCAAGCUUGAUGCGUGUUUACUUCGACUGCAAGAAAACGCAUACAAUUGCUCUCAUUCCCCGGAAACAAAAACAAAUUGGGAACAGCCUUUGACUGAACAAUGAAUGGGAGCGCAGGGCGGCCGGUACUCCCUCCGUUUAUCUUUAUAAAGUGUUGUCCUGUAUUAUAUUUUGACCGUUCAUUUAUCAUACAUUGUAUUGUUUAUGAUUAUAAAUUUAUAAUUAUUGGAAUCUAACCAUUUCAAAUUUAUGUUAUAAAAAAUAAAAAUGAUAGUUAAAUUAUCGAUCAAAGAAUCUAAAAUUUAAAUCUAGAUAUGUGUGUGCGUCUUAUGAAGAUAAACCGAGGAGGGAGUACGUUUAUUCGCGGCAGGCGGCAGCAGAGCACUGAAUCGCUCGAGCAAUUCUAGUGAGACAAAGAAGCAGGGCGGGGCGUUCAAUUCGAGCUGGCAGCUGGCCGCUGGUCCCGGACCGCGCGUAAAGCCGCCACUGUUACUGGCCGGCGCCUGCUGCCGAUCGAUCGAUCCAUCCCUGUGGCUCUCCUGCCGGAUCCGCCGCCCGGUCGGUGGCAAACAAAUACGACGCGCUCGGUCGCUGCUGCCACCGGCCGCCGGCCGCCACGCGCGCGGCAGAGGUGGGCGCCCGGGAGCGGGAUGACGGGCCGAUCGGAUCGGACGGGCGGCGGACGCACGCGGCGCGGCGCAGGGGCGUGGGGCGCGCACCCGCCGGCACCUCAGCAGCAGCUAGCGACCGCGACUCUCCCGGGCGCCGGGGCGCGCCGCGCUCGUGGCAAUGAUUUUAUUAAUUUCGUACGCGCGCACUCUGCGCGCCCCCACCGCUGUGCCGACGCGCCGUGGCGCUGGUACGGUGCAUGCGGCCCAGUAAUGCCGUAUCGCCGUGUUCGUGCCGCCACACGGGAUCGCGCUCCGGGUUCAUGAUACAGCUGGGCCGUUUGUGAUGAUGGCCAUCAUAUGUGUCUGAUCUCGUUGUCAUAGCAGAUGGAGGGCGUACGUCCUCCCAAGUUUGAACUGGAACUAACGAGGGUGGGAUAAUCCAGAUCUCAGGCGAGCAUUUGACCGGUCGCGCCGUGCGUGCGUGCGUGCGUGCAUAUGCACAUGCAUGUGCGCGGCGCAUCAGACGGGUCCUUUUCCUCCGCUCGUCCUUUGUCCGCUGCUGGUACAUGCGUUCCGUUUUUGCGCCCAUUGAUUGCGCUGGGAUUAGUACGUCGGUACCACACACAAAUCUGUGUUGCGGACUUGUUGUGAUUCCAGAGAAUAUCGUUCCGCUGUGUGCGCACAUGAAUCUCGCGCGAGAGGCGCACAUGGCACCGGACCGCACCUUUUGGCGCCUCUUUGUUCGGAACUUCAGAUGAUGCGAGCGUCACCUGGUUUAAUUUGGUAUGGAAAUGUGCCGUUUUCUCUUAAACUACCGCUUGGUCUUGACUCUUGAGGCGAGCAAGCUGAACACAUAUAUGCUCGUGCUCUCAUCUUUUGUUGGUGGCGGACACGGCGGCGACACGGAGCGGCAGGCUAGGGCUAGGUGACUCCUUUUCUCUUCCUUUUUUUUUUAACCGUAGGUGAGGAUCCCCACGCGGCAGGGAACUCGCACGGCUCCGAUCGCACUGUCUGGUCAGGGCAUCUUGCUCUUCCGCGGCAGCUUUUUACUUCCUAUCCACCAUGCGCGCGGGGCCGCGCACGGCGUACUAACCUCUUGCUACGAUGCUUGCUGCUGCGGCGCUGCACCGAUGAUCGAUGACAGCCCCGGUCUGGUUCCGGUGUCCCACCGGUCAGUAGCAGGAUAGCAGCAUCUCAGUACGCAAGUCAGUUCACGCUUGGCGCGGUGGUAAAAAAGACUGGAGGCGAGUCACUUUUGCCCGUCGUCCCAUGUGCAACGCAACGGCCGCGCAGGCGCGGAAAAGGGUCCGUUAGUUUAACCGCGGGUGACACGACACGACACGACUUGGGGGUGCGUGGGACCCGUGCGUCAGCGGCAAUCCGCGUCAGGCGUCCCACGCCCUCGGUGCCGCUGCGCCGGUGGGGCCCGCCACCGCCCCUUUUGGCCGUUACCGUUACAUCCUUGCCGGCUCCCGAGGAGGCGCCUUUCGGCCGGCGCUGCCCUACUGGUGCACGCGGGGAGAGUUUACAACCUUUCGCUCCCUGACAUGUGGGCCCGGUCUGGUGCCCCACAUGGAAGACGGCAAGUGCCCCUGUGCCUAGCGGCGCGUGAAAAGCUGCGCCCUCCUUGGGUUUGGGUCCGACCACGAUUCGGCCCCGCUGAGGCGCUGACCCACCGGCCGAUUACGUUCGUUUUAGCAAGGCACCAAUCACGAGAUUAACAUAUGACUGGACGAUACUAGAUUAGAACUGAUAACGCACGUUAAUUCCUGCCAAGCCUACCAAGUCAGCUUCAAACACCAUAGCACUUGGACGAAAAUUAAAUCCAUUUCUGAAUUUACUAGCUCAAUUUCAUGUUUAUGCCAGGCUUUUGUUCCCCAGUGGUACCUAGAGCUUGGAUAAGGCAAUCAUCAUGAAAGAAACUAUAUGUACUUAUUGAAGUCCAUGGCCGUACAUCUCUAAAAGGAAUCAAUUGAUGGUCUAACACACCAAGCUAUAUACGUGUUCCGCAUAUAAAAAGCGAGGUACUUCCUUAAGGAUAUUGCUUCUGUAUCAAUCAAAUCAUUACCUGAACAAGCUGUAACAUUGACAUUCUUUAUCAUGGACCAAUGCAGCCAUGCAAAUCAAGAAUUUUUUUCCACGUCGCCAACCAGUCCCUAGUUCCCUACUAAACUCAAAAAACAUUUAAAAACCACAGAGACGAAUUAUUGAUAAUCAUGCAUUCAGCAGCCGUCGUGGCACAGUGGUUACGCCUGAAAACAUUAUUCUGGUCUCUGGUGCAAAGUCAGGCCAAGUCUACGCUCCAACCGGGAUUAAAGUAUAAACUACACUAUCAGAGGCGUCGAGCUCACCUGUUUUCCAACAAAAAGCGAGGUGAAAACCGGAAAAGAAAUAGUAGUAGUAGUAGAUACUAGCAGCAGCAUUUCUUUAAAGAAAAAAAAAACUAGCAGCAGGAGCCAUGCUCCAGGGGAGGGGCCGGGCCCACGCGUGAAUCACCCCACGCUGGAAGUGGGGCCUCGGAGGCGCAUGUGCCGGGCUGGGGCUACGCUGGAGCGGGGCCCGCGCCGUAUCUGCAGGAAAAGGAGCGGGGCGCUUUGCCUGCCGGGGAGUGGGGACUGGGACAGGCGGGCAGGUGGUGUGGGAGCCGCCCGUGCCGCGGCGGGGGAGCAGCGGACGGCUGCGAUGCGAUUACCCCGGCCGCGCCGCGAGUCCCGUUCCCGGCCGGGGGGAGCCGACCGUUUGGGGCCGGUUGGUGGCUGGGGUGUGCUGUGCCUGUGCUGCUGCCGGGGUAGUAUUGGCACUCCGGGUCGCCGUGGGAUCGACCCCCUUUUGCCGGCGCAGGCAGAUGGAUGGCUUUCUUCUUUCUUUCUUGACAGGUUCUGUGGAAAGAUAAAAGAUUUUCCGAUCUGCCGAGAGGAAUUUCGAAGAAUCCUCUGUCGAACGGAGAAAGGGAGCCAAGCUAAAGCGUAUUUUUUUUCGUUUAUUUCCCAGCGAACAUGCGAUCUUCUAAAGACUAGCCGAAUUUUGUUGGAUCCACUCCGUUGUUCAUCAAAUGGAUGCCUUGGUUCAAAUGGAUUUCUAAAGUGCGAGCCUGCACCGAGUAAUAUUUUAGUUCAACUAGAUAUAAUUUUUUAACAUAGGAAUCAUGAUCGUGAUCGAAGUUUAAAUAUCGACAAUACAGAUGGAUUCGCUCAUAUUCAAUUACUAAACAAUAAAUUUUUCAACAAUCAGUAUGGAUCACAAAGUUGAAAAUGAACCAUCCAAGUAGGCAAGAGUAGUGCGAAUUUUCAUUUCAAACACAAUGGAACUGUAAGAGUUGACUUGAGCUAGCUUGACAAGCUUAGCAAAACUUGAUAUGUUAAAAAUUCAAAUUAGCAAAAAAUUAGACUCUUGAUGCACCAAAUGUAUCUUACAAGAAAAGAGUAGACACAAAAUAACAGAAAGCCCUAUGCAUGUCUUUUGAUCUAGUCAUAACUAGAAAACAAAAUGAAAAGAAAAGAAACACGACAUCUUCUCCCACGUAAGCAACAGCUAGGCGGGCCUCUUGCAACUGAAGAACUCCAUCUGUCUCCAUGAGCAAAAACCUGCUGCCGCCAGCAGUAGCAACAAGGAAAUGAACAAAAAACGAACAGAAUGAAAACCCUUGGGAUACGGACAACCAAAACAAAAGGGUAGCAACUGGCUCCAAGAAUCCUACCGUUCAUGCUCACUUCGCCACACUAACAAAAAAAAAAUGACCCAGUCCCAGUCACAGCCAGCAUUAGCACAACAAUUCACAGGCCCCGCAAGGCUGCAACAAAAUAGAAUAAAAAAAUAAAAUUAAAAACAAAUCGCAAAGCACUGUUCCAUAAGUACCCUCCCCCUUCCCGUUCCGCCUCUCCCCUUCUUCUCGUCUCCCCUCCGCCGCUUCCGUUGUUCGCAGUGCCUCCCCCUUCUCUUGGCCUGCCUCACUGUUCCGCGUCCGCCGCCCCGGAGGCCUGAGCCGCACGGCGGCACACGGAACCCUAAACCCGCCCCACUCGCGCGGGGGUUGCCCCCGGCGUAUGCGCGGCGGCGGCUCAUAGGCCUCGGCCGCCGGCGAUCGCCGGGAUUUGUGGGGCCAGCGCGGCGGCUGCUACGAGCGGCGGAGACGGCGCCGUUGGGGAACGGUGGGAGAUGGCGGCGGCGGGGAAGGGGUGGGCGGAGCGGGUGCGGCGCGGGGUGAGGACUGUAUGGUUCAUGGUGGUCAUGGUGGCGUCGCUGCUCGUGGCGUCGGCGCCGGCGCUCGUGGCCGCGGGCGACGUCGCCGUGGCGCUGUGGCUCGAGGUGCGCCUCGGAUGCCUCCGCGGCCACGGCCUGCGGGACCAACUGCAGCGGUACCGCUUCCGGAGCUCGCUCGCCGACAUACCGCUCGUCUCCAUCCUUCGAUCUCUCAUCAUCACUUGUAAGCCCUUGCACUUCCUGCUAGACCCUCGCUGAUGCUUCAAAAUGGGCAAGUGACAAGAAUCUAGGGGAACCUUGUUGCUCGUUUUUGUUGGAUUUCCUUCUUCCCCCCGCCCCCCUCUCACCUUUUGAUAUUAUUUGCUCUGAUGAUGUAGAGUCCGUUCGAGUUUUUAGAGUUAAAAAUUUGGGGGUGAGGUCUUGGCUUAAGAUCCUUCGCAUUCCUCUACGAGGAUUUGGUGAUCUGAAAGCUACAGUCUUGCUUCGUCUGUGCUUGUCUUCUUUUGCUUGGACGGAGCUUUCGGCGAAAUCUGCAGUUAUUAAUCGGAGUAUAGCUGUUGCUUGCUCGCUCUUCUUGGGAUGUAGUUAAACUAAGUCAGUUCAUUAGCUGGACUAACUGGGAAGCUCCGGGAACAGUUUGAAGUACUCGUAUACCAAGUUCUGCUCUGUUCUUAUUUGAGAGUAGAAGACUAACCAUAUGUUCUGCUGCCUCUGCAGGUGUAUACCUCAUGUCUGAUACUUCUGGUCUCUCUCAUGGUCCUUACCUUGGAACAGCAACUUUCUGUUCCUUGGCAUCUCUGCUCAUUUUGUUAAUUAAGGCCUCCGUUUAUAGUCCGGGGCAGGACAUUGGGCCUGAGCUCUCGCCGUCAUUGCCGGAUCACAAGCUCAAUCUCAAGAAGCUAUGGGGAAUGCCAGUGCUUUUUCUGUCUUCCUUGGUGUUUGCUCUUGGCCAUGUUAUUGUUGCUUACAGAACAAGCUGCAGGGCUCGACGGAAGCUUCUCAUUCACCGCAUUGACCCUGAAUCGGUACGACUGGCAUGCACUUGUUCUUAUAAAUCGCACUUCAUGAUCAAUUGUACAACUAAGCUGAGAUACCUAUCACCUGCUUUGCACUUUGAUGUCUUAUUGAUCUAAAAUUUGAUGAUUUAUGACCUUUACCGUUUUCUGCUCUUUUCAGAUUUUAGCGUACAAGAAUGCCUUUUCUGGAUGCUACAAGGUUCCGCGGUCUCCUACACCAUAUGGUGCAAAGCUUUUCUCAAGGAGUGAAAGCGAGACAAAGAGGAAAACAAUUGUACAUGAUGACCGCGAUUUGCCAAUCAGUUUUCUUGCAGACAGUGAUAGCAUGUUCAUUGCUUGCCAGGGGAUCACUGUACACUACAAAAUUUCCGAUCCAUCAACCUGCUUAUCGUCGCCCCCUGACUCCUUUUCAGAAAGGGAUACUCAUCAUGAUGUAAUUUCAUCGAGCAUUUCUCCUAGAAGACAGAGACAUGAGAGCCCACCGUCCGCUUCCUCCAAUACCCGCCGCCUUCUGAAUAGGAGCUUUAGCCAUCAAUAUCAUCAAACUUCUCUAUAUGCGCCACUAUUGGUAGAACCAGUGACAUCUCCAACUUUGUCAGAUGAGAUCCCUCUUAUGAGUCUUGAUGAUGGCAGUGCUGACGUAUAUUUGAAUCCUGUGGGCUUUGACCUUGAGGCUGGAGAGCAUGGUAAAUUUGCUGUAGUUUUAGUGCAUGGGUUUGGAGGGGGAGUAUUCUCGUGGAGACAUGUCUCUAAUUUGCUAGCUCGACAAGUGGGCUGCAAUGUUUUGGCCUUUGAUCGCCCAGGAUGGGGAUUGACAUCUCGACCUCGCAGAAAGGACUGGGAAGACAAGAAAUUACCAAAUCCAUAUGAGUUAGAGUCUCAGGUGAUCCUUCUCAUCUAAUCAAAAUAUUAUGUUUCCCUCUUUUUUUCUGAGAGAAGAACCCUUAAUGCAAGUCUAGUAACUGCAGCUGGCAUUUGAUCCUAUAGUUCAAUUUUAUUGUCUGCUUUUUUACUCACCUACUAUUAAGAUUUAAGAGUAGCAGCUAACUGUUACCUUUCCUGUAUCAUAUUUUACUGUUACAAGUAUUACCAUCUGAGUGUCUAAAGCUUUCAACCUCAGGAUGAUAUCUAUUUUCUUUGAAAAUGGUCUAGUACUAACAGCUUGUAAGGGGACAUUUCUUUAUUAGAAAGAUUGCCAACAGAUUUAGUUGCAAGGGCUAAACAAAAUAUCCUAAUGUAUUUUGAACAUUAAAAUCAUGCUUACAUGAUCAUAUGCAGGUUGAUCUUCUUAUUUCAUUUUGCUCGGAGAUGGGUUUGCGCUCUGUGGUUUUAGUUGGUCAUGAUGAUGGGGGCUUGCUUGCCUUGAAAGCUGCAGAAAAGCUGCGCACUUAUGGAGAUCAUAUAAAGGUAACUUCCCUUUGAGAAAAUUAGCUUGUUCUCGUCUCAUUUUGUUUUGGAUGGAAGCUAAUACAUCAUGUAAGGUUGGCAUUGAACAUUACUUUUUUGCUUUUGCAGGUUGAGGUGAAGGGAGUUGUUCUUGUAGGUGUAAGCUUAUCAAGAGAAGUGAUUCCUGCAUUUGCUCGUAUACUACUGCAUACACCUCUGAGGAAAAAGCACAUGGUCCGUCCACUUCUUCGUACUGAAAUAACUCAGGUUAUCAAUCGACGAGCAUGGUAUGAUGCCACAAAGCUAACAACGGAAGUUCUUAACCUGUACAAGGUAAGCAUGCCUUUUAAGAGGUCAAACCAUUGAUGUUCAUUCAAAGUUUACUUUUGGGAAGUUUGUUACAGAUCUGAUACAUCUAAUCAUGUGUUUAUUGGACCACCAUUAUUUGUCCUGUGAAAGAAAAAAUUCAAGUCUUCUUACACCUUACUGUUCAAAUAACUGUUUAGUAUCUAUAGCCUUCCUAUUCUGUCCAUGUGAAACAAGUACUACUUUUAAAUGCACAUGCUUUGUCAUUCUGUGAAUAUUGGAUUGUUUGACUGACUUGGUUUGCUUUUGCAUUUAGGCUCCGCUAUUUGUUGAGGGCUGGGAUGAAGCACUACAUGAAGUGGGCCGGCUUUCGUUUUCUACUGUCCUAUCAUCAAAAAGAGCGGCAGAUUUAUUAAGAUCAGUGGAAGACCUUCCUGUUCUGGUGGUAGCAGGCUCUGAGGAUGCUCUUGUUUCUGUGAAGUCGGCACAAGCUAUGGCUUCAAAACUUGUAAAUUCUGUAAGUAAUCCGCUCCCAUUUGUUGACUUACCCGUUAGUCGAGCACAUGAUUUUGCUAUGGACUUAAUUUAUACCUAUUUGGUAUUCCUAACAAUAUACUUCGUUCUACUUGGGCAGAGGAUAGUAACUGUAUCGGGAUGUGGGACAUUUGCCACAUGAGGAGUGCCCCAAGGCAUUACUCUCGGCGCUUUCUCCUUUUAUCUCUAGAUUGGUACCAUCAGAAGAUUCGUUGCAACAAAGACUCUAGUGUAUACUUGUCCUCCCCACCAAGCCAAGUAAGAAAUCGUGUUGUUUUUUCCCUCUUCUAGGACCUGACAGCACUCUGUUGUGCCCGUUUAAUUAUGAUUCCCAAAAAAUACUUGAUAAGCUUGAAUUCGUAUCUCGAUGCUGUUUAAUUAGUUCGUAUACCAUACGUUUUAAUCAAGACACAUACACAUGAGUCCUCUGUACUUGUGUUUUCUUCAGCUGCUGCCGCUACGGAGGCCAAGAUCACGUGCGACGAGAACGGCGUUGACGAGGGCUUCCCGUACGCGCGCCCGCCGGUGUGCGAGCUCGCCGGCGACAUCCGGAUCAGUCCGAAGGAUAAAACCAUGUACUUCGUUAACCCGUCGGGCGCUGGCCCCUUCGACGCCAACGGGGAGAAGAAGAUUCGCCCGUUCGCCCGCAAGGACGCCUUCCUCCUCCCGGGUGUUGUGGAGGUCACGAUCAAGUCCGUCUCCUCGGCCGAGGCCGCGCCGCAGUGCACGCGGCGGCACGGCGUCCCCGUGGUGGUCUUCUCCGUGGCUGGGUACACGGACAACUUCUUCCACGACAACACGGACGUGCUGAUCCCGCUGUUCCUCACCACGGCGCACCUCAAGGGCGAGGUGCAGCUCCUCAUCACCCACUUUUAAGCCGUGGUGGGUGCACAAGUUCACGCCGCUGCUGAACGAUGCUCUCCAACUACGACGUGAUCAACUUCAACAGGACGAGGAGGUGCACUGCUUCCUGACCUGGCACUGCGGAUGUACGCGACCGCGACUUCAUCAUCUCCNNNNNNNNNNNNNNNNNNNNNNNNNNNNNNNNNNNNNNNNNNNNNNNNNNNNNNNNNNNNNNNNNNNNNNNNNNNNNNNNNNNNNNNNNNNNNNNNNNNNUUUCAAUUGUUCCCUGUGCUUCUGUCCUCCACACUGAGUAGGCCCCUCUAGUUGGUAAUUUGGUAUGUGUUUGUGUGAGCCAAUGUAGUGCGAAGUAGUAGUGGAGCCUGACCCAAAAUCUCAAGGGUUCCUAGAGCUCCCCUGAUUUUUUGUCACAUGUAAUGAUUUCAAUGGAGCAAGUUGAAUCUGUAUAGCACAUGCUUGCUGUGUUCCGGUCCUCGUCUGGUUCAGUUUGAGAUACUGUUAUCAUCUUGAAAUGGCUGAGAUAAUUGAAGCCUUUUUCGGUGUUGCAAAAUUAAACCUGCACUGUCUUCAUGGCUCGUAUCAUGUGCCAGUGCCACUCCCUAAUCCAGCAGGGAAUGCCAAACAGUUCUUUUGAAUGAGCACGAGCACGAGUGGUGGAAGGUGAGAGGUGUAGCUGCAAAUAAAUUAGAAGAUCAGGAGCCCCCGCCUCACAUGGCCUGUGCUGGGGAUCCACAGGGAGCCCCAAUGCUCUUUGAUUGCGCCACCCACCCGGCGAUUGGAAGUUGGCAGAUUGUUCAUGAAACUUCACAGGCGAUUCCCGUGGCGCAUUGAGAUGCUUCAGAUUGGUAGUUGGCUGUUUACACACACGGGUCGAUUUCCUUGGAGGCCUGUUCAUCAGAAUUUGCAAACAUGGAACGUUGUCAGCUAUGUUAACAGGACAAUGGACAGACUCAUCAUGCUCAUCAAUGUAGCAUGGUCAUAUUAAUGCCGGCAAUUAGUUCAACGAUUGGGCUGGGGCUUUUCUCUACAGGCCCUCUCUCGUCCAAAAUGCGUUUGCGGGCGGCUUCUCUAGCCCAUCCAGGAUGAUACUGGCCCAAUCCAAGAAUGAAAUUCUGAAAACAUAUCGUGCAUAAUAUUGUGGUGCUGAAAGAGGACCAACCACAGAACUGAAAUAACAAGGAACGUGUUGAUUUGACAAGUCAAGGGCCUCAGAUUUCUUCGCAAGUGAUACUGAAUUUACAAAGCCUGCAGGUUUCGAUUAUUGGCGUAUCUCACGAAUUCACAACUCAAAUGUAUAUUUGUCGGUUUUAGAGAAAGCUUGAUCUCGAGGACAAAAAGAAAAAGAAAUCAGGUAAACUGGACAACCCUACUUACAUUUUUCUGGAUCCCUUUCUCUUGAAAUGAGAGCAAGUAACUACAGACCACCGGACCAGCUGGCUACAAUUUCUUUUCCAAGCUGGACCAAAACUAUCAUGGUAAUUUACAAGGUGGGCAUACACAUCCCCACUAGUUCUUCAAUUGGAAGAACUUCAUACGUUAACUGCCAAUCACCCAGUUUGUAUCGCAAGCGUGUUUGGUUUCACGGACUAAAAUUUAGUCCAUGUCACAUCGAAUCUUUAUAUACAAAUUAAAAGUAUUAAAAAUAGACUAAUUACAAAACCAAUUGUACAGAUGGAUAGAUUCCUCUCGCUAAUUAGCCUCCAUCUACGCAAUUGAUUUUAUAAUUAACAUAUAUUUAAUACUCCUAAUUAGUAUAUAAACAUUCGAUGUGACAGGAACUUUACUUUGAACUAACGAUCCAAACAGGCCCUAACUCUAUUGUGAAAUUGCAUUAAGGGCACAGUUCGCUCACUUCUCGUCAGGCCUUAUUUGCGCAACUUCUGGCACCCAGUCAUCACUGACGAGAACAAUAUGAUCACCGUCUCUGAUAAGCUCCACCUCGUCAAUCUCAGCACCUUCAACCGUCUGGACCUUGGUGGGCAUGAAGCCAAACUUCUUUGCGCCUAGUUCGAGGAGUUCCUUCAUCGACCGUGGUAGGAGCACGAGCUUCCUGGCUGUGUCCCCCUUCUCGGGGCAGCUGAGUGUCACCCUGACGAGGGAAUUGUGACGGCAACUCGGACCACCUGUUGCUGCAAGGUCUCUCGAGAGCAUACGGCCAGUGUCCUGGUGGGCGUGGGUUGAAGAAAUGACACCAAAAAGGGAGUUUUGGAAAGUGACCCUCUUUCUCAGGAGCCUCUGCGGGACAACUUUGCUGCAUAAUUCGGCAUCUUCAUGGUCCACGUUUGGCAUUGCGGGCUCACUGUUGAACCUCCCUAUCAACAUAGGUGCCACCCUGCUAUUUGAGACACGGUGACUUGGUGCUACCCGUGAUUUGUUCUUAAAAAGGACCUGUAUGUCGUCGUGGCCUUGUUGUACAGCUAGAUCUCUUGGACUCCAGCCAUUGCUGUCCUGCUUAUCGAUGUCAGCUCCAUGUUCCAGCAAAAGUUCAACCAUCUGAACAUUUCCGUCACAGACAGCACGGUGCAGUGGAGUGGUUCCAUCUCUCGUUGAUCUGUUUAUGUCGCCACCAUAACGGAUAAUGUCCUUAAGCAGCUCCGUCUUAUUAUCCUCAACAGCAACACAAGCAUACAAGGCCGUGUCUCCAGAAGAUAGAUCUGCACCAUUCUCAACUAGCAACUCUACUACUGCAGCAUGCUUUUCACACAAAGCCUCCCACAGUGGAACUUUUCCUUGGUCGUCUGUAAUGGAAGGGUUAUUGGCAUGUCAGCAUGAGGAUUUGUCCAAUCUACAUGAACUUUAAGACUCAUGUGGAAAUUAAAAUUAUUAUGAAUGAAACAAGAAUUCUUAUAGUAGUAGAUUUAGUUUUCUAGGUGGCAGACUGACAAUAAUUUCAGAGGAAUUUUGCAAAUGAUACAUUUGUUUUGUUGUGGCCUAUCUGUAGAAGAUGUAUCAUAGUUUGUUUAUGCAUACCUCUAGCAUUAGGAUCAGCUCCAUGGUCUAGAAGAAGCUUGACGCAUUGCUCAUUUCCUUUGGAAGCAGCUAUAUGCUGUAGAAAAUAAAAAUCAACAUUGUUAAAUUUCUUGCUUAACAAAAAUCUGUGGGCAAACAUCUAUUCAUCGAUGGAUAUACACACCAGUGCAGUAUGGCCAUUGUUAUCUGAUUCAUUUGGAUCAAAACCACGCUUCAGAAGUUGAUGCAACAAAAGGUCAUCUCCUCUAGUUACCGCAAAACAGAGGGUAAUUGGCAAAUCCAAAUGACCCCGUGCUAGCAUGUUCUCAAUCUCCUUCAGAACGCCCACCAUUACACUGUUGUCUUUCUGCUCUUUUAAUAACUGCACCAAAAGUAGGGGAAGAAAAGGAAGAAUGAAUCUCCUUAGAUUUAAACUUCUCAUGGUAUCAUAGUAUCACAGUACUUCUAUGAUCAUAUAAUUUCUCAAAAGUACAUUCCCAUUAUGGUUGUUUUGGUUACUCUCAGGAGCAUGAAAGGGAAAAAUCAUGCCGCAAUAGUAACAUGAUCCAUAAGCUAAUAUAUGGUAUAGCGAUUAUGUGAUAUUGAAUUCCACAUAUUGUUAAGCAAUAUAAGACAGGUUUAAUAACGGACACCUGAUCUGAAUGGGUUGAUUUCCAGGGUCUUUUCUAUCUCAAAACUCUACAAUUUUUUUUAUAUAGCUAUAACAUGCAGCAUUGAAGAAAAUUACGAAGAAUAAUGUGGUUCCUGUACCUGAAUAAGGUUGUUCAUUAUUAUCGUUCCAUCUCCAACAUUGGAUUGAACAAUAUUGAGAAAGGCAGUGCGAUUCAUACGGAGAAGCUGGCAUAACGACUUUGUUCGAACUGUGAAUAGUUGAGGCCUGUAGCAAAGAACCCCAAUUUCUCCAACAACAUCUCCAGACUUAGCCACUCCAGCAACCUGCAAGUAUUAGCAUAUUAUCUUCAGAACAAUUUGAUGCAUAAAUUCACUUCCACUUGAGCAUCAAAGCAACAUAAGACUUGCCUGUUCUGCACCAUUUUGCAACUCUAUUAACUCCUGCAGAAGUGACAAGCAUAUUAGAAUGACCAUGUGAUCUUGGUUUCAGUGCUAGUGAUAUCAGAACAAACUAUGUUUUCUUACAUAACUAAAUCAACUAGGAAAUGAAGAAUUCUCAAAAAAGUAUUCUUACCGCGCUGCCAGUAACUAAAAUGUAGAAGUCAGUGGGUGCUUCAUUCUGCAGAAUCACAUCUUCCCUAGGUGGAAAAUAUUCAGCUUUCAUCUCAGAAACCUUGCCCAUGCAAUCACACAAAACAAGAUAAGCGCAUGAUCAAGCAGUACCAAAACAUUUUAGAAGGACAAAUAAAUUGGAAUUCCAGUAGCCUCACCAGUUGAAAAAUAAGGUCAUUGGACACCCCUUGAAACAAGUAAACCUUUUGGACAAGAUUAAAAAACAGAUACUGAGAAAUGCUGGAUCUGAUAGCCUUUGGCAGCGUAUCAAGGGUUUCUUGCUGUUGAAGACCUUCUGAAUCUGUCCUGAACUUCAAGCUAAGAUGUGAGAUCAUUUGAUCUUGCAGCCGAGAUGGUAGCUGAUUCCUUAGUGCAAAGCUGGUUGCUGCUUGAAUUGUAUCUCUCUUUUAGUCCAAAACAUAAGAGAAAAUAUAUUAGAUCCAACUUUAAUAUGACUGUUAGACAUGACAUUGAUAUUAAUCAAUACUUGACAAAAAAGAACUCACAUAUUUUCGAGUACGGCUGGUGCCAUGGACAACUAGAUUGGUCAUGUUUCCGAUCAAGUAGGCAGUCAAUCCAAGGUUGAAUAGCAUGUAGAAAAUGUUGAAUACCAUUUCCCUUGUGUUCUCCGCGUGUAGAUCACCAUAACCCACAGUGGUCAGAGUAGUGAUUGACCAAUACAUUGAUGUAACAUAGCGAAUCCACAAGCUACGGUGAUGAAAAUCUGGCAUCGAAUUGCCAAUCCACGUAUCCGAUGGGUCAGGAUACCUAUCAGCAAGAAGAUAGUAGAAGCAUGCCGAACAGUGGACUGCAAAAAGUGUAACCUACAAGAUCAAAAGUAAGCGGAUAGUCAUUCCUCAUCUGUCAGUAAUACUAGGAUUUACAGGAGACUCUCAAAUGUUCUGAUUACUUACACAUAUGAGCUUUGCACAUCGAACCCAGAAAUAAUUGAAGUGUCUAUCCUUCUCCAACCUGCAAGUAGAAAAGCAUAGAUGAAGACGUUAUUUUUCUCACUAGAAAGACAAAAACAUGGUAUAAUGACACUAUCCAUGAAAAACAUAGAGCAUUAGAUUCCCAUAUGCAUAUGCACCAUCGUUAACAUACCUAGCAAAGAGAGAGCUGACCCUACGAAGACGCCAUAGACGAAGCAUGUUGAAAAAGCCAUACGACCUCAGGUUUGGAGGUAGUAUCUUCCGAGCAAGUUCUGUUGGGAUGGUGGAGGCGACGUCAAGAACAAACCAAGUGGUAGCGUACCGCCAAGCUAUCUUCUUUGGAUCAUCUUCAAGCAAGUAUGUCAGUCUAUCCAAGUAAGCUACAAAGAAGGUCAGGAUGAUGUCCACUGCGAAGAUCGCGUUCACAACAUUGUCCACUAUAGCUAGGCCUCCUGUUGGUUUUCUAAUGAAGCCAAACUCAAAUGGGGAAACCCAUGCAGAGUAGACAACGAGAAUUAUGAGAAAAGUCUCCCAGCAUCUGCAUAGAAUUAACAACUGCAUAUCAGAAUUUCUUCUUCCUUUGUUGUAACUAAACCGCCUUAUUUUCUACCACCAAAUUGUCCUGCUCACAGGGAAAGCAUUGUAAUAGAUUUGUUUAACAUUGCUGCAGACUUUAUAUAAUUAUCUUUGAAAAAGGAACUCUAAAGAAAAACUGUUCAAUCAUUCAAUUAGAGUUCCAAUAGUCCAUAACAUCAUUACAAUAGCAACUAAAUUAUGUAAAAAAAUAGAAUACAUAACCUUUGCUAAUUUGGAAAAGUAAACUAACGAGCACAUAGGAAAAAAGAAGAGUUGAAAACAAUGAUAAAAUCAGAAGUUAUCCUGGGAACACAUGGAAAUACCACCAAACAACUCGCUAAUUCCAAAACGAUUCAAAAAGGUUUUCCACCCGAAUCCCGUGACUGAGCACUUUUGACAACGAAUCGUUACAUAAAGAAGCGUAAAACGUGAGUACAAGAAAUGCAGAGACGUCACCAUCGAGAUCAUGCCUUUCUUGUCUCUCUUGUGAACUAAAAAAGAAAAAUUAAAGGAGACACCAACAACCUAAGCCGUCCAGAGUAAACAAAAUCAAAUCAAAAAUUCGAGUACCAUAAAAAGCAAAACAUAGAAUAAUCAAUUAUUGACUUGCAAUAGGAAAGCAAUUAUUCGGUCCAAGUGAAACCAAGAAAUCACUUUAAAAAUCAAAAUCAUUUUCUAUUCAGCAAAAUAUAAGCACCCAAUAGAAUUAGUGACAAAAAGGUUAAGAGAAAAAGGGCAGUGCACAGGUAUAAGCAAUAGAGGAUAUAUAAAGAACAAAAGGGUGGCCAAAAUUAGGAAGCCACCCUACUAAUUCAGUAAUUCAUGAAAACAAGAGCAGCAAUUGGAAUUCUGCAUAAGAGAAAACCCGUCGGCUUUCUCCACCCAGAAUUACAGACAAGCAACUCUUCGCCGACCAUCACCAAAAAUCGAGGCUGCCAGAGCAAGCCGUUGGCGAGCCAGAAGCAAACAAUGCAACACAGACCAAACCAGCGCAGGUGCAGAUUACCGAGAGAAGGGAUGACGAGAUGGCAGAGUACGAGACACGCAGCGCGGAAUCGUAAAUUCGGAACCGAUAACGAUGAGGAGGCGGCGAACCUGUAUCGGCGGUCGUAGGGCGAGACGAUGAAGGGCCUGAGCUUGAUGCUUCGGUUGCUCCGCGCGCCGAGCGACGGCAGGAUGCCGCUAGAGAUGCUGUAGUGGCUGCCGUCCCGCGACAGCUCUCUCUCCAUCGCCCCGCCCCACGGCCCGCACGCCGCCACCCUGGACGACCCCCACCCCGCCAUUGGCCCCUGCCGCUCGGCGGCGGCGGCGGCAGCGGAGGCGGGAUAACCCCCCCUGACCACCAAAUCUGACCUGGCAGUGCGCGUGUAAAUUGAUCGCGGAUCGGGUUCCCUAGUCGGCUAGUCAAUUUUUUCCUCGUGUCCUAUCUAUUCUCGGCUCUCGGGCAGCGGGGACGACGCGCGGGCGGCGGCGCCGCGGGUGAGAAGGGGGGCAGGGGAGGAGAGAGCUGGAGCCGGUUGGGCACCUGGGGCUUGGCUGGGGGAGUUGGGAUGUGGGAGCGAGCGCGCGCUCGGCGCCGUUUUAUGGAGCGGUUUGGGAGGGAGGUGGGGGUCGGCUCGCCGGCUCGCGAUGGUGACGGGGAGGGCUUUUGGCCCUUGCCCCCUCCUGCCCGCGCGCGCAGGGCGGAAACGCGGCGUUUUCCCGUGGGAGCGGCGCGGCGCGGCCCGAUGAACCGAUGGAUCGUUUUCCGGGCGGCCGCGGGCGGGCCUGGCUGCCUAGCUCGGUUUGGUAAUGACGCGUACGGGUGGCAGUGGCAGCAGGGCUGGGCAAAGAGGAGAAUAGGAGAUAGAGAUACCAAUAGUGUCUAACCAAUACCAUCCAUAGUUUCGGCUGGGUGCGCCAACCGUUUGGCGAGCAACAAAAUUCUCAAAAGAUUUUUCGACAACAUGAAUACAUAAUCAGCCAAAAUUAUUUUAUUAUUGAUUGCGAGAUAACGUAGUAAGUCCAAGAAGCACGUGUAGCUUAACACCACCACCAUCUUAUACACACAAGCACAACUCAUAAACGUCUAUGGUCGAAGGCUGGCACACGUGAUGCAAUCCACGAGAUAGAAUCCAUGAUGUGUAGCUUAACACCACCACCAUCUUGUACACGUCUCAUAAAACUCUACAGCGAACGCACACAUGAUAUAUUCCAUGAGACAAAGUUCGUGACGGCGACGCUACCGCUUACAUUGUACAUGUAGCUUAAAACCACCGUCAUCUUGUACACACGUCUCAUAAAACUCCACGGCUGAAGGCGUGCAUGAUGCAAUCCACGAGCCAAAAUUCAUGACGCUACUACUUACAUUGUCCAUAUGUAUGGAAUAUCUAGGAAAAGUGUAUCUAUCCCUUCCUCCACUAUAGGUAUGAAGCGUCUUUGCAUGCCAUGCAUAAGGAUCUCUGGGGUGCCUUGAGGGCUAAAGCCGGUGAUUGCUUCCCUCCUUUAUAAAUAUGGCUUGAUCUACUUGAAAUGUUCAUUGGAGUACUUGGAAAAAUAUUUUGAGCAUCAUUUUGUGGAAAAGUUUGUGCGCGCAAAGAGGACUCAUGGUAUGUAUUCUCUUAUUUAUUUAAUUAUUUCAGAUGCAUUCUUAGCAUUCUGUUUUUGCUUAAAAAAACUUGCCUAAGCCAAAAUCUUUAGUCAUGGCUAAACUGAAAUUAUAUCAUGUCAACUUUGCGUACUAUCCUGAACUUAAAACAAUGUGAUGUACACAUUGAGAAAUAACGAAAGCACAGGAAGAGUUGACGAGAAAGUUUGAGUUCAAGUUUAGUAAUGUAGCUGGAAAGCGAUAGCAAUAUGAUGUAGCAUAGAAAGGAGGUCAAAUUUCAUACCUAGCUUAUGAAAUUUUGCGCGAAGAAGACCAGGCAAACGUGUUAUAGAAUGGGUGCGGCUAGGUUGACAUGGGCGACCUGUGGUGUACGAUUUUCCAUAAAAAAAGGAAGAGCACAGAUAAAGUUGGAUUAUUUCAAAAUGAUGAAUAGAGAGGUGAGGUUGAUGGAGUGGGGCCGUGCCGCUGUGGUCUGGCUCUCUGGCUACGCGAGCCCAAGCUAUCUCUAAUCUCUAACACAAACAUUUAAUAGUAAUCUUCGGUAGUGCUAGUAGAAGAAGGCACUCCUCCCUCCACCUACUUCUGUAAAAAGUAAAAGUUUACAAACUUUUGACUGAAAAUAGUCAAAUUAUCCCCUCUGGUCACAAAUGUUUGAUGCUUUGGACACAAUAUCCGAUCAAACUUCUAAACUUUGACAAUCAAAAGCUUCCAAAGCAAAAUCGGGAGCACAAAAAACAUGUGCGGGUAUAUGCAUGUUAGUGUCAAAGAAUAUAUGAGAAUUACUUAUUCAAUGCAGUUUAAUAUAAUAUUGAUUUGACAUGCAAUACAUUCAUCCAGAAAUUGAGUAUCACGAUAUACUCCCUCCGUCCCAAAUUACUAUUCGUUUUGAGUUUUUUUAGAUCGUAGCUUUUGCUAUGCACCUAAAUAUAUAUUAUGUCUAGAUACGUAGCAAAAGCUAUGUAUCUAUAUAAAAGCCAAAAUGAAUAGUAAUUUGGGAUGGAAAUAAAAUGAAUAGUAUCUAUUAAAGCCAAUCGGGACUAAAGGUGAUCCUCAAUAAAAAUCUCGUCCGUGAAGACAUCUUUAGUCCCGGUUCCGAUUAUGCGAGAUGGGAAGUGGGAGCCACACUGCGUGCAUUUGCAGUCCCCAAGUGGAAGCUUCAUGAGCGCUGUCUUUGAACUUGGCUUAUGCUUCGCAGGGGCGCGCCCAAGUUGACCUGUGUGAUCAACGACGCGCAUCAGGCGGCGUUCGGACCUCCUCGUACCCACCAGCGCACACCCAGCUAGUAGUACUCCAAAGGGCAAAGGGACAUGCCACAUUAAUCCAUGUGCUGCAUCCAAUAAUUCUUCUUUCGUCGCUAAAGCGAGAUCUAUACCUCCAAUUGUUUCAAAAAGAUAUAUACCUCCAAUGAGGCGUAUCAGCGGAUUCACAGAAAUGUAUCAACUGAUGAAAAGCAAAAAUAAAAAUAAAAAAAAUCAAAACGUCUAAGCAAGGUGCCUGAUCAAAUCACAGUGCUGGGGCCUGUGAGCAAUAGGCAAGUAGCAACUGAUCUACCGGCAACGGCGACCAAUAAUGCAGCGUAGAACAUGCACGAGCACGAACCGAUGCAUGAUGCAAACGGCGGGCAGACUCUCUGGAGACUGAUUGACUGAAGAAGCGCAAUACAAUAAGAUAAUGCUCCCCGUCCCGGGCUAGGCAAAUCUUUGGACGGUCGCAUCGCAUCACCAUCACCACACACAUGAUCUGUUUUGCCAGGGGACGCUAGCUGCUGCUCUCUUUCCACCGGGAUUUCAGUGGGGAGUGGGCAGGUGGCGUUGCUCGUCGUCCCACUCUUGUCUCCGGUUGGCUACUCGCAGUUGGGGACUUUUGACGGGCAGCCAGGCGAAGGCCGACACCUGUGGGAAACGGGACGAGCGAACGUGAUCCCGUGCGGUGGAGUGGUGGCUCCUUUCUCCGGACGGAGGAUCCAUAUGUGCGUGGUUCAGUUUUUCUCUCCUGUUCUGCAAUGCCAUGAUUCCCUUAUUGCCUUGUGAUUUGAACUAUGAAUGAAUCUAUGAUGAUCUGUAAGCUAUGGUGAUUGUUUUGCCUUUGUAGGUGGUUGUGCUUAUCUUGCUCCUGGGAUGUAAUUCCAUUAUAUCUCUAGGUAAUCUCAUAAUUUGUUGGACACGAAAGCCAUUCCUAGUACUACUACCGCAUUCUAUUUUAUUUUGAAGUGCUAUUAUUGAUUUGUUGUGUAGCAUAUUAUAUAUUCCCUCCGUUCCAAAUUGUAGGUUGUUUUGACUUUUUUAGGUGCAUAAUUUUUGUUAUACACUUAGAUAUAGUGUAUGUUUAGAUGCAUAAUGAUAUCUAUGAAUCUAGAAAAGCUAGAACGACCUACAAUUUGGAAGGGGGGAGUAUAUCGUAACAAAUCCAUCACCGUGGAGGGUUUUUCCCUUUUCGCUGCUAGUAGCGUUAGCUAUCCAUUACUUCUCAUGACUGCUGAGGGUUUCUUGAUGCCUCGCCACACAACCAACACUUCCCAAAUACUACUACUCGGGCUCCACCAAACACAACUCUAUCAUGCGUGUCGCAACAUCCAAUCCACCGCCCUUAUCUGGUGAUGCCAUCAAAGUCACCACCAUGUCCGCAUUUGUUCCACCAACACCCCCACAGCUCCUCUACCCCGAAACUAACCAUGAGCUUUUAAUGUCACGUACGUCAUUGUCAUCUUAAGGUGGUAGAGUAACGUGUCAAGUAUGCUAUCACGUAUAAUGAGGCAAUAGUCAAAAAGACCCCACAACAAGAAUAUGGUUUGUCGACACCAUAUAUGGAGGCAUAUUAGGAAUUCCAAAAAGGAGAAAAAUGUGAGGAAGAAGGAAGGAAUAAUAUAUAUAAGCACAUCAUCAUUUAGACAUUAUACCCUUGUUAUCAAAUGGACACACGAAUACACCUAAAAUCAUGACACAGGCACUCCAUAGAUUUUGGAUGUACAUAUACCAAAACGACAACUAGGUUAGGAACUAAGAUUAGCUAUGCUGUUUGAAGAUGACUGGUGCAUUCUCCUUAUCUUAUCAUAGCCGAAUAUAUAUAACCAUUUAUAUUCCUACGAGCAACUAGUGAUGCAUACCACACUUUACAUGAUCCUGAAAAGCAUUUGCAUGAUAUUGGGAGGGCCAGGAAGUUCACAUCUUCCAAAAGUUAUUCCUUUUGAUCUUCGGAUCAGUCUCUACGAAUUACGCUAGCUCCUCGCUUAUCACGUAUAAUAGCAUCCGAACUGUCCAGAUAACCAAGAACAAUGCACACACGACCAAAGGAAUCGCUCUAUCGAUCGAGAGAGAUUUCUUCACCAGCUCUAGGAACGUCGAAUUAGGCGUCAAGGAUCGAAAAUGAAAUAAAGUUAGUACCACCAAUGCCUAUAUGUGGCAUAUUUGCUCCUGAAUUGUUGUCAAACUAGACGUGUCCAUCGAGGGGGGGACUGGCAUAGAUAAAGGCAUAAAGCGAAUAAUGUUUGGCUGCUCAAUCAUCGCUAAAAGGAUGGAACUGAAAGGCAUGUUCGUAGGCGUGUAGCAAGAGAGGGACCCUCGGCCUCUUGGCCUCUUCCCUUAAGAUAUUGCCAUUCCAAGUUGAAUAUAAAGUAUUGUACAGGUCCCAUGCAUUUGAAUCGUGUGGCCAUGCCUCUAGUCUUCUGCGAUAGUGUUAAAACCAUCUCGAUGAUUGGGCCUUGACCAAGCUUAAAUUAGUAAUAAUGUAUCCAGGCGUUAUUUAUUCCAAUAAAAAAGCGGGGGAAAAGCGCAGGAAAAAUAUAAGGAGCAGCUCCACGUCCAUGCGUCAUACCGUCAUACGUGUACGCAUGAAGGAUUUGGCUUAAUAAAAAGUAGAAGAACGUGCAGCUCUCGUUGACGAAUCGGACGGUCAUGUCCGGCUGGUUAUGUGCACGGAGGCAAAUCAUGUCCCUCGUGGCAUCAUUGCCGUCCUCACUCCUGCAAAACUGAGCAUUGGUCCUUCCAUAGUACGAGUUAGUUUUUGACCCGGUACUAAUAUGAGCAUUAGUACCGGGUCUACUCGGGAGCCUCCUGUGACCCCCUUUGGUACCGGGUGGAGCCUCAUUAGUACCGGGUGGGAGCUCCCACCCGGUACUAAUGUGACUGAGAGCCUUUAAUAUCGGGUAGAGACUCCACCCAGUACUAAUAGGUGACCUUUAGUACCGGUUGGAGCCCAACCGGUACUAAAGGAUCUCCUCCGCCUUAGUACCGGUUAUUUCACCCGGUACUAAAUGGGGGCCUCUUUAAUACUGAAGUAGCACAACCUGUACUAAAGGAGGUUAGGAACCGGUACUGAAGGAGCUUUCCCUAAGAGUAACUGCUGGAUGGGCGGCAAAGUAUAAUUCCAAAUGUAGCUAACGUACAUACACUUUUGUGCAGGUCAACUCAUCAUGGAUAUUCACUCCGAGUACUACAUCUCUGAAAAUCCCCCAUCCAACCAACAAUAAACCUCAAUGGUCUGUGGCUAAUGGCAACUCCUCCCGUCGAUCAUCGCUUUUACAACAAAAUGCAUCAAACCCGAAUUUCUAAAUUAGUCGGAAACAAUAAGAAGCUCGCUGGUGAAAAAGGGCACAGAUAAUCUCCAAUAAAACCCAAUGGUGAAAAGUUUUGGCAGAUUUUUCCAUAGGAAUCUGUCAUAAGAUCGAUGUCUAGCAAAGUUCAUAUAAUAAUAAUAUAUCCAAGAAUGCCACAUAUCUGUUAUUAGUCCCUUAACAUGGUGUGGUAAAUUUUUUCUUGUUAUCUGCAAAACUCAAAUUAUGCCUGGUAAAAUUCCUAGUGUUUUAAUAAGCUACUCUGAACCUCCUCGCCUUUAUUUCUCUGUUUCAUCUUGACUGGUUCUUUCUACGUGAGACCGCCCUCUGUCGCGUGCAAGGGCCAACCUGCCCCUGUCGACAAACCUUUAUUUCCCUCUCAAUCUUACUCCUCUAGGGAUGGUUGUAGCAGUUCUAUAACAGUAAACACUACGUAAGAUGACGUUUAGCUCCGUACGCGUGCAGCUCGAUAGGGAGGUGUUUAUGCUUUCUGUUCCAAUCACACCCGGCCAUUUUUUACUUCUUUUAGAAAGUCAAACUCCAUCUCUCAUAUGCAGGUCACGGUGAUACUGACCUCCAUCGAUGGACCUCGCGAUAAUUAACUCGAUCUAGCAUGCGUGAGAGUGAGCUGCAGCGUCUCUCCAUCGAUCUGCUGCUUUGCUACGUAGUGCAAGGUUGGUUGACUCGUCUGAUGCCUUCUCCAUAUAUACCGUACUGCUUGUUAUCCCAUCAUAUUGUUUCUAUUUUAUCUUUUGAAAAAUCCCAUCGUACCAAUUUGAACAUAAACAAGCAAGUAACAUCGAAACAUAUACCUCAUCACACUAAUAUAUGCACGGAUAUCAAGAUUAUUUUUCAUGACUGAUUGACUCACAUAAUUAAACUGAUAAAGCAUUUACAUCUUCAAAAGGAAAAUAUUCCUUUUCUUCAGAUAAGUUUGCAGAGCCUAUACAUACCUCCAUUUUAGCUUGGCAACCGUGUCAAAUUAGCUUGGCAGGGGUCAAGGAAAAGGAUCGAGAUUUGAGGUGGCAGCCACAACAUUUUUUGUUGUCUACAUAAAGUCGUAAAGAUGGUCAAGCAAGAUGUAAUACUACUUGGAUCGAUCGAUCGAGGCGAUGGCGGGGCUGGAUGAGGCGAAUGGCUGCCCGGUCAUCACUAGGGCCAAAAAGGAUGGAAAGGCAUGUGUGGACUUGCUGCUGCUGGUAGGGCCGGCGUGCAUGCGAGGGACCGAGAGGGAGCGAGGCAGGCACCUUCUCGGUCUCUUCCAUCAUUUCGUUGCCACAUGUCAAGUUGAAUUUGCGUCCGCUCGUCAUUACAAAAAUCAGCGAAGAAGUCCCCUCGGGAUCUUGUGGCCCAGGUAGCUUGCCUCGAUCUGCAAAAUGAAAUUAUUGUCAGAAAUCAACGCCGGGCAGUAUGUGUACAGUAGUACAGCUCAUGCGUGUUUGGUUUCGGGACUAAAGUUUAGUCCCUAUCACAUUAAAUAUUUAAUUAAUAAAUAUAGGUUAAUUACAAAACCAAUUGCAUAAGCCGUGGCUAAUUCGCGAGACGAAUCUAUUAAGUCUAAUUAGUCCAUGAUUUGACCAUGUGUUGCUACAAUAAAUAUGCGCUAAUUAUGGAUUAAUUAGGCUUAAUAGAUUCGUCUCGCGAAUUAGCCACGGUUUAUGCAAUUAGUUUUAUAAUUAGUUCACGUUUAAUCCUUCUAAUUGGUAUCAAAUAUCUGAUAUGACCCGAACUAAAAAUUAAUCCAUGGAUCCAAACACCUUUAUUGGAUAUAUAAUACGGCCUCGAUCGAGCUGGAGUUGGUUAUCCAAGUGAUUACUAUUAUUGCAAAUCUGCAAAAGAUCCAAAAGUGGCCAUAAAUGAAGAGCAUGCUGUUGAGUUAUGAUCCAAAUUUAGUUAUAUAAAGAUAAAGGCUGACUUCGGAUGGAGCGAAGCAACGCCUAUCGUGUUGCCGUACCGCACCUGGGGACGCCUGGGAGGGUGUGGGGGGCAAAGCCCCCCUCCAUCGUCGCGGUACGGAUCAUCACCUAUUAGGGUUUGACCUCUUUAUGUACCUCGUGUAAGCCGCCGGUUUGAGAUGAGUCGAAAGGUUGUAAAUCUCCGACGUUUGUAACCUCACCCAAUAUAGUGAAGAUUUGCUGGCUAGCACCCGUGAUUUUUUCUCUUCCUCCUUGGAAGGGUGUUCCACGUUAAAAUCUCGUAUCUUCUGUGUUAGAUCUGCUAUUCUUCGUCGUUUAUAUUGUCUAUCGUUGGUAACAUAGGCGAGUACGUAUGAAGGGAUAAUGCUCAUAUAUAUACUCUCUCCAUUUUUCUUUACAUGACGUUUCUAACAAAAGUUAGUUUUGGUCUGCUUCUCGUGCAAAUCUGUGGUCGGAAAUGUCAACUAUUCACUAACAGAGGUAGGUAGUACUGUGAAAAUAUGAGGCGAAAGGAGAUGAUCAGAAGCAUGUUUGUGCAGCUAACUACUCCCGUUGACGAAUUGGGCGGCCCCGGGGAUGAGGACGGCGAGCGCUGGGUGGCGGGCACCCGGGCAGGCAUGACGUGGAAACCGACCGUUAAUAUUGUUUCACAGCGCCGUCUCUGCAGGUCGUUUUCGUGGGAGAUGGAUCGGUGUCAACGACAUGAACAGUUUGAUGAGCACGCCUGACACGCGGUCAAGCUCAGGCCUGCCGACCUUCCUAGGUAGCCAGUCAGCCAGAGAUGCUAUUCCAGCCUCCGGAACAGUCCCCGUACCAACCUCCAAAAGUAGGUUCCUUCCUCCUCUUCACGGAUUUGUCCAUGCAUGUGCGAACCGAAUCCUAAGACGAGACCGAAUGGGUGGUGGUGGGUUCGGUGUUUGGGAGGAGGGAGUUACAUUUUAACCCCCAUCACAUCGGGAAUGUUUAGACACUAAUUAGGAGUAUUAAACCUAGACUAAUUACAAAACUAAUUACAUAACCCCUAGGCUAAAUUGUGAGACGAAUCUAUUAAGUCUAAUUAGUUCAUGAUUUGACAAUGUGGUGCUACAGUAACCAUUCACUAAUGAUGGAUUAAUUAGGCUUAAUAGAUUCGUCUCGUGAUUUAGCCUAGAGGUUCUGUAAUUAGCUUAUGUUUAGUCCUCCUAAUUAGUAUCCGAACAUCCGAUGUGACAGGACUAAAGUUUAGCCUCCUCCUCCCAAACACCCCCUAACAGGUGCUAAACUUUAAUCGUGUCACAUCGGAUGUUAAUUAGGAGGACUAAACAUGAGCUAAUUAUAAAACUAAUUGCAGAACCCCUAGGCUAAUUCGCCAGACGAAUCGCUAAUAACCCAUCAUUAGCAAAUGGUUACUGUAGCAACACAUUAUCAAAUCAUUGACUAAUUAGGCUUAAUAGAUUCGUCUCGUGAAUUAGACUAUAUUUUAUAAUUAGUUUAUGUUUAAUACUCCUAAUUAGACUAUGUUUUGUAAUCCAUCAUCCGUGCAAUUAGUUCUGUAAUUAGUCUAUAUUUAAUACUUCUAAUUAGUAUCUAAACAUUCGAUGUGAUAGGUGCUAAAUUUUAGCACGUGAGAUUCAAACACGCCCUAAGCUACCCGUCGGCGUCGACUAGGUCGUCGUAGUAGCAGCAGCCAGUAGCACGUUGCGAUGCCGAGGGCUACGACGCCGCAGCACGUUUGGGGAAGCCUGAUUUUUCCGGGUCGGGUGGCGGACAGAUUGUUUGGUCGCUCCCAUCGUCGCUCUCGCCCAUACUCCACGUCCUCCGACCAGUGAGUGGGCCACGAGGCAUUCCGGAAAGAAGUACUGACAGGUAUCGUGAUGAUGAUCUUGUUGGAAUAGAAGCUAACAAUAAAAUGUUCCUGUGUGUCAAUUCGGCUUGAGUGUAUAUUUAGGGUAACCCACUUGCCAAGUUGCCAACGAUAGUCCGCUACCAACGGAAAAUAUACGGAGAGCAAGUUGCGCAUUAUUGGCGGUACAAAAAGAAGACGCGCCGGUUUGAAAUUUUAUACGGUGCUCCCCAUUCAUGUCAAACGUAACGUAACGUAACGAUGGAUUAUUCAGCUGUUGCCCUCCGCCGACUGCCCACUCUAGCGCCAUCGACGUAGCUGGAAUAUUAAGCUACGGUGAUGGAGGGUACCAGAUGCUGCGUGCCUGCGUGCAGCUACAGUUACCAAGUUGUGUGAUGCUGUGGCCGGAUGCUACGAGGGAAGAAGAACAGCCAAAAAUAGCUAAUCGUGCAGAGUCACAGGAGACGGGCAGCAGCACAGAGGACUUGGCAGAGUUAUCCUCGAGAUAUCUACCACAGGCGGGGUUGGCCCAGCCAUAAAGAGAACAUGGGUGGGCUCCAAAUAGCCCAUACACGUGGCAAGACUCCAAAAGAAAACGCAUGUUUUGGGCCACUCAAGCCCGUUUUGCCCGGGUGUGCCAGGCCAAGAACUUCGCACACAAACGGCCAGUUUCGCGCUCGCGUGCUGGCUGGACCAGAGUUCGUUCAGGUGGGCUAGGGAGGUUGGACCUCUAGUUUCGACCGAAUCACGCUUGCCACACAUCUAAAAAAACAUACGGCCCAAAGAAAAAAUCGCUUGGUUAGCGGCGAUACGCGCGUCCUUCCCCUACUUUUUUUUAGCUUUUUUUUUAUCGUUUCAAAAUAUAGACCCUGUACUCGGCGCCAUGCCUGAUGGCGCCGAGGAAACACGUCUCGGCGCCGAGGUCUUGGCGAGGCGUCGGAUGUGGCCCCGACAUGGAUAAGGCCUCGACGCCAUUGAUCUUGGCGUCGAGUUGUUACCCUAGCUCUUGGCGUUUGAAAUGAAACAAGUAUAAUUGUUUUGAGGAACAUGCGACAACUACACUACGGUUCAGCUAGUUAGGACGCGCGCAUCUUAAGUCAAAGGCCUGAAUUCGAACACGAGCGCCAAAUUUUUUUUCUACAUUUUUUAAGCCCAUUGAGAUACAUUUUUUGCGCAGUCCGCAGCGAGCGAUUCGUUUUCCGCCCGUGUUUGCUCUUGCUGUCCGGGACCGGCCCCUCGCUUGCGAUUCAGUUGGGCAGGGUCAAUGCACACGUCGCUGAUUUCUUUCUUGGCAGCUUGCUCGUCCACCCUGGCUCAUCGUGACAGCCUCUAAUCAAAGUAAUCACGCUGAAUCUUUUUUUGCGUAGCAAAAAUGCAGCAAAAAAUUGUAUCUCAAUGAGCUUACAAAAAUGUAGCAAAAAAGAUUCAGUGUUGGGUUCAAACUAAGCCUUUGGCUUUAGACACGCACAUUCUAACCAGUUGAACCGCAGUGUAGUUGUUGCAUGCUCCUCGGAACAAUUAUACUUAUUUCAUUUCAAACGCCCGGUAACAGCUCGGCACCAAGAUCUAUGGCGCUGAGGCCUUGUCCACGUCGACGCCACAUCCAACGUCUCGCCAAGACCUCGGGAAUGGCGCCGAAACGUGUUUCCUCGGUGCCAACAGUCAUGGUGCCGAGCUCAGGGUUUAUAUUUUAAAAGGAUACCUCGAGGGACGUAUUUGUGAGUAUCUAAGAAAAGCUAAAAAAUAAAAAAUUCGGGCGUCCUUCCCGCACCCCUCCCUCACCAUGCGACCAAGUGACCAACGCCGCGACCGCAGCCCAGCAGCCAUGAUUGCCCGUGGCCGUAGCAAUGUUCCAAGUAGCGGCUAUAGCGGUAUGGCUGUUUUUACCACUAUAGGCGCUAUUGCUACUAUAGCGCUAAAUAGCGCUGCGAUAGCGAAAUAGCGUAUACGCGACUCGUCCACGGAUUCCGGCGCUCGUGCGAGGCCGCCGCCACGAGCCCACGACGGCCUGUGCCAGUUUGCCCCACGAGAGAGACCCAAGCCCAAAGCCCGUCCGCAGAAGAACAUCGCCUGCUCCAGGCCACGAGCCGUUCUAGAAAGAUCCCCAGCUCUCGCACCACGGCGGCCACUCGGCGCGGAACGGUCAACACGCGACGAGGCAUCUCCGCCUGCGCCUUGCAGAGUUGCAGGUGUCCGUUGGCGUAGCGACAGACACGGAGGCGACCGUUCGCGCGCAGGCCGAAACCCUGGCGGGGCCCAGCACAACCAGCCCGGCCGGAUACCUCGCGUGGGCGGAAAGCUAGCGACGCGCGCCCCCCGGAUCCACGCCCUCCUCCACCCGCCGACGGGAUCCAACGGCACCCGAUCCCUGCGUCCAUCCAAAGCUAACCCAUAUACAUACACGGGCCGCACCCGCACCGCGCUCCCCGAAAAAAGCAAAAGAGAAACGCGUUUCCCCCGUUAUAAAAGCCUCCGCGGCGGCCCCUCUCCAUCCAGGUCCAUCGAAGACGCUCCCCGACUUCACAAGUCCGUUUCGAACUCUCUAGACGCCUCUCUCGUCUUCGUCGCCGCCCCGUUCGGCCGUUCCCCAUCCCCAAACCCGCGUUCCCCUCUCGCGCGUCGCGGAAAUGGUGAGCACGUUCGCCCGCGGUCUAACGAGUAUCCGCUCGGUGUUCUCCGACGGAGAUCCUGAGGUAUUCUGGUUAGGAGCCAGGUCGUCUGAUUGAUCUGUGUGUGUUUUUGUUUUGUGGUCUUUUUCAGGCGUUGCCGAAUCAGCAGGUUGUGGAUUACCCCAGCUUCAAGCUCGUCAUCGUUGGCGACGGUGGAACUGGUGAUUUUCUCCGUCCUUUCCUCCGCCUUACAUGAUUUUUGAUUAUUCGUUCCGGGACAUUGGGAGGUGUGGCCUCUGAUCCGUGCGGCUCGGUUUCCGCGAGAUCCGGCGAACCGGGUAACGAUUUUUCUCCGGCUGGAGGCGCAUGUGAAUGGGUGGGUCGUAAGGUGAUUUGGGGUUCAAGCGUCUUUAGGUUUUAGAUGGUGGGGAAUCGUUAGAUUUCAGCACAUGCGGAGAUCUAUUUUAUUGUCGUCAGGCAUUGAUGCUAAGAAGUUCUCCCUUGGCAGUUAGUAUUUCACUAAUACUAAUCUUAUGCCAACUAUUAUCUUCUAUGUUAAUCAAGGACCUGCUUAACACCGCUGAACUCUCUGUACAAAGAACUGUUAGGUUGCUCUGUUUCUAACAUUUUUUUUAGUGUCCUAAAUAAAAACUUGCCAAUUGGUAUUUGAGUACUUACUAUGUAGUAUAAAAAAGGCAUGAGGUUCCGGAAUAAAAAUGGAAAGUUCUGGUUGAUGGUGGGCAAAGUGUUUGUGUUUUGAUCCAGAGUGUAUGAAAACGGAAAGUUGUAGUGGAUUGUGCAUCUUAUCAAAAACUAGUAAUAAACUAGAUUUUUUUCAAUCUGAAAGAAGUUUUCCUUUGUGAACUUACACUAGUGUUGUGGUGGAUGACAUUUUCCUGCUGGUAUAAGGUAUGGACGUAUGCCUAUGUGAUCAGAAAUCUAUGGUCAAUCUUGAGUGCUCAGGUGCACUGGAUGCUGACUGCUGACACGCUACUAAGGUUUUCGAUCCUAGUGUGAUGGCCCUCCUCUCAAUGGUUGCAAUUUUCAAAUGUUUCUUACAUUCCUUGACUUGUUGUAUUCCACUUCUGUAUUUAUCUAUAAAAUGUUGCCAAACAUGUGCCUUUGUUUUAAUUUAUUUAAGUGCCUUUCCGCCAUUGUUGUUAAUGUCUCAUUGCUUUAUGUUUCCUGCAGGGAAAACCACAUUUGUGAAAAGGCAUCUUACUGGGGAGUUUGAGAAGAAAUAUGAGCGUAAGUGUCAUACCAUGGUUCUGUUCUAGUUAUUUGCUUGCAGAAGAUCAGACUUGCUCAUACCAAUUUGGUUGUUAUUCAUUGCAGCCACCAUUGGUGUUGAAGUUCACCCACUGGAUUUUAGCACCAACUGUGGUAAAAUCCGCUUCUAUUGCUGGGACACUGCUGGGCAAGAAAAGUUUGGUGGUCUCAGAGAUGGCUACUAGUAAGUGAUAAAUACAUAUUUCAUCAAGUUUAUCUGGGUUAGAAGUUGAUUGAAAGUGAGAUAGUGUUGUGAAGCUUUGUGUGACAUCAUUCCUUGUUUUAUGAAAUUAUGUUUGUAACAAUGAAUUUUGUAGUAGUUUCAGCAUGCCAAUACUCAUUGUUGAUUGAAAAUGAGAUAGUGUUCAUACAUAUAAAGCAUGUGAAUCUUUGUGUGACUCCAUUCCUUGUUUUAUGAGAUUAUCUUUACAUAAUAUAUUUGUAGCUGUUCCAGCCUGCAAAUACUCAUUAUGAAGACUAGAGCAUUCAACCACAUGUAGUCAGGCAUUCUUCUGUUUUGGUCGCAAUUUUGGCAUAUAAUGCAUUUUUCUCAUAUUCUUCUGCAAAUAUGGCAAGAUUGGAAUGCUGAUUUAUGGAUGGUUUUCUAGUUUGUAUAUUUGUGUGUACAGUUGCACAUUAGUGUCCCACACAUUGAGAUCCACAGCUCGUGGGUUAGGAUUCAGGUAGCCAAUAGCAUGUGCUGAUUUCUUUGUCGAAUACAAAAUUUCCAAAAUGUCUUAAUGGUAUAUUAUGUUUUGAUUUUUUUUCCUGUUGGUAAUUUUCGAAUCUCAACCAAUCUUCUGUUAUUGGUGUGAUGUUUAUUGAGUUUUGGUUCAUGUUUCGUUGGGCUUGUCUAACAUUAAUUAAAUUUCAACGGUCCUGCAGUAUCCAUGGCCAGUGUGCCAUCAUCAUGUUUGAUGUCACUUCAAGGCUGACAUACAAGAAUGUACCAACAUGGCACAGGGACUUGUGCAGGUUAGUUUAUCAGUAUAAUUUAUUUGAAUGAGUUUAUUUUUCAGUAUAAAAUUCAGUAAGGUUAUGCAUUGAUUAUGUUGGGAGCUUUGCUAAAUAUUUGAUUUUUUGAUUGCAGGGUGUGUGAGAACAUUCCCAUUGUCCUCUGUGGUAACAAGGUUGACGUGAAGAACAGGCAAGUCAAAGCCAAGCAAGUUACAUUCCACAGGAAGAAGAACUUGCAGUACUAUGAGAUUUCUGCCAAGAGCAAUUACAACUUUGAGAAGCCCUUCCUUUACCUCGCUAGGAAGCUGGCAGGGUAAUUAGAUACUUGAUCACCUCUCCACUUGCUUUUAUUUUGUUGUCUUCCUCAUAUAUGUAAUAACCAGCUCUUUGGCCUUGCUAACUUGUUACUGGUGAAUAUAUAUUUAGGGACCAGAACCUUCACUUUGUCGAGGCUGUUGCUCUGAAGCCACCAGAAGUGCAGAUUGAUAUGGCCAUGCAACAACAGUGAGUGCUUUGAUCUCUUUAUUUGAUAUCCAGCAACAGCAGAAAAUUCACUAGAUUUUCAAAUGUUGUCCUGAAACUAGUAUACAAAUCCUAAUGGUAGGAUUUGGAGGAGAGUUUUAUGUGGAAAAACACAACUCGCACCAUAACCAUCAUUUGUUCAACUUGGCAAGAACUAUUCUGUGAUAGCAAUUUUGGCCUGCAUUUCUAAUGUCAUUUCCCCGCAUGAUCGCAGGCAUGAAGCUGAGCUUGCUGCGGCCGCCGCGCAACCCCUGCCAGAUGACGAUGAUGACCUGAUCGAGUAGAUAAUAUCAUGGCCCUUGUCGAUGAUGUGCGAGUGAACUUUUUAUAAGAACCCAUAGUGGUUCAUCCUUAGAUUUUAGGAAGCUGGAUGUUCUCUUGAUGUAUCUGAUGAGAAUGAGUUAUGAAAUUUCUAUCCGAUGUUGCCGAGGUUUGUUGGUGACUGAACCGGCUCCUUUCGAGUAAUACAGUUCUGUCGUCACAUAUUUCUGCGUGCGAUUUUGUGCCUUCCUGUUGCUCUUCUGAAUUGCGAUCUUAAAAACCGUGGCAGAAAACGCAAAACGCAAAAGGGAUGAGCAGAGUGAAAAGCCAUGUGUGCUGUUUGGCGGAGUGUGAUAUCCUUGGUAGUACGUAAAUAGUGUGAUACUGCUGAUUGAGUUUCCUCUAUGCGCUAAAAGCUAAAUCUCGCAGUAAAAUGUGCAUCGCCGUACCGAUCGCUGGUCCUCGGUCUUGUACAGUUCCAGAAAGAUUACCCUUUGUGCCAUGCAAGGGAAAACUUUGGAGAAAAUUCCAUAUUCGAUGCCGAAGAAAUGAGGGGUUCCUUCCCUGAUCUUCGAAAAUUUGAACUUCCCUAUUUGACACUAGUCCCAAAUUUGGUUCCUAUAGUCCCAAAUUUGGUUCCUAAAAUGACACUACCGUGGGAGAUGGGACGCGUCUGGGAGGAUGAGAUCGCAAGAUGCAGGCACGAGAGGACGGCGAGCGCCAGCAAGGCGGGCGAGGUGGUACGGUGCCAAAGGCCAUGGCUGGAUCAAGCGGUGCCUGUUGACUGGCGAGGAGGAUUAGCAAGCGAGGUUGUCAGUUGUCACGCGCACCAGCACCCUUCGCUCUCUCGCCGUCCAUAACCGUUGUCGCCGCGACGCCGCCGCUGUGCAGCUUCGACGGCAGGAGCCGCACCCUCCAUCGACUGCGCAUCCCCUGAGCGCAUUUUGGGGCCAUGCCUACCUGGCCUGCUUGUGCUGCUAUUGCAUGCCUGGGCUGGAUCGAAUUCGCGAGAGGGAGAGCGCGAGGAGGCAGACACCGGGGGUACCAGGGUAGGAACGUUUUUGUUCGUUCAUUCAACACACAUAACCAGGGGCAUUUUGGUCAACACGUGUCAAACACAAGGGUUAACGGAAAUUACUAACAGAAUUGACAGGAGUGUCAUUUUAGGAAUACAAUUCACACAUGGUGUCAAAUAAGGAAGUUCAAACUUUUAAGGAUCAAGGAAAGAAUCACUCAUUUUUUCAGUGUCAAAAGGGAAUUUUCUCAAAGCUUUGGUACCCCUACCCUAGAUGACUCAUGAUGGUAUAAACGGAAGAAAUGUGCCUUUACAGGAGCCAACCCAUGUUUGGUAAAAUUUUUCAGCAAGAUCCCGUUUCCUCAUAACAUAAAAUUAUCAUCAAACGGUGGCAUGGUGCUUCUUUCUUCUACUUUCGGCCUUCUCCCUCUCGCCAUGGUGGCAUGGUGCCCAAAGGCCAAAGCAAGUCCCCAAUCCCCACAGGAGCCACGGGAGCAAGUCUAUCAUUACUCUAACCCUUCCCGUUAGACAUCUUUCAUCAUCCUCAACGGUGAUGUCCCUGCCACCUACUGGACACGUAUGUUUGCUACGAACUGGCGGUCCAACUAAUUGGAGUAGUAAACAAUUGAACCCCUCUAAAGCCUCAAGAUCCUUCUUUAAAAAAAAAAGCCUCAAGAUCCCCAAUCCUAAAUCAUCAUCCUUAACUCAAAAUCUCCAAAUUCAUUGCAGUCUCAUCAGCAUUAAAAAGGUGGGUGAACAUUGGUUGGAAGAAAAAUAUUUCGUAGUAGAGCAGAGUAGCCGGACACGGUAUAUAGCAAAUAAAAAAAUAUUUUUUCCGUUCCAAUUUAUAAGUUAUUCCAGUUUUUUUUGAAGAGUUUAAAUGUCAGGCGCCGAAAAGCAGUGAGGUCGCCAGUCAGAGGGUCCCACUAGUCAGUUGGUCCCACUAGUCAGUUUCCUAGAUCAGGGCCAAAGGGUCGGCAAGACGGCAAGCGGACGUGGGGGAACGGAACUCUCCAGUUUCGCCCCGAACGAUAAAACGCCGCAAGGGGGGGUGUUGGGGGAUUUGGCCCUGUCCUCCGCGCGAUUCAGCCCAGCGAACGCUGGCCUGAAGUCGGAGACAGUCUCUUCGAUUCCCCCCGUCCCCGGUGGAAUUGGAGCUGCGAUGGAGGAGCAGUUCAUCCUCCGCGUGCCGCCGUCCGUGGCGGAGCGGAUCGAGCGCCUCAUGAACGAAUCCGCCGCCUCCUCCUCCAACCCUGACGACGCCUCCCUCGACCUCUCCUUCUCAGGUCAGCGGCGCCCCCCGUCUCUCUCCCUCGAAUCCCUCGAAUUCAACUGUAUCCGUGGGAAAACAACCUACCGUGUCGUGCACUAGGCUGGCAGCUUCGUUGAGAACUACGAUCCAUGGAUUCGCUUCUGGGAUUACAUGCCCGUAGGCUGUUAGACGGAACGCGCAAGUCUGGUCAGGUGCGCUGGGGGCUUCCAUGGAGCCGUGCGGGAAGGCGUGAGGGUGUAAAUCGGCGGUAGGCUUCUAGGCUGGUAGCUUUUGGUCCAGAUUGCCACCGCGUGCGGGGUGUCGGUCUUGGGUGUGCUGGGUUCCUGCCCUGAGAAUGCUUAGCACCACUAACUGUUCCGUUCUUCGCACUAGAUGGAACCGGCCCUCUGGUGCAUAAUUAGCAUAUGGAGAUCACACAGUACCAUGUGCCCCUGCUGCCAGGUGGCUUAGGUUACGAGGAAGGUUAUUUUUCUUGCUCCAGAUUAUGCGUUGAUAUGUUGAAGUGUGAUGUUAGCGUAUUGUUCAAUUGGUGUUGGAUUUAUUAACUUCCCAUGGAUCAGCUUGCACAUGCAUUUAAGAGAUUGUUCAUUUGGAAUUUUCCCAAAGAGCCUAGGGACGUUCUUCAGUCCAUCAGAGUAGUAGGGUCAGUAUGAGUAUAAUUAACGACCAAAGCGAAGCAAAACAUUCCAAGUUUUCCAUUCUGAUCUGAGCCAACUGUUCUGCCAUCCAAUUGCUUUACUUGGCACAUAUGCUUCAUGUAGCACAAUCUCUGAUCUAGAUGAAAUCAUGAAAUAACUUGAUUGCUAGAAAUAACUAAGGUCAAUAAAUGUACAACUCCAAAGGGGUGAACCCAUCUCACAGUGGCCAUGCUAAGCGCUUAUUAAAAAAGUUUUACCUUGGACACAAGUAAUAUGAUUCAUUUGAUACGACAUUCACUUUGUGCAUUGGUGCUCAUUCAGUGAUGGAACAACACUACAGUCCCUCUUAUUUCUGAGCAUGCAACUUGAACUAGAUUAUACUAGAUGUUUCUUCAAAAACUGAACUUUGGAACUUUUGUCGCCUUGUGGAUUGAUGAUAUAUUUCUUCCUACAGAGGAUGGAAGAAAUGGUACAUUUAUGAUUGACAAUGAAAGGUUUCCUGCAUCUCUCUUGGAUUUACCUGCGGUGGUGGAGUCAUACAAGACUUAUGAUGACUCUGUACUAAUUAAAACUGCUGAUAUUGGUCAGGUAAAAGUGCACGUUUACUGUAUGUCGCCUGCCAUAUCUUAAAAUCAUCUGAUGAAACACAGAUUGAAACAGAUGAUUAUGGUAAGAGAAGAAAAUGACCCUGCUCCAGAGGGAGUUGAAUACAAGCAUGGGCUUACUCCUCCAAUGAGGGAUGCACGCAGACGCCGUUUCCGCAGAGAACCAGACUUGAAUGUAUUAAAAUCAAUUGCCCUCUAGCACUGUUCAUUGUCCAGGUUUUAUGUUCAUGGACCUUUUUUAGGCAGAACCAUGAUUCUUUCUUACACAAUUUUGCAGGCAGAGCUGGUUAACCAAGUUGAGAAGCAUCUCAUCAAUAUUAUGCAUGGAGUAUCUGUCAGUAUCCUUUUGGUUGGUUUGAUUCGCUAAAUGGUAGCAUGUAUUGUGGUCUAGCAGCUGAAUAAAAUGGUGCAUAAUUUCUUUUGUUCGUAGGCUUUCUCACUAUUUUUUUUGUACUAACGAUAGUUGACAAAUGGUUCUUCUACAUUGAGUUCCCUCCCUCUUUGACAAGGAUAAUUAUGUCAUUCUUUGAAUCUUGCCAUUAUUGUAGUUUCAUACAGAUGUUUGAAGGCUAUGCUGCACCACCAGUUUUACCUCUGAAUUGGAUUUUUAAAUUGACAUCCAUCAAGAUUAUUUACAUUCAUAAUAAAAAUGUCGUAGUUGUAUUGACCACUAGUUUUUAUGACUGCGUGUGGUUAGGUUGAAGGACUCUGUCAUAUAUACAUCAAAGGAUGUUACUCUGUUAUAUCUAUCAGUCAAUAUGCAUUGUUCCUUAACUUGUCAAUAGACCAGAAUGCCAGUGUAAUAGGAGGUGAGGAAGGUGGUGAGCGUAAGAAACCUCCAGUAGCCCGUGCACCCAAGCAGCCUGAUGUUCAAGAGCCAGCUGCAAAUGGCGAGGAAGCUGAACCUGAGAGAAGCGACUCGGAAGAGUCUGAUAACUGAAGUGGACCUGAAUAGUGCAGCAGCAGUGGCCCAAAUGACCCAGGUUAAACUUUGCAUUUUAAAUCAGAGUGUAUAUCUGUAACAAUGAUGGCUGUUGUCUAAUGUAUGCUGUGGACUAUUAUCAUAAAAAAUUUCUUAGACUUCAGCAUGUUGUUUACUAUUGUAGUGCCAGAUGCAGCUGUGUGCUUGAGUGGACUCAUUCGCACGCAGGACGUACUGUUCCUACUAGGCCAGGUAGUAGCAGUUUCCGUCUGAUAUUUAUCAUAAGAUUACUUGUUGAUAGGAACCCCCUCCACCUCUUUAUACAGAAGGUUAUAUAUUGGGAUUUAUAAAUACCGUAAGACAGUUGAAAGAAAACAUUAGGACUGCAUCUGUCCUUUGUUCAAUUCUGUGGAGUAUCACAUCUGUGGUUAAGCAAUCACCACCUUCAGUUUAUAUUUUCUGUGAUUGAGUUACCUUCACCUGGACUUGGUCUAGGCUGAGAAGUCAGAUUAAUGUUCAACUACUUAAAAAAAAAACCUUCCAGUUGGUUAGUAUCUUGUGACACAGUUCUCCUUUAUGUUCAUAUAUGUAAGGAGUAUAUUACUCUUAUGCGUUGACCUGAACAUAUAGUAAAAGUAGAAUAAUAUCUGUGCAGCUGAAUGGGUCUACAAUAGAAACAAAUGUGUGAAUAUUUCUAAAAGUUAUGAAGUAUAUGGAUAAGAUUCAUCGUAGCACUCGAAUAACCCCCAAGGAUUGUAAAUGUUACACGAAAUUGAUAUUUUAGACUACAGGCACGCCUUGGUUAGCGUCGUGUUGCCAGCCUCAGUUUUAGUAGACUAGGCUAAGAUUUGACUCCAUUGAGAGUAUCAGAGUACACAAAUGUAAGAUGUAAACUUACUCUAUCAUUACCUGUCAUUUUGGUAUACUUGUUUUGUCUAUAGGAGAUUCUUUAUAGCUUCACAAUAUGCCACUCGUGUUAGCUUAUAUAAGUAGGAAGUAGCUUUCCCAUGACGGCUAUAUAUACCUCAUGCAUUGAGAAAUUUAGGCACAUUUCUCUCCCAAGUUGGUUGCAAAAUGUGUAUACUUAUUGAGACUACCUAGUCAGAUUAAGCCUCUCUAUUACUGCAGGAAGCAACAGCAUUUUCAAGAAGGUUGGUAGUCAGAUUAAACUUAAACCUUCGCACUUCUAUUCGUGCCAUAGACGACAUUAGACGAUUGUUUUCACACACCCCGUUGCGAGGGAUCAGAAAAGCUUGUUUCUUGUGGUUGUCCUCCUCAAAACUGAGGCCGUAAGUUGAAGAGUUGAGCCGCCAUUCAUGUAACUGCUUCUUUUUCGAGUGCACAGGGCAUGCGUAUACAUGACUCUGGGGUGUUUGGAUACGAGGUGCUAAACUUUAGCAGUGUCACAUCGGAUGUUCGGAUACUAAUUAGAAGGACUAAACAUGAGCUAAUUACAAAACUAAUUGCACAGAUGGAGUCUAAUUCGCGAGACGAAUCUAUUAAGGCUAAUUAAUCCAUCAUUAGCAAAUGGUUAGUGUAGCAUCACAUUGUCAAAUCAUGGCCUAAUUAGGUUUAAUAGGCGUCUCACGAAUUAGACUCCAUCUGUGCAUAAUUAGACUAUGUUUAAUACUCCUAAUUAGUAUCCAAACAUCCGAUAUGACAGUUUAGCACGGUGUUCCCAAACACCUCCAGAGUUGUUGUUGCUCCUCCUCGAGAUCGAGGAUGCUGCAGAGUUGUUGUUGCUCCUCGAGAUCGAGGAUGCUGUUGUGCCUUUGCCUCUGCCUUGUGCAAGAUAUUGAAGUGGCUUUCACAUCCCUUGUUGGUUGUCGUCUUUAUCAUUUUCAUUUUGAUUCUUCUUGGUUCUGGUAUUUUUAGCUUAAGUUCCAAGAUUGCUCUUGAAUCUGUGUGCUACGCUGCCAUUGCUUGCCUAUACACUUUCACCCAAUCGAAUCGGAAGGAAAGGGCUCUUUCCGGAAUAUUUCUUUCGCUGCUUGCAGCAGUCAUCGUCUUAUCAGCUGCCAGUGCCAAGCGCAGCAAUGCUACCGUAGCUAUCAUGUCCUUCUGCAAUCUCCUGGCUCUAACGGUAUACUGCAUAUGGAAGCUUCGUUCUCAUGGCGCAGCUGCAGAGGUUGAUGCCGACGCGCCACUUGAGCUGCCGGUGCUGAGAGAAGAAACAGGGUGUAGUAAUCCGGUGCAGCAGACCACGUUCCACAUCGAGGAGCUGCCGCGGAAGUUCUCGUACGACGAGAUCCGAGCCGUGACCGGAGACUUCGGGACCAUGUUGGGGCGCGGCGGCUCCGGCGAAGUCUUCCGAGGCCUCCUCGACGACGGCACGCUGGUCGCCGUCAAGCGGAUCACCAGCGACAAGCCCGUCGGCGAGGCUGUCUUCCUGAGAGAGGUCUCCAUCGUCGCAAGCGUGCACCACCGCAGCCUGGUGCGCCUCCUCGGGUACUGCCUCCUGCGCGGGGGCGGCAGCCAGUACCUGGUCUACCCGUUCUUGGAGCACGGGUCGCUGGACUGGUGGCUGUUCAACGGCGAGGAGCGGCGGCGCCUCCUGCCGUGGCCGGCGCGGCGGCGCAUCGCCGUCGACGUCGCCAGGGCGCUCGCGUACCUCCACCACGAGUGCCACCGGCAGAUCCUCCACCUCGACGUCAAGCCAACCAACAUCCUCCUUGACGGCGGCCUCCGGGCGCACGUGUCGGACUUCGGCAUCUCCAUGUCCAUCGCGCAGGACAUGACCAGCGUCGACAACCGCGGGAGGGGCACGCCCGGGUACAUGACGCCGUUGAUAUCUCUCUGCAGGAUGUCCGUCAAGUUCGACGUGUACAGCUACGGCAUGACGGUCCUUGAGCUCGUCAGCGGGCGCAGGAGCUUCGCGAGCGGCGAGGACUUGUCCUCGGAGACGCCAAACUACUUCGCGCGCGUCGUGCGGGAGAAGAUGGCACGGGGCGCGCUCAUGGAGGUGGUGGACGCGGCCAUGGCGCGCGCGGACGAGGGGGAGGUGGAGGCAGUGGUGAAGGUGGCGCUCUGCUGCGUCCAGCACAGGCAGGAGCUGAGGCCGAGCAUGCAUUCUCGAAUGUCGUGUCGUGGUCGGUCCGCCGCUGGAGUCCGCCACGGCGUAGCCGAGUCCGAUCCAACUCAUCCCAAAAUCGUGUAGAAAAGUGAAUUCAAAUCCCUGCAUCGUUGGUUCUCCCAAAUCCCUCCGAGAAAAAGUUCCUACGACAUGGCCGCCGCCACCGCCGCCUCGCGAUCUCGCCAUCCUCCAGCUGCCUUCUCGGCGGCGCCGGCGAUCGGCGCAGACUGGGAGAUGUUCGAUUCCACCAUCCUCAUGGGAGAUGUCGCCGAUCCCGCCACUGUCUGCGCCGCGAGCAAUGGCGGGGACGUCGCGUCUCCCUCCGUCUUGCCGAGCCACCGGCCUCCUCCUACGUCGAGAUGCUCAUCGAUGCCGAGCUCUACGACGACCCCACGGUGCUGGCCGCGGACGGGGACCUCCUCCUCAUCCACACGGUCGUCGCCAUCCGCGACCCGCCGCCCUUCUACCAGGACAACUUCUUCGUGCACAGGGCGCACCCGGUGACGCCGUCGCUGCGGCUUCUCCCCCAGUUCGGCGACUGGGCUGCCCACGCCCGGCACACGGGCAUUUCCUGCCUCGGCGGGGAGUUCGUCGUGGCGGCCUUCCAUUCGAGCAUCAUCCGCGGCGAGGAAGGCGCGAGCUGGGACGAGGUGGGCGUGCUCUCGCGGUUCUCGUCUUCCACGGAGCAAUGGGAGGUCAAGGAGCUCCCGAUCCCCUUCGAUUCGGACAGAGGGCUGUAUCCCCUUACAUGGACCACCGACAAGGUGUUCUCCUUCCGUGGAUUCAUGUGCUGGGUCGAUUACCACCACGGCAUCCUGUACUGCGACGUCUUCUCCGAUCUUCCCGAGCUCCGGUUCGUGCAGCUCCCCGGGAUCGAGAUCUGGGAUGACUCGCAUGACUACUCCUAUGGCCGCCAGAUGCCCGUGGCGUACAAGACUGUUGAGGUCAGCAAUGGCGUUAUCAAGUUUGUGGAUGUGGACAAUGGCCAGUUUGGUGUGAAGAAAAGCUCUGGUUUUUGCAUCACCUCUUGGACUCUGAGGACUCCGGAGUUGGAGUGGGAGAAGGACGGCGACGUGCUCCAAGUCGAUGAUCUCUGGUCCCUCGAGGAAUUCCGUGAUUCGCCUCUGCCGCGCUGGGUGCCAGAGUUCCCUGUUGUGAGCAAGCACGACUCUGAUGUUGUCCAUUUCGUGCUGCGGGGGCCUCGCUCUGGUGCAAAGGCUUGGGUGAUUUCGGUGGGUACGAGGCCGAAGCUGCUGAAGUCCUAUAUGCCUUACAAGAAUGAUUACACUAAUUUAUGGAAAGAGGAGGAGGAUUUAGAUCUUACAAGCUUGUUUUUCGAUACGCCCUUUAUCUGCUCUGAUCUCUACAAAGAUCAUGGAAUGUCGGUUGGGCAGAUGGCAGGACUUGCUGCAACAACCUGAACGACAAUGUAAUGCUCUGUAUGAAACUGGCCAGUUGUUGUAAUAUGUACUGUGAUUGUUGCUUAUAUGUAUGAUGCUGGAGCAGAUGGCAAGAUGGAAAGAUGGUUGCUUAUAUGUAUGUUGGUUGUCCUAGUUGUGAAGUGUGAUACGCAAGUAUGCAAACUUUGGCUCCCUGUGGCAAUGCCUCUGCAUGUAAAGUAGGGCUCCUUGUGGCAAUUCCCAGUUAUGUACUGCAAACUAUUGUUUUGUUUUGUUUUCUCACGUUGCAAUACAAUGUAACCUUUUUCCUCAGCUCCUGCAAAAAGUCACUCAUGUUUUGAUUGGAUAUUUUUCUAAAAACUUUAAGAUAUAAUUAAUAAUAUGCAUGUAAUCCUUUCAUCGAAUUAUAAUGUAUUGAUAAGAUUCAAUUCAAUACUCUAGACAUGAUAGUCCUUAAAAAGUUUAUUGGAACUCUUUUAUAUUUCUUCAAGCAGCAGUGUAUAUAGACAUAGGCUAAAGAUUUUACUCUACUUAGAUAUGAGCAAAUAUAAGAUAAAAGGUUGGUUGUGAUUAUACAACACAUGUCUGUAUACGCCAGCUUAAUCUUUCGUCCAUCGUCAGCACCUCAAAGUUUCACUUCCUGUUGAGCUCCCCUUCCAAAAUGUAGAUUCUUUUAGCUUUAUUAGAUACAUAAAUUUUGCUUGCAUCUGCAAUAUAGUAAAAUCUAUGUAUCUAGAAAAGCUAAAACGACCUACAUUUUUUAACGGAGGGAGUACUACUGAACAGAGUAACGUUGACAUCUUCUGAGCUAGUAACAAAUAUUACUUCUUCUCGUCGAGGGUGUAUAUGGACAAUGGACUGAUGCUACCUGCUCAGAUUAUAGCCUAGUGCCCAAGUGACAGUUUUUUACUGAAAGAAUCAACAGCACACGUCGAGGGUGAUGCGCCAUUUAUUGACCUUCCCCGUCUAGCUAGCAUUGACAUUAGCCGAUUGUUCAGCCUGUUGCCUUUGCCUCUUCUUACUUUCUAUGUCCUCUUCCCUUAUUCGUUUGCGAGUGUACACACAUGUCAAGUCCACAUGAUUCUAGUGCUGCUCCUCCUCGAGGUCGACGAUGCUGCUGUUCCGGUGCCUCUGCGUUGUGCUGCAAGAUAGUCAAGGGCCUUCUACAUGUAGCAAUCAUAGGUAUCCUAUUCUGCAUGGUUGUUCCUGGUUUCUUUGAAUCCACCAACAGCUCCGGUGGAAUCAUUGCUCUCGAAUCAGUAACCUACGCUGUCAUCGCUUGCCUGUACAUCUACAACUCGUCGGACCGGAGGGAGAGGAUCAUUUCGAGAAUAUUUCUCGGUGUGGUUGCUCUAGUGAUCGUCGCGGCAGCUCCCAGUCCCAAGGGCAAGACUGCUCCCGCGACGGUCAUCGCCUGCUGCAAUCUCGUGGCUCUGUCGGUAUACUGCAUCUGGAAGAUUUGUGGGCUCGUGCAGGCUUGUCGCCGGCGACGCACUCGUGCUGCUGAUGCGGAGGCGCCACUCGCGCCGGUACAGAAAGAAGAAGACGCAGCAGCAGCAGCAGGGUGUGGUGCGAGUACUCCCGUGCUGCAGCCGACCACGUUCCACAUCGAGGACCUGCCAAGGAAGUUCUCGUACGACGAUAUCCGUGCCAUGACCGGAGACUUCGGUACCGUGGUGGGGCGCGGCGGCUCCGGUGAAGUGUUCCGAGGCCUCCUCGACGACGGCAUGGCGGUCGCCGUCAAGCGGAUCACCAGCGACAAGCCCGUCGGCGAGCAAGACUUCCUGCGAGAGAUAUCCAUCGUGGCGAACGUGCACCAACGCAGCCUGGUGCGCCUCCUGGGAUACUGCCUCCCGCGCGGGGUCGCCGGCCACGGCCAGUACCUGGUCUACCCGUUCUUCGAGCACGGCUCGCUGGACUGGUGGCUGUUCGGCGGCGAGGAGCGGCGGUGCCUCCUGCCGUGGCCGACGCGGCGCCGCAUCGCGGUCGACGUCGCCAGGGCACUCGCGUACCUCCACCACGAGUGCCACCGACAGAUAUUGCACCUCGACAUCAAGCCGGCCAACAUCCUCCUCGAUGGCGGCCUCCGGGGGCACGUGUCGGACUUCGGCAUCUCCAUGUCCAUCGCCCAGGACAUGACCAGCGUCGACACCCGCGGCAGGGGCACGCUCGGGUACAUGGCGCCGGAGAUAUGGGUCAGCUCGCUGUCCGCCAAGUCCGACGUGUACAGCUACGGCGUGACUCUCCUCGAGCUCGUCAGCGGGCGCAAAGGUUUCGAGGCCGGCAGAGACUCGUCGGAGACGCCGGACCUCUUCGCGCGCGUCGUGAGGGAGAAGGCGGCGCGUGGGGAGCUCAUGGAGGUGGUGGACGCGGCCAUGGCGGACGUGGACGAGGGGGAGGUGGAGGCGGUGGUGAAGGUGGCGCUCUGCUGCGUCCAGCACAGGCGUGAUGUGAGGCCCAGCAUGCUAACGGUUGUGGACAUGCUCGAAGGCCGUGUCGCCGUCGAUCUCCCGCUGGAGAGCUGACUAUCUGUGGUGGAUUUCAUGGAGCCACUUUCCUCGCCAGCCGCGAUCGAACGGUGACGUGACAAUCAGGCCUCUUCAUUUCAAAAUUUAUAUUUUAGAAGAUUCAAUUCAAGUAUGUAUUUAUGUUUUUUAAUACAUGUAGCUUGACUUAUGAUUUUUCGAUUCACAGAGUAGUAGAGUACCUUAUCUAAGUAUUGGACUUAAAGAAAGAGGCUGUCAACUGGGCUGAACUUUACUUAACCAAAAAAAGGGAGCGUCUAUACAAUACUUUUAAGCGUUUUAGGUCCAAAUUUUUUAUUUUUAAGCCAUCUAACUUAAGUUUGACAACUUUGAUAAGUCGAUACUAAUUAAGUCGUUGUUGAUGUCCUCUGAAACAAUUUUCAAACUAUAACAUACACACCACUUUGGAAAAAUGUGUUUGCAAAGUUUGACACUGAGAGAUGACUGAUUACUCGAUGCCACCUAAUCGUUGCCAUGGCCCGUGGUUUUACAUGGUGUUCCCUCCCUCUUUUGACAAAAGCUAAUGUUGCUAAUCUUUCAAGUUUGUCAUUAUGUAUAGGGGUUUCAUACAGAUGUUUAAAUAUGCCUUUUUCUAAAAAACACUUGUUAUGCAUUUGAAUUGGAGGUUUAGCAUCCCAGUCCAUCAAAGGUUGUUACUUAUAUUUUUAUAAUGAUCUAGGUUUAACAUCAUGGUCCAUGGAUGGACCAUGAUCAUCUGCAUUACAGAGGGGAACAGUAUGCUGUCUUAGGCAAUAGAAGCCUGUAAUAAAAUGGCGCAGCAAGAUAGUAAUUGUUUUUUCUAGUAGAAAUACUGUGCGAGCUUUGCUGUUCGUGGUGAUAGGUCCCCCUAGGCCUAGCAAUAUAUUUGGUCUCAUUUUUCAUUCUUUAUCUGCUAAGAUACUAAGAACCCCUCAACCUCUUCAUACAGAGAGUAGCUGAGAGUAGGUGUGACCUCAUUUCACAUGUUGACAGAAUCCAUAACACAGUUGAAAGAAAACCUUAGGAGUACAUUUCUGUCGUUUGUUUAAUUUAACUCUCUGUGGUUUGAGUACCACAUUCGUGGGAAUACAACCAUCAUAUUCAGUUUUAUGUUCGGUGGUUGAGUACCACAUCUGGACUAGGUCUGGGCAGAAGACUUACAUUAGUAACUGAACAUUAUUACAAAAAACACAUGUAUGAGAAGUAAUUCGAAAUAUACAUUUCCAUUGGUUAGUAUCUUGUAGCAUAGUUCUCAUUUACAUACAUACACGCACGUAUAAAAUGAUGGAAUGCACCUUUUUCUUAUUAGUUUUCUCUCCACUCGUGUUUGGAAUGGUAAUGCUACAGAAUGACGUCUGGAAUCUUAAAAAAAUUGAACGGCUCGACAUAUGUUGCAAUAGUUAAUCAUCGAUGUUGCAACUAUUAUUUCUGUAUGUUUCGCAGUGAAUGUUGCAUGAAACAUAGUGUUCAUGUUGCGACGGGAAUUUUCUAUCUCAGAGUCGAACAAUGUAGUCAUUUUUUUGCAUAUUUUUCAAUGGUGCAAUUAUAGAUUUUUUAUGUUGCAUAUGUUUUGUUUUGAUGUUGCAACAGAGCGUGCAAUGAAAAAAUUUCCAUUGGAUGUCCGUACAGUAAAAAAAGUAUGAUUAUUUUGAAAAGAAACGCAAAAAAGUAUGAUUUUUUAAAAUACUUAGACCUAGUGAAAAUGAAUUUGCACUAAUUUGAUGUUCAUAUCAUACUAGUACCUCAUAAUAUUCAAUGAGAGCGUGUUAUGGUUGUCGGCAACAUGACCACGUGUAACAUCAACAAUUACAAAAGCAUUUAUGCUCAAUAUUUUUCGAGGGUACUUAUGACUCAAUAUAGGACCAGGUCUUGGCGGAAGAGUCAGAUUGGAGUAGCACAAAGGAAAUCUCCAAUUGGGUACUAGUACAAUUGGCUCAUCAACUGCUCUAAACACCAGGUCCCACAAGCAAUCGAAAUGGAAUUAUCAAUUGGAUCGGAUGGUAGCACAUCGUUUUCGAUUCAUGAAGGAAAAAAAUCGCUCGGCUGCUUGUUUUUUCCCGGAAGUCCUUAUAUGUGUAUGGACAAUGGGCAUACUAUAUAGUAUCAGAUUUGCUCAACCUAUUUUUAUUGACUUCGUACCAGUGAGGUAUAUAAAUAGAUGACUAAGGUAUAAUUAUACUGAAGGGACUACUGAUCCCAGAGACCCCUAUCUUUCGUUAGCAUCCACUACAGAUUACAGAGGCUUUCAGAAAGUAUUGAUUUUCCAAAAGUUGCUGUAAGGAUUCAAUAGUUAGUGCACAAUAUCAGAAGCCAUUGAUGUUUUGCGAUUUUCAUGUUAGGUUCAGACUUGUUAGCGGUUUUCUGAAAUUUUUGAAAUAGGUUCCAAUAAUCGUUCCCAUCAUUCAUAAAUAAUGGUGAGGGGGUAGUAAACACACUUAUAUCAUAUAUAUAAAGCAUCUAUUUAACUUUACUAAAAUACAUGAACACGAUUUUCUUUCGGUGUUCUAAAGGAGAUAACUCUAAAUGUUCUUGUUCAUACUAAGAAAAUAUAAAGAGGAAGAGAGGAAACCCUCUAGAUUCUAGAAUUUUUAUUGCGUUUUUUUUGCACUAUGUUCACAAAAGAAAAGGAUAUUUUUCAUAUUAUCUCGGUUGUCUACUAAACAAUUAGAGAUCGCUUUCUUUUGACCUCAGCUUAUACUAAAGCAGAUUGUUCCUUUGACCCCUUCAGCUCACGCUGCUGCUUUCUUACCACCCCACUCGUUUGCAACAUGUGUCUACCGAUUGAGGCUACCUGGUCAGACUGUAGCCAGUACACGUCAAGUUUAAAGACGAGAACCACUGAUCCCGUCUAUGUACAGCACUAGUUGACGUUCUUCUCUAACCAGAGGCCAGCAGCUUAAGAGCUCUGCAUUUCCCGUCGUUGCAGCGUGCAUCUUCAAUUUCUUCCAUUUGUUUUCCCUUUUGCGAGUGCCCAGCCAUGUCAGGCCUGGAUGACUCCGCCGCAGCUCCUCCUCAACCUCAAGGCUGCUGCUGCGCCUGUGCCUCUGCGUUGUGGAAGAUAGUGAAGGUCAUUUUACAUGUAGCCAUUGUGCUCACCUUACUCGUUCUGAUCACUCCUGGAAUUUUUCAUAGCUUCGGUACAACGAUCGCUCUUCAAUCAGUGUCCUACGCUAUCCUUGCUUGCCUAUACAUCUGCACCGCGUCCGAUCGGGCGGAGAGGAUUGUCUCCGGCGUAUUUCUUGGUAUCCUUGCUGUCGUGAUCCUCGCGGCAGCUCCCAGUGUGAAGGGAAGGAGGACUGCUCCCGUGGAAUCCAAGUCCCCUCCCGUGCAUGUCAUGUACUACUGCGACCUCGUGGCUCUGUUGGUAUACUGCAUCUGGAAGAUUUGCAGACUCGUGCAGGCCUGUCUCCGGCGCCUCCGUGUUAGUGGCAAAGCUCCAGUUCCUGAUCCGGAGGCGCCACUUGCGACGACGCUGAUGAAAUCGGAAGCAGCCUGCACUGCUCCCGUGCAGCUCCUCAUCGAGGACCUGCCGCGGAAGUUCUCGUACGACGAGAUCCGGGCCGUGACCGGGGACUUCGGGGACGUGGUUGGGCGCGGCGGCUCCGCCGAGGUGUUCCGAGGCGUCCUCGACGACGGCACGGCGGUCGCCGUCAAGCGGAUGACCAGCUACAAGCCGGUCGGCGAGGAGGACUUCCUGAGGGAGAUCUCCAUCGUGGCGAACGUGCACCAGCGCAGCCUGGUGCGGCUCCUGGGGUACUGCCUGCUGCAAGGUGGGCCGGGCGAGGCCCACGGGCAGUACCUGGUCUACCCGUUCUUCGAGAACGGGUCGCUGGACUGGUGGCUCUUCGGCGGCGAGGAGCGGCGGCGCCUCUUGCCGUGGCCGGCGCGGCGGCGCAUCGCCGUCGACGUCGCCAGGGCGCUCGCGUACCUCCACCACGAGUGCCACCGCCAGAUCCUGCACCUGGACAUCAAGCCGGCUAACAUCCUCCUCGACGGCGGCCUCCGGGCACACGUGUCGGACUUCGGCAUCUCCAUGUCCAUCGCCCAGGACAUGACCAGCGUCGACACCUGCGGGAGGGGCACGCCCGGGUACAUGGCGCCCGAGAUCUGGUUCAGCUCGCUGUCCGCCAAGUCCGACGUGUACAGCUACGGCAUGACUCUCCUCGAGCUCGUCGGCGGGCGCAGGGGAUACCAGGCCGGCAGGGACUCGUCCGAGACGCCGGACCUGUUGGCGCGCGUCGUGCGGGAGAAGAUGGAGCGGGGCAAGCUCAUGGAGGUGGUGGACGCGGCCAUGGCGAACGUGGACGAGGGAGAGGUGGAGGCGGUGGUGAGGGUGGCGCUCUGCUGCGUCCAGCACCAGCGGGAGCUCAGGCCCAGCAUGGUAACGGUUGUGGAAAUGCUCGAAGGGCGUGUCGCCGCCGAUCUGCCGCCGGAGAGCAGUCCGUUGCCCGCCGUGGAGUUCACGGAGCCUCUUUCCUCGCCAGGCGCGCAAAACGGUGGCACUAGCAAUAAGGUCCCUUCAUUUCAAUAGUUUGUAUUUCGAAAUUUCACUUCAAAUGGAGUAAUUCUUUUAACACAAAUUGAGCUUGACUCUACGGGUUCCAUCUUUCUUUUUUAGGAGUUCCUAACCGUUUAAGUGAAAACAUGUUUGUCUGUCACACCAAGCAACGUGUUCGUUCGUAUGGCAGCCAGUAUCUAUAUAUAGUCUAAGAAAACGGAAUUCGGCCCUUGGGCCUCAAAUGGGCAGAAGUUCUUUUUACAAGGCAUAUAGAUACUGGCAGGAAAAUGUGGGUGCCAAUUUCUGACGUUGGUCAAUAAUGGUUUGAACUAACACUAUUCACGUCCACUCUCCAUCAAUCGGCCGACAGGUACAACCUAAACAAGCGAAAAAAACUUUCACGAACCCAGCAAACUUAAAACAAGCAACAGACUAAACAUGCGAAUCUCGCAAUGGCACAGAACAAAUCGGCUUACUACAGGUUAUACUAGGCUAUGCUUACCAUGACUCCAUGAGGAUGCAAAAUUAGCAGUUUUAUUUUUGAGAGAGAGCUCGACGAGUCAAUGCCACAAAAAUCUACAACGUUGCCGAGUUCUCCAAGGCUCUUAUUUCUUUUUAGCGGGACAAGUUAGCAGCAAUAAGUUGUAAACAUGCAAACAGUUGCAGAUUUAACAAGUGCUAGUUCACGGAAGCUCAAUACAAGCAUACACAACCCACUCACUGAAAAUGGAGGUCUUCACGUUUCUCCUAGGUAAGCACCAGUUUCUGUUAUAGCACUACUGAGGUAAUCAGUGGCGCAUCAUGUUUGGUCUCAGAUGCAUACUAGCAUAUAAUAUAUGCAAGAACUACUUUCCGCUCUAUUCACCACCUGUAGACCACAGUGUGCAAAAAUUAUGCAUGAAAACAAGAUUACUUCGACAUCACAGAAUUAACACAGAAUUAAGCCAACCUUCGUUUUUUGUGACCAUUCCUCCUGAGUUCCUGAUCCCCCAAAGUAUUUUAGGAUCAAAACACUCAAUUCCGAACAUACAACAGGUAGCAAGACACCACCAUCAAUACAAAAGGCAACUUUACCACAAAGGGUAUCCAAUGAAAACCCCCAAUAUAUAUAGAAGAUCUGUAGUAACUAUGACAAGGUGCCUUGAAGUCCAGUCCAAGCCACCAGCAUUUGGGACUAAGGCAUGACCAAUGCUAGGAGCAGAAAGCAGCUUGAUCAACACAAUAGGCUAUUGAUGUAAAACCAGGCAUCGCCUUUAGCUUUUGGGGCUUGGUCCUUCAGUUUGACCAUGCUCAUGGUUCCUGCAAUCGAAAAGGGUAAACAUUAUGUUCCAAGAUAAAGACUAAAACAAAAGCUUUUGAUGCCAGCAUAUGCCUUGUAUACUUCAAUGAAGACAUUAGAACAUCGUCCUCACCAUCUAAAAUAUAAGACCAUAAACAUGUGCUUCGUAUUCACUAGCCCCUUUUAAUCAAUUAAAACAAAUCGAAUUUGAAUAUCAAAAGCCAAGUUAACUAGAUUAAUUAGCUCAGAUCUCUCAAGUCAGUAAGCAGAUAGCAUGACCCGACAAGUUUGAGCAACUAAAAGACAAGAUAAAAAUUUGGAUGCUCUUUAAAAAGGUUAUGCCUCAUAUACUCCAAUGCAUUAUACACCUACGCCCUAACUUUGGCUGUACAUGUGACGUCCAUAUUAGUAUCUGCUUCAUCUACUUAAAUCAGGAAGCAUAUAACACAAUGUCAUAAAUUCUGAGCAGAAAAUGAGAGACUAAAUUCAAGCCUAGUAUUUUGAUGAGAAAUCACUAAUACAUUAAACACUCCCUAUGAAUAAUUACUCCAGAAACUCCCUAUGUGCAUGUUUAAAAGCUCAGGAAAAGAGAAAGUAUACUCUGCUAUUGAUACAACAAAUUUAAAGUUAAUUUAAUUCACACAACCAAAAUAAAAGCAUGCCACUUAGACAUUCUUAUUACUUGCUAUCACAACUACUUUGUACACAUAAGCACUGAGAAAGACCAAACAGCAAUUCUCGAGAACAUCAACAAAAACUGAGUCUGAGACAUGAGAUCGAAUUGGUGCCUCGGACAUGUAAUAAGUAAGCAACAGAUAGUACAAACAAUGCCCUUGGCUACAAAAUGUAACUAAUUAGGAGUCUAGGAGAAUUGGAAAAACAAUGAAGCAUCAGAUAAUAUGUGAGAUGAAGCUUCAGAUAAUAAGCGAGAUGAAGCAUCAGAUGAUAUGCAAGAUGGAUACUGCUACACCAAUACAACUUUGGAGAAAAGGGCUCAGAAAACAUGUGGUAGCAUUAGCAUAAACUGUGAUAGAACAUUUGGCAAAGGAAACUAUAUCCCCUGCAUGUAUCUUCAAUUGCUUAAAAAGAAGUUGAUGACAUGCUAUGCAUCCUUGGAAAAAGAAAACAAUACAUAUGUUUCUCAAAUUGGCCGGCCCUGAUCACAGUUUCUUUAAAUAGUAACCAAUCAAUACUCUUUAGAGAUCAGAGAAUACAAAAGAAACACAUAAAACAGUGUGCUUCCAUAGACCAGCCAACUUGGAAAGGAACCAGAAUCUCUUUUCCUACAUACAGUAAGUCGUGAAAAGAGAGAAAAUUAAAACUUCAAUAAGGGUUGUCAUAAGACAUAAGAUACAACACCCCCAAUUUGGUACUUUGGCAGACCUAAUGGUAUUAUACACAACCAUUAAAUGUUAUAUAUGAUAUAAAUUUUCUGAAAAACAAAAGAUAAUAAGGUCCUAAACAACCAACAACAGCUCUAAAUAACAUGCAGUUCUCAAGAUGUGUUUGUAGUUCAAUUUGAACAGCACAAGAACAGGGGGAUACAGUCAAUCAGUACCCUCUAUAUUCAUUCCAGGAUUGAUAAAGUGAUAGCCACCCAAAUCUAGGCUAUAACUUCUUUUACCCUAAAAAUGAUUAAAAUCCAUUCUGUUCAAUUAUAUAGAACAAUUACGAUGGUGAACUAAUCAAGACAGCGAACCACUUUACUAGAAUAACACCAAUGCUUGGAUGGAAGGUAAACGGACAUGUUUGACAACCAAUAAAAGGAUACAAUCACAGAUAAGCAUAGAAGCCAAUAUUGUUCUACAGUUUAUUAAUUGGUGCAGUUUUGUUUUGGCACCUAAUUGUGCAGGAAUUUUACUGUACUUGUACCAUUGCAUGGAUUCAGGCUAGUUUAUGCAACAACCAAAAUGGCCAGAUAGUUUCGAGAUGGCAUUGCUCACAAUAGCAUCAAAUCAGCCAGCCAAUGCCUCUUGAGCAUGAUACUAUCUAGCCUGAGCAAACUCAUUUAUCACACCCUUUCAGCCUGUGUAUCUUCAGCGAAGCGUGACAUAGGAUAGUGAACAAAAAGAAUCCAUCAUAAAGCACAAGUGCUUUGGGUGACAUUAAGAAAACUCAGAUCAUCAUAUUCUACAAUGUACCUCUAAUAGGUGUGACUCCUGUCCAGUCACCCUUAUCAUCUAUGGCUUGUUUGGAGCAAGUUGUAUGCAACAUAACACAUUAAAGAAAACCACAUACAACUAAGAAUUUUCUGUUCCAUAGCUCAGAAGACACAUAAGCAUGGUUGGAGGGCCAUAAUAAAACAGCUGAUCCAUUUUUCCUAAGCAGUACAAUGGACAAUAUGCUACAAUCCCAACCCAACUGCAGCAAGGGUUGUCUGGAUCCACACAACCAAAAAUUUCCAAGCUCGAGUUCAUGUAAUUUAGAUGGACUGCAGCUAAUCAUUGACUAUCAAGGCACCAACCAGAAUUCAAUAGAUAAAAUCCUAGAUAGCAUUGUACGUAGAUGAACGUAGUACAGUUCUAAAAUUCCCGAAACACUCAACUAACUAUUGUAAAUCCAGAGUUUUUCACAAUGAAGGACAAUCUUUCGUGCAGCUACAUCAUCGAAAUCUGAUCAAUCAUUCAUGCAACAUUGUAUCCUGGAAGUAUGUCACAGACAGCCAUCAUGGCUGACUGGCAUUGGGAAAAGAUUGCAUUUUGGGGAAAUUUGCUAAGAUUGCUGAAUUAUAAAUGCAAUUCAUGGUCUCCAUGUGCGCAAAAUGAUGCUAAAGCACGCAAUUAAAGAAUACCAGACCGGCAUAGCCACAAACAUUACCUGCAUUCGGGGCUCGGGGCAACCACGUCCGAAUCAGCGGCGCGAUGCUUGGCAACCACUCGGUCAAGCUCAUCCAGCGUCGCGGCAUCCGCCUUGCCCAGAUCAACCUCGAGUUUCCCCCUCUUCUCCAGCUGGCACGCACCCCGCUCCUUCAGGAACCCGGCCACGGUCCGCUGCGCGGCAACCGGCAGCCCCUUCAGGUCGUCUCUGAACUUCAGCUUGCGCUCGGCGUCCGUCGGCGGUGGGGGCGGGAGCUCUGCUUGGAUGGAGGCCCAGCCGUCCUCGAAGAUCCCGGAGAGCUCGUCGGCGCUCUCGUACACGGGGUCGCCCGGGUUGUUGUAGGACUUGGCGUUGCUGAACGUCAGGCGGACGUCGGCGGCGAACGCGGGCGGGUCGGCGUAGCGGCGGCGCUCGAGGCGGCGGAGCACGGUGCCGAGGUCCAUGGGGUCGGCGAUGACGGUGUAGUAGUCGCGGAGGCGGAGGGCGCGCGCGUCCACGGGGGCCGCGAAUAUCCAGCCGUCCUCGUCCCGCAGCAGGCGGUCCAGGAGCGCGCGGCAGCGCCCGAACGCGCGGCUGAGAUCGCGGCAGCGGCCCGCGCCGCCUCCGGAAGACGGGGCGUCCGUGUCCGCCGCCGCCCGCUGCCGCGGGUGCCUGGACUCGUCGAAAGAGUCAGGCGGCGGGCGCUUCAUGUUUGGGCGAGGGAGAUUUCCUCGGCCGCCUCCCGGCUCUAACUCUACCGGAGCUCCCCCCGCGCCGCCUCCAGAAGACGGAGCGUCCGUCCGCCGCCGCAGGUGCCUGGACUCGUCGAAAAAUCCAGGCGGCGGGCGCUUGGGGCGCGACACCGGCGGGUUUUGCGGUUUCAUGCUUGGGCGAGGUAGAAUUCCUCGGCCGGCUCCCGACUCUAACCCUACCGGAGCUCCCCCCGCGCCGCCUCCGGAAGACGGAGCGUCCGUCCGCCGCCGCGGGUGGCUGGACUCGUCGAAAAAGCCAGGCGGCGGGCGCGUUGAGCGCGGCAUCGGUGGGUUUUGGGCGUUUCAAGUUUGGGGGAAGGAGAAUUUCACGGCCGACUCCCGAGUCUAACCCUACCGGACGCGGAACAUCUGGCCGAAGGGGCAACCGGGCAAGUUCUACCGCCUUACCGAGAGCUUAUCUGGCACGCAGCACGCUGAUUGGUAACUUACUGCAUCGCCAGGUUUGACUUAUUUCUACAUUUUGUGAUCAAUUAUUUACUGUUCACACAAGGAUGCAAUUCCUCCGAAUUGGAUAUCAUUAUACACUAAACGCUUCCAACUUUAGAUGACUAAAAUUUCGAAAUGGUCCAGUCAACGGUGUGGAAAUGAUGCCGGAGACGAAGAGAAGUUUGAAACAAAGGUACCACCGACUAGUUAUAACCUAUAUUGAGUAACUACCUGUAACUAUAUAUUGCAUCAUUUACAAAUAAAUAAAUGCAGAGCCAGUUAUCAUAGGGGAUGCCUUCCUUCUCCUCCACCACCUUCACCUUUUGUACUUAUUCCUUCUCGUCUCCUUUUAUAUCUUGCUCCGAAGGAGUUUCCAGUUUGGAUUGGGAUCGGGUGUUGGAGUAAGCGACGAUUCGAAGUUGUGUGAAGAUAUUUAUUUCAAAUUUUGACUACAUAAAAAUGCAUUUUUUAUGUUGAAUUUGAAUAUUUGAAAGUGAUAUGAGUGUAUUUAUCUUGAAAAUUUGUUUUAUAACAGAAUAGAUUUGCUAUAUAUAUUAUGAUAAAAUGUAGUAAUCAGAGUUUAAGAUUAACAAUAAAUUCAGAAAACUUUAAAACAUCAUUUAUAUUUCUGAAAGGAGGGGUACUUGCUACUUCUCCCUCCUAUUCCUAUCCGGUCGUCAAUUUGACCUACACGAAAGGAUGCACAAGAUCCAUCAUGAAAUAUACUCUUGUAAUAUAAAACCUUUUCUAUUCACGAUAUUAUUUUUUUAUAGAAAUUGCAAGUGAAAGUGUUACGCAGGAGACCCGUCAACGUUUUAAACGAGGUAGAAUAAGAUAGAGUACUCCAUAUUGAGAUUCAAGACGGUCUUUACGCAGGUUGUGCUUCGCGUAAAAGAGGAAUGGAAGCAACCAAUGUUAGAAUGGUUAGAGCAUAUUUUGUAAUCUUUAUGAUUUUCCUCCUCUCUUUUUUUGUUUCUUGAACUGUACUGGACAAUUUGUUUGUUUUUCUUCUCUUAUACAUAAUAUAUAACCAGCAGGGGACUUUCCCCUCCUGUUUCAUCAAAAAAAAUAAGAUAGAGUACUAUUUUGACUAACGUAAAUUUUAACAUGUCAAUCUCUCGAUGAUAGAUGUUAGUAUUCCCUCUUCGCAUAUUCUUUGACUUCUCCACCGGUGCUUGUGGCUUGGGACUUCACCACGAUGCUUGGACCCGCGGUGGGGUAGUGACUUCAGCAUGCGGAUCGCAACCGACAGCUCUCCAAUUUGAAACUUUCUGCUACUCAGAUCAUACAAGCUCAAUGAUGCAAGGUCACCAAUCAAAGAUGGAAUAUCUCCGAUCAGAACCAUUAUUAGUCCCGCUAAUGGCCCAAUGUAGUAAUGUGCAGAGUCUUCGGAUGUUUCAGGUUGCCGAUAUUUUUUUGGAUUGCUAUACUACAUUCGAGUGAAAAUCAGCUCCUCCACACCUAAUUUUUUCCUCUUCCACCACCUUCCCUUCUUCUUCACCUCCGGCGAGAUCCGGUGAGCUUCUUAGGGUUCGAGGUUUGGGGUUUUGGGUUACUUGUGUCUAGCGGACCUAGAAGGAGGUCCGGGGUGGCAGGGAAGCGGGUGGUGGUGGCGGUCGAGACGGCGGCGAGGCGGGGCGCCCGCCGAGGCGGCGGUGGAUCCCUGGUUGGAUGGUGGAUGGGCGGGGGCAAGCACUGGCGUUGACUUGUGCGAACGGGUGGUCGAGAUGGCGGCGGGGGUGAACGGCGGCUCUUGGAGAGAACAGCGAGGAAAGGGAAGGAGGAGGGAGGGGCGGUGGAGGAAGGCGGGCCACGCCGUCGCCGGGGGACGGUGCCGGAGACCGCGUGAGUGAAUAAGGAAGGGGGUGGGAGGGGAGGUAAAAGGAUGGAUGGGUUGAUUUGAGCCGUUCAUUUUAGAUUCAAUGGCCAGAAAUUCAAGUGUGACAGAAGAAAAAAAAGCUCGUGUGCACAGUAGACAGCUCCUAUUUUUUUCAGACUCAGAACCUCCAAGGAGCUACCGGCAAGCUGCCGAGUGUCGACGAGGUUGGAGUUGAACGACACGUCUAGGAGGAGGGGCACGCCGACACGGACAUGAAUCUACUGCUUGUCCAGGCAGCCUGACUUGACACCAUUUUGCCCGAAGUACAAGAAGCUAGACACACAGGAAGGGAGCAGGGGUUCACCGUGGACGGCGAAAUUGGCCGGCAGAUCUCUUUGUGCUAGCAGUGAGUUGGAGCGUGCUGGCUGGAGGAUGAAGAUGCCAAUACGCCGCGACUCCCACGAGGCCACAACGAGAUAAAAGGAGAUGAAGGCCAGAAUCGAUGAAUGGCGACCGGGAGACCUCGCUCAUCGCCGCAUGAUUAUUGCCUCCACGAGCGGCAAGUCUCUGCUGCUGUUGCUGUGUGCCUGUGCCUGGAUGAGUUCUGAAGCGCCGACGAGCAAUAAAGACGGACAAUUCAAUGUGUGCGAGAGCGAGAGAAAGAGAUGAGAGCACUGAGAGACAUGGGGCGAGCUUUUUCACACCACCAGCACACGUCGAGCUCAGCGCCUGUCAACAUACAACAAAGCAGAGCAGAGGAGUUGCUGGAGGUGAGGAGAAUUAGAGAGGAGGAAUUGACAUUGCGGCAAAGUGCACAAAAAUUCAACUCAUUUGCCCUCCUUAAUCACCCUAAUUAAAUUAGCUAACCUGUUCCAAAUUUCUUAAUUCUUGGCAAGUGUGAUAGGUUACAUGGCGGAACAGGCUGGGUCUAACGGAGGAUCCUACGUUGCUUCCGUGUGUUGGAUAAGUAAUAUAGCUUUAAAGCUUAUUAGGUCCAACUUAUAGAUAAAUAAAUUCAACAUUUUAGAAUAUAGAUCCAACAUUUUCGAAAAAGAGGAUGAACAUUUACGGAGAGUGAAUUCGACAUUUUUUAAAAAUGCGUCAACAUUUUAAAAAAUACUAACUUCAACAUUUGGUAUGAGCUGGAGAGAAUUAUUUCAACAUGUCAUAGAACCUAGCUCAACAUUUUGAAAAAAAAAGUCAGCUUUCCUCUCCGAUGGCGGCAGUAGGGGCGGCCCGCUGCGGACGGUGCGGUGGGGGUUGGCGGCGAAUGCGGGCCGCGGUGGCUGGCACGGCGACGGUGGAGCACCCAGGCUGCAGGGCUACCUGGAGUGGCGGCGCACGCGACUGUAGCACACGGCCAACGUCGGAGCUCGGCCGCGAGGGCCGACGGUGGGGCCUCGCAGCGCGGGGAGGCGAGGAUGCACCACGAAGGAGGUCCUGCGGUGGGGAUAUUUAACUAUUUGCCAUCCUUACGGAUGACAUCUCUCCAUUUGCCAUCCUUACGGAUGCGCUUACAUAUUUACCAUCCCUCUACAAAUGAAGCAACAUAUUUGCCAUUUUCGCUGACGUGACACGCCAACUCACACGUGCUAGCGUGGAUCGGGGUGGAAAAAGACCAAAACGCCCCUGCCUUAUCCCUAUUAGCUAUCCCUUUCCUCUCUCUCCACCACUAACGUGUGGGACCCACGUCUUGGGGUCAUCUUCAACCUUCGGACACUCGCCAGGGGUCGGUCGGUGCUCGCCCCGUGGCCAGCGCUAGCAGGGGCCGGCCGCCGCCGCUCAUCCCCGUGGCCGGUGCUUGUCGAGGACCGUCCGUGGCCGCUUGUCCCCGUGGCUGGCGUGGCGGCGACGAAGGUGGCGUUGGGGGCGGCUGGUGGUGCUUGUUGUCGGGGAGGCGCUGGCUCAUGGAGUACCAGGGCUCGAGCGCCGGGAGCGUGCCGCGGAGCUCGGGGAUCUCAUCGUAGCUGAACCCGAACCCUAGGUCGGCACAACCCUUGAGCUCCUCGAGGUCAUCGUCCAUCAGGCUGCGGGACCGGCCCACCCCGUCGUCCUGCCUCACGCUGCCGCCGUCCGAGGCGAGCAGGACGGGCCUCGUGUCGCGCCGCCCCGGCCAUGCCGCCUCCGACUGCGCCUCGCGCCACAUGUCCUCCACCUCCGGCUCGUGGGCACCGGGCGCCGCGGCGAUGGUGGCAGCAGAGUGGACGAUCUGCCUGUUGGCACGGCGGCACCGGUGGUUGCGCGGCAGGCGGAGGAGGGAAGCGGCGGGAGGCGGGAACGGUGGAGGGGAUUAUGCGGAGGUGGUGGAUGAGGAGGAAGAUGAGGAUGCAGCGGCAGCGGCGAGCUCGGUGUCGGAACUCCACAUCUCGGGGCGGCGUGUGUGGUCUGCUGCGUCGCGUGGGGAGGGGAGGGGGAGGGAGGUGAGAGAGGUGGGGAGGUGUGAAAUGGUGGCACGGGAGAAAGGGCAGGGACGCUUUAGUCUUUUCCCAUCCCGAUCCACGCUGGCAGGGUGAGUUGGCGCGCCACAUCAACGAAAAUGGCAAAUAUGUUGCUUCGUUUGUAAAGGGACGACAAAUCUGUAGGCGCAUUCGUAAGGAUGGCAAAUGGAGAUGUGCCGUCCGCAGGGAUGGAAAAUAGUUAAAUAUCCUCCGGCGGCGCGGGGAGGUGACGGGGCCUAGCAGAGUGGGGACGUGAGAAGGCGUGGCGGAGGAGGUCCGACGGCGGGGCCCGGUGGGACACGGGGGGCAAGGAGGUUCGCAAGCGCAAGGCUCGACGACGUGGGGAGGCAAGGAGAUCCGGCGGUGGGGAUGGUGAGGAGGCCUGGCGGCGUGGGUGGGAGAUGGAGGCGACGGCGCCACGGCGGGCUCACUAGGGUUGAGGGAGAUGGGCAUGAGAUCCGACGGCUCAGGGUACUCGUACGAAUCUCAAACAAGCCACGUAACGCUUCCGUAAACCAGAUAGGAUUGGCGGGUCUAACGGGCGGCCGGGGUACGGCCCUAAGCUCCCCCCGCGGGCCUCCCAUGUACUAAAAGAGUGUUGCCCCAACGGCCCAACCCUAGCCCCAUUGUUUGCCCCACCCCGCUCACCCCCAGCCGCCGCGCCGCGCUGCUCCCUCCGGCCGCCCCCCUAUUGCCGCCGCCGCCGCCGCUCCCCUCGGCCAAGCUCGAUCGUGGUAGUCGACGGCCCCUCCUCUCCCCUCCCGCCUCCGGCCUCCCUUUCACCACUGGACGCCGGGAUCACUGCCGCGGCCACCCGCACGGCGCAGCGCGUGCCUUUAUUUGUCUCCCCCGUUCCCUUCUCCCUCAGUCUCUCUCCUCACUUGGUCUUCCUUUCCUGGCGGCGACGACUGGGCGAGCGGCGGCGCUAUUCGUUCUCCGCAGGGCCCUAAGCCGGCGCAGAGCACCCACCAGGUACUAAAACAUAUCCACAUAUCGUUUAGUUUUGGAAAAUGCACUAUUCACUUAUCCGUAUCCGUGUUGCGUUUGGCUUUUCGGAUGUGAGUAUUCCCUUAUCGUCUUGGUUUCAAACCUAUACUACAAUAAUGUGAAAAGAUGUAUCCAUGUUUUCUUAUAUGCUUAUGCUGUAGUGCUACAACCUACGGUAGUCGAAGGUCAUAUACAACAUUAUGCAUGCCAUUGAUGUAAACAGUUAUGCUUUGCAGCAGUAGCGAAUAGCAAGGAGUUAGGAGAGAUGGAUAUGCAAGAGAAAACAAUUCCUGCUCAACAAGGAAAGGAAAAGAAAAAAGGAAGUGCAAAGAAAAGAGAGAGAGCAAGGGCGAGGUCAUCAUCUGUUUUGGAUUCUACUAAUGGUGAGACAUGCCCUAUUAAAUUCAGCGCCUGUUUAAAAUUGUAAUUCUUACGACUUUCAUUUACAUCUUCAAUUAACUAGCUUUUUGUAGUACCAUUAUGGGGUUGAAAAAUUGAUAUUUUUUCAUGAACCAACUAUUUUAAAUAUGAAUGAACAGAGUUAAGGGUACUCUUUGUUUUAUAGUUCUUUAAUUAACUUGCUUUUGCAUUUGUUCGGAAAUUUCAGACACAGUCAUCAAUGAGGAAAUGCCAGAGUACAAUCUUGAUGGACCUACUAUUGGGGAAAAACUAGCAACUCUGGAUUUGAUCAAUAGAGAUAAUGAAAGGAAGGACACUGAAGAGCAAACACUGGCUAUGGCACUACCAAGUGCAGAUUCAGUCCAUAUUUUGCUCAAGCAAGCUCUACGUGCUGAUGAUAACAUGUCAUUGCUAACUUGCUUGUACAAUAGAGAUGAAAAGGUAUUCUUUUCUGUGCCAAUAUUCAAAACAUCGAUGCUGUGUUGGUUGUUACUAUCAAAUCUGAGAUCAAUUUCAUACCUGUUGUCACUG
Molecule: long non-coding RNA, 90881 nt
Filed under: Setaria italica (foxtail millet)
Lineage: Eukaryota; Viridiplantae; Streptophyta; Magnoliopsida; Poales; Poaceae
Description: long non-coding RNA (SITA_LNC003858)
Source: RNAcentral